Molecule: long non-coding RNA, 104993 nt
Filed under: Citrus maxima (pomelo)
Lineage: Eukaryota; Viridiplantae; Streptophyta; Magnoliopsida; Sapindales; Rutaceae
Description: long non-coding RNA (CMAX_LNC000415)
Source: RNAcentral
UUCCAAAAGUUCGAUUCCUAAUGGCAUUGGAACAUGCCGAGGAAUCAAUAUUUUAUCGGCAUAUUGUUCCGGAAAGCUUGUGGAAGCUACAAAGAUGGCUUGGGAUUGGAGAAGAAAAGAAACUGAAAAAAGCUAAGGAAACGUUAGAUAGUGUCAUAUUCGAACUCAUACAAAGGAAAAGAAGAGAGAUUAACGAAGAAAUUUUAUCGAAAGAUAUAGAUGGGGUGGAUUUGUUAGCAUCAUACAUGCACGAAAACAAAACCAUUAUGGGAGAAUUGAAAUGUGCUGACGACAAUUUCUUGAGAGAUACAGUCUUGAAUUUCAUGAUUGCGGGGAGAGACACAACUAGUUCAGCUCUCACUUGGUUCUUUUGGCUUAUUUCAAAGAACCCAAAAGCAGAAACCAAGAUUAGAGAAGAGCUUAGUUCAAUAGUACCAGCUGAGAAACUCGGAAAAUGGUGGGAUUUUGACACGCAAAAGCUAAAUCAAUUGGUUUAUUUACAUGGCGCUUUGUGUGAAGCAUUAAGGCUUUACCCACCAGUUCCUUUUCAGCAUAAAGCUCCUUUAGUGCCAGACACUCUUCCAAGCGGACACCGCGCCGUUCCGAGAACAAAGAUCUUGUUUUCUCUGUAUGCAAUGGGGAGAAUGAAGUCAAUAUGGGGAGAAGAUUGCUUGGAAUUCAGGCCUGAAAGAUGGAUUUCUGAAAGUGGAGGGAUCAAAUGGGAGCCGUCGUACAAGUUCUUCUCAUUCAAUGCAGGACCAAGGACUUGUUUAGGCAAAGAGGUCGCUUUCACUCAAAUGAAAGCUGUGGCUGCCGGCCUAAUUCAUAACUAUGAUAUUCAAGUUGUGGAAGGACAGCGUCCUGGCCCCAAUGUGUCUAUUAUUCUCUAUAUGAAGCAUGGAUUAAAGGUUAGGGUUCAUGAUAGAUGGGCUAAAUAAUUGCACAAGCUUGGGAAAUGUCGUAAUCCUCUUGUUUAAUAUGAAUCAUUGGGUGAGUUUGCGUGUAUCAUUUGAAUAACUAUAGUUUAUGCAAGUAUGAAUAUCAUUAAUAAUUGUUCAUAUUAUCUGGAUAUUUUAAUUUGUUGUUUUGGUGUUUUAUUAUGUGAUUUCUUCUAGAUUUAAAGAUUCUUAAAUGAUAGAUAAAGAAAGAUUUCAAUCCGUGAAAGAAUUGAAUUUGGUGUUAGAGUGUUAUUGAAAGAGUUAAUUGACGUAGGACGUUAAUUUAAAUUAAUUUAGGAUUUUAAAAUUUUUAUUAUUUUAGGGAUUUCUAUUUUAAUUGGAGUCUCUUAUAGUAUGUGAUUUAGUAUUUUAUUUCGAUUAUAAUUGUGAUAUAGUUUCUUUUUUUAAAUUAACUUAGGAAGUAGAUUUACCUUAUAAAGUGAGUUUACCUUAGAAAGUGAGUUUCUUCUAUUAUAAAUAGAAAAGCCUCGUUAUCGUAACUCAAAUUCAAUUAUUCAAUAAAAACUCCUCUUUUAUAAUACCCUCUAGGAUUAUUUAUCAAAAUCUCUCUUGUAGAGUCAUUUGGGAUAGGCGUCAUUUAAUUUCGCUUAACACGCUAUUAAAAAUCUCAUUGAGUCAUUUGGGUUAGAACGAUAUCUAAUCACACUUCGAUUAUCGCUAAUCGCGUUGGCUUGAUUCAGUACUAGAACGAUAUCUAGUGUUUCUUACCCUAUCAAUUUUGCUUCCGCUACUCGUGCCUUAUCAAUUGGUAUCAGAGCGGUUCUGCGCUAUUCACUCAACUUUCCUAGAUACCCAUAUCCAUCCAUACCAAAUCCACAACUGAAAAAAAACCAACAAAAAAAAAAAUAGAAAUUCUCAAAAUUGAAAACCCUAACUGCCACCAUGCAACCAUCGCUGCCACCUCUCCAUCAGUCAUUCACCGUCGGCCAAGACAAUCACUAAAGUCUCCAGCCACCACGAACCAAACCUUAGCCAUCACUGCCCUCAAUGCCGCUUGCAAAAAUCAUCUAAACCUGCGAGCUUCACCAUUCAAUUCACCACCAUUUAAUCGUGAUUGCCGCCAGUCAACUCCUCCGCCAAACUCGCCUACCUUUGGUGACCAAAACCAACCAACUUCCACUCUGGAUCGCUGCCUACAGCCACCGUAUGAAACACCAACCCGCGAGUUCCCCACACACGGGCUACUGCCAAACCAUCUCCCUUUUCUGUCAAUUAAUGCCACCACCAUAAUCCCCAGUAACCGGCGACCAUAAACCCAGCCAUCAGCCGCCGUAAAACUACCUUAAAUUGAAAGUCAUAUCUCCAUAAGCUGCCGCCAAUUCAACCAAACCGCCGCGAAUUUGGCCAAUCCACAGCCACCAUCAUACUCAUCGACCUUAAUCGACCCAUCCUUACCUGAUUUUCAACUACCGUCACCAGAAACCUAAACUUUUGUUUAAUUACCAUUUCACCUGGUAAUUUUAUUCAAUUUUUAGUUUAGCCCCCAACUCUUUUAAAACCACCAUCUCUUACCAUCUUCACUCCGAAUCACGACCACACCCAACCUAAGAGUUGAGUAUUAUUUACAUUUUUGCCAUUGUGUGGAAACUUGACAAUAAAUGGUAAAGUGCCAUCUUUACCCUUCUAUUUAUCAUGUGUCGGAAUUAUUUGUAUAUACUUGUCCAAACAAAUUUCUUGAUUGGCUAGAUAAGAUUGAGCACUGGUUUCUAUUUUGGCACACUCUUAAAGAAGAGCAAGUACCAUUUGCUGCUAGUAGAUUAAGCAUAAGUGUUUCAGAAUGGUGGGAUGAAUUACAAAUUUCUCAACUUGAGCAAAGCAAAUGCAAAAUAUGGAACUGUAUGAAGCAUAUUAUGUGAUAUGAGUUUAUCCCUCUUAAUUAUUGUUUAGUAUAACAAGGUAAGAUAUCAAUUUUUGAUUAUGCUACUGAGUUCGAAAUUUUAUGGAUGUAAAUAUUAUUAUGAACUUGAAGAGGAUACAAUUACAAGAUUUGUCAAGGGACUCAGUUUUAUAUUAAAGAAAAGAUGCCUACAUACAUUAUAUACACGUUGCAGUAUGUAAUUCUGGUAGCGAAGCAAAUUGAUCACAAAAUUUAUCACAAAUCAGAAGAGAAAGAAGCCAAGCAUUGAAGCAAUUAAGACAACCUCAUCCUCGACACCAAUUUGAGAUCUGUAAUCUUAUCACAAGUCAGUAGCCUAAAGUGAAAGGCAUAUAGAUAAAAUAAGUUUGUGCCUCUCUACAUGUCGAAGAUGUGCCUAAUAUUGUAGAAGAAAAUGUACAAUUUAUUAUUGAUUUAAAGUUUCAAUCUGAAAAAUUGUUUGAGAAUGUGCAUGAUGUUUACUUGGAAGAGAAGACAAGUGUUGAAGAUGAUGAGGUUAUUGAUCUAUCUGAUUUUUUUAAAGAAGACGAAAAACCUCAUCUUGAUUUGAGUAUUGAGCCUAAUAAUACAACUAAAGUUGUGCAGCAAAAUCAAGUUGAAGAAACUAAAAUGAUUGAAAUGAUUCUAUCUAUUCUCAUUGAAGACAAGAAAAUUAUGCUUGAAGAAGCUUUAAUUGCAAAGGUGAAUCUUGUGGGAGAUGCAUUGAGCCACAAUUAGGGAAGGGGAAAAAUUAUUUGAUCCUUGUUCAUUCUUGGAAGACAUCAUCGCCUUGAAGAAUGUACGAACGAAAGAAGUUGAUGAAGUAUGGAUUUUUUAAAGUUUCAUGAACAAUUGAUGAGAAAGACAAUAAGUUCGAAUUACAAGAUGAUUUGGUCUUACACUACAAGUUUCAUCCUCUAGAUUGUAUUCAAACUCAUGGAUGUAUUUCUUUUAAGAGGAGAAGAAUGAUGUAGGACGUUAAUUUUGGUUAAUUGAGUAUUCUAGAAUUUUUAUUAAUCUAAGGCUUUCUAUUUUAAUUAUUCUAAGGCUUUCUAUUUUAAUUGGAGUCUAUUAUGAUAUGUAAUUUAAUAUUUUAUUUUCAUUAUAAUUCUGAUUUAGUUUCACUUUUUAAAUUAACUUAGGGAAGUAGGUUUACAUUAGGGAAGCAGGUUUCUGCUAUUAUAAAUAGAGAAGUCUCAUUAUUAUAACUCAGAUUCAAUUAAUCAAUAAAACCCCUCCUUUAUACUUCCCUCUUGAAUUAUCUAUCAAAAUCUCUCUUGUAUUAGAGCGUCAUCUAAUCUCGCUUAACGCAUUAUUAAAAAUCUCAUUGAGUCGUUUAAGUUAGAAUGAUAUUUAAUUACGCUUUGAUUAAAGCGUAAAGUCUAGUAUUAGAAUGAUAAUUAGUGUUUCUUACCUUACCAAUUCUGCUUCCGCUAUGCUCGCCCCAUCAUUAGUGUAGCUUGAAUUUGUUUUGCAUGUACAUCUAUGUAUUAUUCUUUAAGUAAAUGAAGUCCUCAUGUAUUUUUUAGCUCCUCACCCCUAAAUUUAAUUACCUUUCCCGUCAAAUGACAAAAAAAAACCAAAAUUUCUGCUUAUUUGGUAAAAUUAAUUUUUUUUCUCAUGUUUUAAUUUUACUAGAAGUUCUCUAACAUUAUAAUGAUAAAUAUAUCAAUUUUUUUUUUUAAUAGAAAACUUGUAACUGAAAAAUUUGAGAGUUGAAAAAUAAAUGAUCUCGAACACUAAUAUUAAACAGAAGGAAAAUUUUGAUUGUUUUUUCAAGAUUUAAUCCCGUAGGAAAAUCCCCCAAACACGUAAGAUUGUCAAGAGAGAGAAAAGUAUGAAUGGAUACAAGAGUGCACACUGCACAACAUAAAUGACCAUGGGAAAUUAAAGUGAGAAAGUCCCAGUAGGAUGGCAAAUUGCUGGUCUAGAACAAGAUUUUUUAAGCCCAGGCCAAAAUUUAUGUUGUUGGUAAUAGACCGAACCCCUGUACUAGCCCAUCCAAGUUCUUGGGCUUCCAUUAAUUUUUAAAUAAAUUUUUAAUAUAGCCAAAAAAAACUUAAAUUAAAAUAAUUAUUUAAUACAUAAUAGACCAAAAAUUCAAUACAUAAAAUAAGAACAUCACCAAAAGGCUCUUCAAAUAAAAUUUUAUUACUUAUUUGAAGAGCCACAUCAAUAUUUAAAGCUAAAAAAAACACUCCAAUUAAGAUUCUUCAAAUAAUAAUUGAUUCUCUCUCUUCAAAUUUGGAGAGUUAAUUUCUCACUCUUCAAUUUAUAUUUUAUUACAUUUCAUUGAAGAAAGAGAGAAAAGUGCUUUAAUUGCUAUUGACUUUUUCUUUUAAAAAAUAAUUAUUUGAUUAAAAUAAUAUUAACUUAUUUCUAUUUGAAAAGUUUUUUAGAGAAUAUCAUAUUUUUUCACCCUUCUAUUUAUCACAUAGGUAAGCAAAUAUGUAUUUGAAGAGUAAAAUUUAUAGAAGCUUUUGGAGAUAUUCUUACAACACAAUAUAAUAAAUUAUAAAUAAUAAUUAUAUAAAUAAUAAAUUAAUUUUUAAUUUAUAAAUUAUAAAUUAUAAAGCCUGAAAUUCCAUAAGCCUGUAACUGUACCCUUUCGCAGUAAACUUUAAAAUUUUUAUUCAUGUCUAUGCCCUCACGUGACUUUUUGGUCCACCCCAGUCCUAAGGGCUCGCUAUUGGUUGUUAUUGUUAUAAGUCAACUGAAGCCGGUGAAUGGAAAUAAUUAGGGACAAUUUCAGACUUAACAUGAUAUUAUGAUGCUGGGUGACAAUAAAUAAGAAUCAGUUUUAAGAGGCACAUUAAUUGGCGUAUCGUCCUUUUCAUUAUUAACAGAUUGACGACCUACAUAGUACGUGGUAUUGGGACCAUUUAAAAUAUGAAUAAUGAUAUAUGAAUAAAUUUUUAUAUAAAUUUAUUUUGUAUAAAUUGGUGUGGUAUGAUAAAAUUAAUUGAAUUAAAUUUUAUUUAACCUACAUGAUUUAUUUAUAAUAUUUUAUAGUUUUAUUCAAUCAAUGAAUUAAUGUUACAUCAAUUUGUACAAGAUAAAUUUAUACAAGAGUUUGUAACUGUAUCAUCACUCAUAAAAUAUCAAUUACGUGAUGUGAGAUGAGGUUUGAAUCAUUUGAUUGUUCUGAAUUUAUCAAUAAAAAAAUUUUAAGCCACUUCUUUAUUUUUUUUCCAAUUUUUUUAACUCGCUUAUUUAUUCUUUUGAGUUCUAAAAAUGUUCUCAUUCAUAAACAUGAGAUCUACAUUAUAUUGAAAAAAAUUUGUGUGGGAGAAAUAAAUUACCUCAGCAUCAAUUGUCAUUUGACAUAAUAUUCAAUUGAUUUCAUAAUAAAACUCAUAAAUUUUUUAUUAUUUAAUUUAUGAGUCCCACUAAUAAGAUCCUUUAAACCUACUGACUAAUAGGUCGUUUUAAGAGGCACAAUUAAUCUGCAUAUUGUAAUUUUCACACAUAAUAGAUUGACUAACUAGAUAUCAUGAUGUUGAGACCAUUUAUAAUAUUAAUUACUUGAUGUGAAGAAUAUGUUUGAUUGCUCUAAAGUUAUCAAUGAAAAAUAUUUGUUUAAGGCACUUUCUUUCUUCUUUUCCAAUUUUUUUUUUCUAGUCCCUAUUUUUCAUUUUUUUAAAAAAUAUAUCCAUUCAUAAAUUUGAGAUAUACAAUAUAUCAAGAAACAUUUAUGUAGAACAAGUAUACUUCCUCAACAUUAAAAACCUAUCAUUUAGCUUAAUGUUGAUGAAUUCAUGAUAAGACUCAUAAUUUUUUAUUAUUUAAUUUAUGGAUUUCUCUAUCAGGAUCAAUCCAACCUACCUAAUAAUAGGUUAUUUUAGUGCAUAUUUUUCACCUAAUGUGAUAUGAUAUGUCUCUAGCUCAAUCUACUAACUUCAAAUUCAAGUUAACUCAAAUAGUAAGUAGUUUUAUUCAACUAGGUAGUCUCUUAAAGAGAGAUUUUGAUAAAACUAAUUUCCUUUUGAUACUUCAGACUCAUAACGUCAUAUCAUAACCAAACUUAAUAAAAGAUAAACAAUAUAAUCAAACAUUUGUAAUUGAUUUUUCACUUUUACAAAUAUAAGGUUAAGAUUUUUUUUAAUAGUGUAUGACGCAAUCGUUCUAGUUCUUGCUAUAUGCAUAGCUGCCAUAUAUAUACAUCACAUAUAAUCUUGAUUCUUGAAAUUUUUAUAUUGUUCUUGAUGGUCUUGAUUUUUGUCAUAUACGUGCAUCACAUAAUAGUCUUGAUCCUUACCAUAUCUUUGUUAGAUAAAUUUUUAGUUUAGAGAAACAAAAUAAACUAGACUCUCAAUCAGACAAUGUGGCUCAAAGGUCCAUUUAUACAAGAGAAAAGUUUUUUUUUUAACCUAUAUGACAGAAUUAAUUAAAGUAAAUAAUCAAAUAAAAUAUUUUGAUUUUGAUUUUUCAUAUUUACAUGCACAUAAUUAUCUUGAUUAUUGUCAUAUUUUUACAUAAUUACGGUCUUAAUUCUUAACAUUUGUGCAUGCCGUAAUAGUCUUGUUCUUUCCACAUUUACAUCCCAUAAUAUUCUCGAUUCUUGUUACUUGCAUAAGUCGUGAUGGUUUUGAGCUUUGUAAUAUAUGCAUCCCUUACUGUUAUUGAUCAUUUUCAUAUGUGUGUCGAUCAUAUAAUGGACUUAUUAUAUACAUCACGUAAUUAUUAUAUACAUCAAAAUAAUGAUCUUAAUUCUUUUAAUAUAUAAUGGUGUUCAUUCCCAUCAAACGCUUAUUUAGUACCUCUUAUUUGAUUGAAGUGUCUAUUUACACUUUAUAAUUUAAAGAAUACCUUAAAACAUCCCUGUUGUUAAAUAAUUGACAUUUAUACCCUUAUUUUUCUUUACUUUUAUAAUAUUAUUGUUACUACAAUUUUAAAGUAAUAGUUAAUACCUUUGCAAUGAUCUUGCUAAUAAUUAUUUAAAUAACAAGAUGCUUAAAAUAUUAUCUGAGAAGCUAAUUAAUAAUCUGAACAUGAACACAUAAAUGAUCAAACCAGAAUUCACCAAAACAACAUACAAAUCAGCUAGGAAUCACAAGACACAAUCAAUUACGUGGUUAAGGUAAUUUUCAUUUACUAACAUCCACGAGAGGAACAAACCGAUUAACUUUAUUAAUUGAUUCAAGUUUCUUUACAAAGAGAUUUUCAAAGCAAGAUUCAAGGAAUAAGAAAACUCUCUUCUCUCAAGCUAUCUCCCUCUCUUGAAUUCUCUAGGUCUCUCUAUUUGUUGCACCAUAAUCAGUUGUGUUAACAGCUUAUAACAAACCCAGAAGCUUGAUAGUAUUGCACAUGAGAAGCAUGUGUAAUGAAGACCUCUUAACAACCUUUAUAUGUCACUGGUCGAGUUUCAUUAAGCCCAAAAUGGCAAAGCUUAUUGUCUUUUAAUUAAGCAAAAUUAAAUCUCAAUGAAACACAGAUUAGCUGGUUGUUUUGUUUAAGUCAUUAACCACCCAAACACAUGCCAUUCUUGUCGUUUUGUCAACACUUGAUUUGUUUCACUUGUACUUAACAAAUCUCUACCUUAAAAAAAAUCAAAACCUGUUUAGAUUUUCUGCUCGUCCCUCUGCAACUUCAAAUAUUGCACAAACCAGCCUUGUUCAUGCAAACCUUGAACUUAGAUAUGAUUUACCUUCGUAAGCAUGUCUGCAGGGUUGCCGUCAGUAUGAACCUUCUCCAUUUUUAUCACUGCUUUGGACACUUCAUUCCUUAUAAAGUGUAAUUUGACAUCACCACGCUUGGUUCUCUCAUGAUGAACUGGAUUUUUACUCAAGUAAUUUCACUUGAUCUGUCACAGUGGAUAUCAAUAUUCUUUUGAAGCAUCCCAACUUAGCCAACAUUCCUUUGAGCCAUAAAGUUUCCUUGACUGCAUCUGUAGCUUUAGUGUAUUCAGCCUCUAUUGUUGACAUAACAAUAACAUGUUGGAGACCUGUUUUCCAGUUUAUAAUGCAGGCAUUCAACAUGAAUCUAUACCCUGUUAAGGACCUUCUCCUAUCAUAAUUACCAACAAAAUCUGAGUCCAUAUGACCCCAUAAUCCACCAUUUAUUCAAUUUGAUCUGCCAUAUAGUAGUCCAUUUUUUAUAGUACUACUUAAGUACAUCAAUAUCUAUUUGAUUGCUUUCCAAUGCUCCUUACUAGAUGCUGAACAUAUAUCUGCUUGCAAUGCUUAGAGCACCUGAAAUAUCAAGUCUUGUUAGGACCAUAGCAUACAUCAUGCACCCUACAGCAUUGGCAUAAGGAAUAUUUACCAUUUCAGCCCCUUUCUUUAUCUGUUUUAGGGUAUUGCUGAUUUGAUAGUAUGAAGUGAGAUGCCAAUGGUUUUAUGACAGAUUUACAGUGUUGCAUCCCAAAGGUGCUAAGCACUUAUUGUAAAUAUUUCUCUUGUGAGAGAAAAAUUGUUCCCUCUCUUCUGUUUCUCAUUAUCUUCGUACCUAAGAUCUUCUUUGCAUGUCCUAAGUUUUUCAUAUCAAACUCUGAAUUGAGCAGCAGCCUUAAGGCUUCAAUUUCACUUCUCUGUUUACAAGCUAUCAAUAUAUCAUCCACAUACAGCAGCAAGUAUAUAUAAAGAUUAGUUUUCGAUGACUUGUAGUAAACAUAACAAUUAAAACAGCAUCUAACGAAUCUAUGAGAAAUCAUGAACUCAUCAUACCUGAGAUACUACUGCAUAGGGAAUUGUUUUGACCCAUACAAUGAUUUGUUCAACAAACAUGCAUAAUUAGUCCUCUUUAGAUCCACAUACCCCCCUGGUUGAAUCAUCAAAAUCUCUUUUUAUAGCCUUCCAUGCAAGAAAGCAGUUUUAAUAUCAAGUUGAUCAAGCUCCAUGUCAUGAAUUGUUGUCAAAGCUAACAACACCCUUACUGAAGCAUGUCUGACUACAAAUGGGAAACCUUUCUUAAAAUUAACCAUUUCCUUUUGAGCAUAUCCUUUAGCUAAUAGCUAGCCUUAAAUCUUCUAGGUUCAAUAGUGGUUAGACCAUCAAUUAGAAGUUUACUAAACUUCAUUAUUCAUCACAGCUAAUGGAGAAAGGAACAUAAAGCUCACAACAAAUAAAUAUACAUAGUGACAGCACCAAUUGAACGGCACCAUAAACCAAUCAUAGAGACAUUUCCAUCAACCCACAAGUAAUCAAUCACAGCCUUCAGAUAAUCUUUCUGAAAAACAAGCAAUCAACUUCAAAUGGACCUUAAUUACAAGAAUAAAGGUCAACAAGAUAGAUAAUUGAUCUCAUAAAUGAUUUUUUCCCUUUAAAAAUUAAAAUUUUAAAAAAAAUUCCUAGAUGUGUAAUUUUUUCCCACUAGUUAACCAACCACUUACUUUAUUCCAUCCUAGAGUAACAUACUCUCCUGCACAGAGCCCAGAUCCUGAAAAAAUCAAAAGUGAAAAUGGUAAUAUUUUAAGGCGGUAAUAUUAUUGGAGCUUCACUAGCAUCAGCCUUGUAGAUACUGCCAAAGAUCAAGAUAUACUGCUAAUUACUAUUCUGUAACUAGUGCUCAAGUGCAUCAUUUGUAGAUAAAAAGCAAUGAAGCCUGUUGAAUUCUUGAAAUUACAAUAAAGUUUACAAUUCAUCUUCAAAGCACAAAGUUCCAAAUUGUAUCUUGGAAGAAAUAUGUGUAAGCCGUUACAUAAUUUUACUCCAUCUAUCUUUUAAAAUCACAAAAGUAAAUUUCAUUAUUCAUUGAUUAUUCAAUUGGAAUAUAAUUUCAAUAAGCCAAAUUCAUAUAAAAUAUAAAAUAUAGAUUUAGAUUCUCACAAUCCUUGAAUCUCCUGUAAGUUUACACAACCCAGUCCUUCAAAAAGCAAAGCAACAUUAUGUCAACAUAAAUUGAACAAUAUGUGACAGAUGAAUUGUACACCUAGACUAAGCAUAAGCAAGAUUAAAUACAACACCUCAUUAAGCUUUAACAUAAAACAAAUGGGAGUAAUGUGCUCAUAAUUUAUCUAUUAUUUUAAUGCUUCCAUAACUUAAUUUUAUGUUAAAGUAUAUUUUAUUAUAUUAAUUUUUAUAUUUUGUCAUUGUAGGAAUAUUGGGAAUAUUCAUGAGAAAAGAAGCUUAAAGAGGAAACAAAUUGGAGUAUAAUAGAAAUAAUGUGGAAGUAAAAGGGAAAGAAAUACAAAGCCAAAUAAAGGAAGAUUGAAUUUAAGCAUCAUGCAAGCAAUCACGUGAAGAAUCAAGGAAGAGAAGAAAAGGUCAAUUGGCUUUUAAUUUCAAGCUAGUUACGUGGAGCCCAUUUGACAAUUUAAAUGGCAAGCUUACAAUAUAAUAAAGGAAGCAAAUAUUUUGGCAUUGUUUGAAAAGGGUAUUCACGUGGAUGGGCUUAAAAGGUGGCUAGAAUUGUUUUGUUUUAAAAAUCCUUUUUAUUUAAGGAUUCGUGGGCUGGAUUUGUUUUGUUUUGAAAUCCUUUUCCUUUAAGGAUUUGGAAGAAACCACAACAUUAUAAAAGGGAAGAAAGGCAGCCGCACAAGAAGAAUCGAAGCCAAGAGAAAGGAGAUAGAGCAGCAGCGGCAAGUUUUGAGCAAAACCGAGAGCAGCAGGAAUAAUCCGGAGCAGGAGGAAGACGCAUUAAUUCUUGAGUUUUUCUUUUCCUCUUCUCUAUUAUCUUGCUUGAAUGUUUCCAAUAAAAUUAAUGGAUUCUCUUUAUAUUUCCAUGAACUAAUUUAUUUUACUAGGGCUACGAUGUAGCCUAACUAUGAAGAUUUAAUUCCAUAAAUCUAUGUUAUUUUUAAUUAAUUAUUCCAUGAUUGAGUGUUCAUUAUUGUGCUUAAUGCUUUUAAAUAUCUGGCCAAUAUUUGAAUGAUUUGAGGAUACAUAAUGAGACCGAGAGGAGAUUUAUGUAUUUUUGCUCUGUGUAAUGGAUGCCAUGAAUUGAACGAAAGACAGAGAUGUGCCAACAUGAUUCGUGCAGUUUUUCUAAGAAUUUUCAUGGAACUUAAUGAAUCUUUGCAUAUUUAAAUUCACAUUGAGAUAUAGUGGGUUAAUGUGUGAAGGUAUUUUUUAUAUUACUCGAGAGAGGAUAUUGAAUAAAUUAGAAAAAUUCACUGUCAACAUGGGUAGUAAAUUUUAAUAGCAUAGAUGGAGGAUUAAAUUGGAUUGGUUAUGGUGAAAUCGGAUGUCCUAGUGUCUUAAUCUCUUGGUGAUUUCUAUUACUGCCUGCGUCUUUAUUUAAUUUUUAAUAAUUUUAUUUUAAUCUAAAUUCGCUUAUUUGAUUGUUUAAAUAAAUUAGGGUUAGAAUAAUUUCGGUAACUAAUAGGAUAUACAAUCUCUGUGGGACGAUACUCUACUCUUCAUUAUAUUACUUGUGCCGACUAGUACACUUGCUAAUUUACGCAUCAGGGAGCAAGAGAAACUCCGUCUUCAUUUGGAAGCAAAUAUCUGCAAACGGACGCUAAACCAUAUACUCCGCAAACAUUUCCAUCUUUAUUUGUGACAAGAUUAUAUGUUAGGAAAGAGUAACUAGCAAGGAGUCGUAACAUUCGAUCAAGUACUGUUGAGGCUUCUUGGUUAUUUGUGGGCAGCUGAGAUGCAAUCUCAGAAGAAGAAAGCUGAGAUGGACUAGCUUUAGCUAAAAUCUCUAACACACCAAGCUCGAUGAUAGCUUUCAUGGUCAUCGGAAGUAAUGAGCUGUGGGCAAGCUCCAUGAUGAGCAUGAAAUCUUCCUCAUCGUUUGGUGGUUUCAUGAGUUGGUCAUGGAAUGAACUCAUCUUAUUUCUCGGAGUAGGAUAUGCUGAAAUUAACAAAAUGGCAAUGGAUGACGUUGAUGAGCGCUCAGUAUAUAACUAUAUAUAUACACGUAUAGAUAUAUUAGUUAUAAAUGUAGGUUUUGGUAGCUUUGCCGCUUUUAUAUAUGUAAAUAGCCCCACUCAUCACAAUCAUAGUUAUGUCAUCAACCAAUUUAAAACAAACGCAUCAGUGUUAACAAGGGAAUCAUUCACCACUUGUCUUCUAAGUCUUCAAUUUAAAUGUUUCAUCCGACUUUUCAAUUCUGCAAUGACAUUUUCUGUCCCACUCUCGACAGUGAUCACAAAGAUGGGAAACCUGGGUACCUACUUUUUUUGACUCUUAAAUAUUAUUGCAAUUUGCACCAGCUUUGGCCCAUGGGGGGCAUUGGCUGCGUGUCAGUUUCCAAAGUACCUCACGAUUCUUUCAUAUCUGCUUCGAAAAAAGAAAGAAGAGCUUUCAACAUCAGUAUUUAAAAUAGGAUCCCUCUAAGUUACAUGCAUGUACCUUACAACCCUCUCACAUGAAUAGUAUCCAUACACUAUUCAUGUGAGAGGGAUGUAAGGUACAUGCAUGUAACUUAGCAUUACCCAAAUCGUUUUUCUAUACUUAUCAACAGCUGUAGCCCAUAUCCGCGGGCAGUAGAUUUCAAACAAAUUCAUCAACUAACCAUCGAUUGUUUUCGCAUUGAAUGAGUAUUUAUUUCCAUUUGAAAAUAUAACCUAUUUUCAAAGUAAUUGAUUAUGGUCGUGAUUCGUUUAAUUUUUCUUUCUUACUUACCGAUAGCUUUGGCCCUUGUUGAGGACGCAUUAGGUUCCAAAUAAUCCAUCAACCAUGUUCUGAUAGCUACAGGGAAAACAAAGUAUUUGUUACCUUAUUAAAAUAUAUCAUAUUUCAUAAUAAUUGAAUGUGAUCGUCAUUUGAAAAUAACUUGUUACCAUUAUAAGAUUAUUUGAUUUCAUAAAAAUCAAGCAGAAGCAUAGGAACUUACCUCCAACUAUAGUUAUUAGUUUGUCAUGUGAUAAAGACAAAGCACAAAUAUAAACCUCAAUAGGGUGAUAAGGGAAUAUUCUCACAUCCAUUAAGAAUGAUCUUAGACUAAUAAUAUAAAAUUAAGACAACCGCCAACUCUUGAGUUAGUUUUUGAGUAUAAGUUAGAUACAACUUACUAGUUUAAAGUCAAUUUUUAACUGAUGUGAGAUUUUUAUAUUUGUUUUUAGUGGGCUUGUAUGUACUUUAGGAUUUGGUUAUAUUAUACAUAAUAUUCGAAAAAAAAAACAUUAUGAUUAAUGAUGUAUCAAUUGCACAACUGAAGACUUUGCUUGAUUGCUUGGACUAUAAAGUCUAUAUGUAACUGCCUGCUAAAUCAAGUGGAAAAGAAAUUUGUAUAGAUAGUCGAGUCCAAAAAAAAACUCACAGGACCAAGCCUCCAACUAUGACCAACCCUUCAACUAAGUUUGAUUUAUGAAUGAAUUGCAAAGUUCUUUUAAUACGGUUAAAAUUUUGAAUCGAUCGAGCAGUUAAAUAUGACAUCAGAAUUCAGAUGUAACUUUGCUACAAUGUCUCGUUUCAUAUUUACUAUCUGACAAAAUCGAUUAAGGGUUGUAUUUAAUAAUAAUAAUAUUAUUAUUAUUAUUAUAUUUUAAAUAAUUUCAAUGGCGUACGUUUCAGGUUUGUUUAAGCUUUUGGUCAACACAAACGCUUUGCCUAUUGGCACCAAAUUUUGAUUAAUUGCUCCCAAGCGAUCCAAUACCUGCCCGCAGCUGACCGUUGAAAAGUUGAUCUCGUCUAUUAAAUUAUAUAGUUCUGUAGUUAAUUGAACACCUCUUUUAUAUUUUUGUCCCCUCACAAACGCUUUGUAUCAAUCCUAAACUUUUUUUCCUAUCAUUUUCUUGCUUAUGGUUUUUUAUUUAAAAAAUUACAAAAUAAUUAUUUGAGUCUCCUUUUAAUUCUACUUAAUAUAUAUAAAUAUAUAAUUUUUGGAGUUAAAUAUAUGAUUUAAUCAUUCAUAAAUUUUUUAAAAAUUAAAGUUAAGUGGAACGAAUCGAUUUUUUUUAUAAUCAGAAAGAAAUUAAAAAAUUUAAAAAAUAUUUUAAGAAUUACAAGUAGAUUUAGGGAUGGCAAUGGGGAGGGGAGGGGACCAAUCUCUCCGUACCCAUCCCCGAUAUUUUGCGUAUGUCCCCGUCCCCUCCCCAUCCCCGUCAAAAUUAUUUAAGAGAAUCCUCAUCCCCUCCCCGAAUAAUAACAGGGGAUCUCCGAGGGUCCCCGAUCCCGAAUAACUAAUAUAUUUUUUCUAUUUUCGAUUUUGAGUUAAUCAUAUUAAAAUAAAAAAUUCAAAUAAAAGUAAAGUUUGAAAUAUAUCUUACAUUAAAAUCCAUUACAAAAGUCACAUACACUAAAUUAGUAAGUAACGCAGCAUGCAAGGGAUACAAACUAUCAUGAACAAAUUAAUAGGCUAAUAUAAAAUUGUUACAAAUAAAAUCAAAUUUAGAUUCAAAAUUAACUUUUCAAUGGUGGCGUGGGCACUUUAUAAAUGUGGACUAUUCCUUUUACAGCACAAUAGUUAAGUCGAAGCAAAUUAAGAGUAAAUAUUAGAUUAGAUUAGAUAUUAAAAUUGUGAUUUGCUAUGGCAAUUAUAACAUCUAAAAAUAAAAAUAAAAAUAGAUUUAAGUUUAAAAUAUUUAAUGAAUAUUAAAAUUAAAAUAAAAGUUUUGGGCUAAUAGAAUCUGUCCGGUCUUUUUAAUGUCCUAAAUAAAAAUUUAGGACUUUAAUUAGUUAAUUAAGCCUAAAAGUUUAAUAAUAUAAAUAUUUUGAUAUUUUUUUAUUUUUACCAAUACUUAUAAUUUUAUAAUUCAAUUUUUAUUAUUUAUUUGCUAGUAAUUUUAAAAAAUAAAAAUUAGAUUAAAAAUUAAAAUGGGGAAAUGGGUAGGGGAUGUGGAUUCCACCUCAUCCCCGUCCCCUCCCCGAAUAAGAAAUUGGGUAAAAAAAUUUCUCAAUCCUUUUCCCGAAUAAGAAAUUGGGUAUGAAAUUAUCCUCAUACCUUCUCCGAAUAGGAAAAAUGCCCGAGGGUACCCGUCCCCGUAGAGAUUUUUGCCAUCCCUAAGUAGAUUGUGAUAGAAAAAGAGUGUUAAUUUUAUCAAUUCUAGGCUUCUAGCUAUGGUCCACGAAAAAUAUAAAGAAUGCAAGGUAAAAUUAUACAAGAAGACUUUUACUUCUCUUCAAAAGGAGGACCAAAAAAUUCGAGAAGACUGACAUUGCAAGAAGAAAAAUUAUAUAACAACACGCAACUCGAAAAGGCAUAAAAUAAUAAUAUGAGGAGUAGACGCGGAUUGUACAAGCAAGCAGCCGCAGGAGAAAUUUGGUCAUUUUAUAUUGAGUAAUGAUAUAUAGUCACUUAUAAAUUUAUUUUGUACAAACUUAUAUGGUAUGAUAAGAUUGAUUGAAUUAAAUAUUACUUGUUUCACAUGAUUUGUUUGUAUUAUUUUAUAUUUUCAUUCAACCAAUGAAUUAAUGUCACGUCAGUUUAUCCAAGAUAAAUUUGUACAAGAGUUUGUGACUGUAUCAUCACUCUUUUAUAUUAACGUUAUAAUUUGACGAAAUAAUUAAUAAUUACUUAUUAUGAUAAACAAAAUCAAUAUAUAAAAUAGUAAUAAAACAAUCAAAUGUUACAAAAAACAUUAGAAAGCAAAAUGAUUCAUCGUUUUUAAAUGUUCUUAGACCAUGUAUCGAGGAAAUUUAAUGAUGGAAUUAGUAAACAAAAUGAUGCAUCGCUAAUUUAGGAUAAUUAAAAAAAGUCAAUAUCCAUCCAUAAACAAUAUUAAAUUUUGUAGGCAAUGUUCAAUAUUAAGGAAAAGCUACUAACCGAAAGUUGAUUUAGAUGGAUAAUUAUUUUAAUGAAAUUUAUUGAAUGUGAGCCUUAAAUAAAAUAUAUUUUAAAAUAGGAAAUGUAAUUUUGUAAAUAUUGAUUUUUUUUUUUUAACUACAAAAGUGUUAAUAAAUAAUCUUGAGGGGUUUUAUUCUAAAGUGACGGCCUUAGGCAAUUGCCUAACUUGCCUAUCUCUGGAGCCGGCCCGAUAAAAAAUUAAUAUCUUUUUAGUCGUAUCCUUCGCUAAGUUCGCUUUGGAUUUUUCGUUUUUGGUUCUUUCAUAAUUAGUUGUACUUUAUUUACAAUAGGAGUACAUAAUAAAUUCCUUGUUCACUCGGUCUCUUUGUUCUUUUACAUAUUAUGUAUGAAAAACCAGAGUUUCAUAUUUAUUUGUUUAAAGACGGAAGUAGCCUUUUCUUUGCACUUAAAUUGUAAGUGAGUUGCCACUUGGGCUUGUAGCCCACUGGUGAACCAUUGCCCUUAAAGUUAAGCAUGACUAUGAGGGUAAUGGUUCGAGUUUCUACGGACUCAAUGUCGCUCAAUUAAACAUAAUUGUGUGGAGACUACUUAUAACGUCUUUCUUCCUUGCGAAACACGAGUGUAGUAGAGACACCCCUCCUCCGUGUGGGAUAUUUGGCUGGUCAUGUACUUUAUAGAAUAAAAAUGUAAUAAUAUAAGUCUCAUGUAUAUAUCUGAUUGUAAAUAUUAGUGUAAUGACCUACUGUUAUAGCAGUUGUAUAUAUCUCUGUGUAAUACAGUAACUUGAUGCUUAAUCAGUUAAAAAAAAAAAUUGUAAGUGAGUUAUCAUUUGUAAUGUAUCAAUUACAAAACUUGAGACUUGCAUGCCUCCUUUGACUGAACUCCUCAAGAAUACAAAUUUGGUCGUAAAAUCUUCUGGCAAAGUGCAGUUAAGUCAAUAGACAACUUCUGAAGCCUAAAUCAAGUACGCAAGCAACUCAAUAUGUCAAUGUGGAAUUCCAAGUUGCGUCGAAUUAAAUGAAAAUUUCUAAUAGGAAGAAAGUCUUCAACUACAUUUGAAUUAUGAUUUUUUUUUUUGAAAUCGUGGAGAUUUAUUACCAAAGCCUUUAACUAUCUUUGAUUUAUGACUAAGUUUUUUUUUUUUUAAAUAGCGGAGAUUUAUUUUUAAUAUUAUUGUUAGACUUUCACUAAUCUGUUUAAAUUUUUCGAUCGUGUAGCUUUUUUUUUUUUUUUCUCUCUAAGUAAUAUUAGGCACUCUCGUAUUUAAUUAUUUUCACAUACAAAGUCUAUUUUCAAUUAUUUUAAUUUUUUAGUUCGUAUUUUGGAAUUUAUUUAGAUUUAUUUUUAAUAUUGUUUGAAAUUAAUUUGACGUGAGAUGGAUGUUGAGAUAUUUUUGGGCACUUGUAAAGCGUUUGGUCACGCCAACACAAAUGAUGGCCAAUUGGGCAUCAAAUUUUCAUUAAUUGCUCCAGCGCCAUUGAAUCAAUUGCGGCAGCUGACAGCCUAAUGCUUGCUGUGGUCAACUCUUCACUUCGUGUUGACUUUUGAACAUAUAACUUGUAAGACAAAAUGCGAAAUUCUUGUAUUCAUGAAGGUCAUAAAUUUGACGUUUAAGGUUAGAUUUUAUGCUAACUUUAUGCGCUCGGUAAAAGGAAGUCACAAAUACCUCUCAACAUCUCGUUGUAUCAUAUGAAUUUCUUUUAAAAUUAAAUUUGUCAAUAUGGAAAUGAUUAUUAAUUAAUUCAAUAAAUUGAAAAGCAAGUUGAGUAUACUACCCAAAUUAUUGGUACCAAUUUGUAAGCAUUUAUUUUGGCUUUGUGCUUAGCUAUCAUCACUUUAGCAAAUGAAACUAUAAAUACGCACCCAAGCUACCUAGCUACAAAUUAUUGGUACCAAUUUGUAAGCAUUUAUUUUGGCUUUGUGCUUAGCUAUCAUCACUUUAGCAAAUGAAACUAUAAAUACGCACCCAAGCUACCUAGCUACAAAAAUCAAGCAACAUAGCAAGCAAACAAUUGAAACCUUUUACAAUUUGUUUUCAACUUUUAUAGCCAUGUUUGAUUCAUUAGCCUUUCCUCAAUACUUUAUUUUCCCAGUAAUUUUCUUUCUCUUUCUCCAUCAUUUCAGAAAGAUCAACUCAACCCCAUGGAAUUUGCCUCUUCUUGGCAUGUUAGCCUCUGUGAUUCUCAACAUCAACCAGCUUCAUGACAAAGUUGCCCAAAUUCUUGAAAAAACAAAGGGCUCAUUCAUGAUCAAAGGCUCAUGGGUAGCUCAAUAUGAUAUGUUUCUCACAAGUGAUCCAGCAAAUGUUCAGCACAUAAUGAGUACAAAUUUUUCAAAAUAUCACAAAGGGUCCGAGGGGAGGAAGAGGUUUGAUAUUUUCGGAGAGACGGGGCUUUUCAAUUCUGAUUUUGAUGAAUGGAAACACCAAAGAAAGCUUGCUCGUGCGUUUAUUAAUCACCAGAAGUUUCAGCAACUGAUGGCCAAGAUCGUUCCGGAGAUGAUCGAAAGAGGGCUAAUCCCAGUUCUUGAUCAUGUGAGUGAAGAAAAAAUGUUGGUGGACUUUCAAGAUUUGUUGAAAAGGACCACGUUUGAUUUUGCAUGCUUGAUUGCCACUGGGCAUAACCCUAAUUCCCUUUCGGUGGGGUUUCCGGAAAUGGGGUUUCCGGAUGCUGUUGAUGAUGCUUGUGAGGCUAUACUUAUCCGGCAUCUCGUGCCGGAAAGUUUAUGGAAGUUGCAAAGCUGGUUAGGGUUUGGGAAGGAGAAAAAAUUGGCUAAUGCUUGGAGAACCAUUGACCAAUUUUGGGAGAAGCAAAAGUAAAUGAAGCAAGAAGAAAUAGAGAAAGGAAUGGAAGCUAAAGAAGAUGAAGGUAUAUAUAGUCUUUUGAAUUGUUACUUGAGUGGACAUGAAGUAACAGGACCAACACCAGCUGAAAAAGUUAUGAGAGACAACAUCACGGGCUUAAUUUUUGCAACUGAAGGCACCACAAGUAUAGCUCUCACUUGGUUCUUUUGGCUGGUCUCCAAGAACCCAUUUGCUGAAACCAAAAUCAGAGAAGAAUUGAAGAGAAAUUUUUCACAAGAAGGAUUCAAUAAGCCGCCGUUGGUUCGACUAAACGAGCUGAAUAAGCUUGUUUAUCUCCAUGCAGCUUUGUGUGAAACUUAAGGCUGUAUCCUCCUGUGCCUUUUGAAAUAAGGAUUCCUCUUCAGCCUGAUGUUCUUCCAAGUGGGCACCAAGUGAAUCAAAACACACACGUUUUGAUUUCAGCGUAUUCGAUGGCGAGAAUGACUUCAGUCUGGGGAGAGGAUUGUCGAGAAUUCAAGCCGGAGAGAUGGAUCACUGAAGAUGGGAGGAUCAGGCAUGAGCCACCACACAAGUUCUUUUCAUUCAAUGCAGGUCCAAGGAUCUGUAUUGGUAAGGAUAUUGCAUUUACUCUGAUGAAGGCCACAGCAGCAAGCAUUAUUCAUAAUUAUGAUGUUCAAGUAGUGAAAAAUCAUCCGGUGACCUACAAUCUUAGUAUUGGUUUUCGUAUGAAGCAUGGAUUACUGGCUAGGGUUUCUAAAAGAUCAGCUCAACCGCGGCAUAUUAAUUGAUUCAAUUGAUAAGCUAAGGUCUCUUCAAUAUGCAAGAAAUGUUUGGUUAAUUUAGAUUGGAGGAAGUCGCUGAUUUCGAAACAGCAAGAAAACAUAACGACAUGGUGUGGAUUUGUCUCCAUCCUUAGGAACAUUAUUCAGCUUCAGAAAACGAUUUGGUUACGACUACAAUGCAUUUGAUGCAUUGAUGGAUCGGUCUAAAUAAAUGUGAAUUUUUUAUAAUUAGUUGUGGAAGGAAAAGUAGUAGUAGUAGAUUAUUACGUUUAAUGGUGGUAUGAAGAAUGUAAGAUUAUUGUGUUUAAUGGUGGUAUGAAGAAUGUAAAAUAAUAUAAACGAAACUAGUGAAUAAUAGUAUUUUCUUAUAUCCACAAAGUCGCAACUAGAGUUGGCAAAAUGAGUCACUGAGUCGUGUUCGUGUCAUCUCAGUUUCGUAUUGUUUUAAAUUUAGAUCGACCCAAACACGGCCUAUUUAAUAAUCGUGUUAAAUUAUUGAAACUCGUACCUAACAUGAAAAAUAAACAGAUUAUCUAAUAACCCGUUUAAUAUCUAUAUAUUUAACAAAUGUUACACAUCCAAACUAUUACACAUUUACACUAUUUAAAGUUUAAAUUAUACAUAUGUAAAUGAUAGUAUCUAUCGAUAUCAUAAAAUAUAUAUAUGUAUCAAUAUUUUACACCCUUACGCUAUUAAAGUUCUAAAUUUGUUUUAAAUUUUAUAAAUAAAACACUGUGUAUAUGUCUGUCUUCUAAAAAAAAAUCAAAAAUAGAGAAUCAUGUCCAAUAUUUGAAUUUUAAUGAUAAGAAUUUAAAAGUUAAUUUAAAGUAAAAAAAUAUAAUCGUGUUGUUAUUCGGGUAGAUGGGUCAAGAAUUUUAACCCUAACUCGAUAUGAAAAAAAAUGUGUCAACCCAAACUCAACCCAUUUAAUAAUCAUGUCAAAUUUGAUGACUCAUCCCCAUUUAUUAGUGUUGUGUGUUGAAAAUCUGAUUAAAAAAAAGGUCAGAGUGAUGGGUGGUUGAGCCACCAUCUUUGAAUUCAAAGACGGUGGGUGGUUGAUGACUCAUACCCAUUUAAUAUUUUUGUCAAAUUUGAUGACUCAUAUCCAUUUAUUAGUGUCGUGUGUUGAAAAUGUAAUUAAAAAAAGGUCAAAGUGAUGGGUGGUUGAGCCACCAUCAUUGAACAAGGAAAAAUGGGUGGGUGUUGCCCAUGCAAAGAAGAAAAAGAGGAAGAAAAUGGAAGCCAAAAUUUGGCUAUAAAUAGAGGAAUUCUCCUCCUCAUUUUGUAUCCAAGAGAAGCAAUCUAAAUUGAGAGCAGAGAAAUAUUUUUUAAGCAUGUAAUUAUAUUGUAGGAGCAUUUGACUCCUCAAUAUGGGUAUUACGGGUUUGCUUUGUUAAGGAAUAUUUCUCGAGAUUAUAUAUUUGGACCUUGGGUGUGAGAAAAUUAUUUCUGAGAGUGUAAUUGUAAUAAUUUUUCACAUAGUGAAUAUUUUUCUCUAGUUGUUUUGUGACAACGGCAGUGAUUUUUCUCCGGAUUUGGAGUUUUCCACGUAAAUCUUAUGUUGUGUGAUUGGUGUAUUCUCCAUUUAAUUUUUCUGUUAAUUUGUUGUUUGACAAAUUGCUUGCAGUGAUCUUGGGAGGAAGUUCAAUUUCCUAACAUUGUGUUCGUGUCAGGUAGUCAGAUCGUGUUAAAUUUUGCCAGCUGUAGUCGCAAUUAAUGUAUUACAUGAUAAAAUUAACAAUUUACCGAUGGAUCUGAUCUGUUAUAUGGUCUACCCAAAGAUUUUAGUCAUAUUAUCAACAAAGUCUAGCUCUAUAUAUGUAAAUUCUGAAAAAGUUACACCAUAAGAGGUAUUUUAAAAAGAUUUUGAAGUCCAACUCUUUUUUAUUUGUAAUUUUAACUUACAAAAUAGAUUUUUGUUUUAUAAUUUGGCUCUUGGAUUUUAACUAUCAUAAGCUUACCCUUGAUUUAUAAGCUUACCAUAUGUGAUUUUCAGCCCCUAAAUUUCUAAUUUCGGCUCAACCCCUGCCCCUACUUCUUGUCAAAUGGCGAUGUGGAAUAUUAUUGCAAUCGAUAAAUAUCCGACCUCAUAAAUAUUUGAGACUUCAAAUACGACCAAGAGAGGACUGUUAUGUCAUUCAAAUGGAAAACCCACACGCAACAAAUAUGUAAUAGAUGGGCUGAUGGGGCGAAUCUGAUAGUGUAAAUUGAACAUUGAGAAAAUAAAUAUGUAAAACAACAUGAUUUAUAAAACCUUCAGUGACCAUCGAGCAAACCUCUUUUCCGAAAAUCUGAUGUUUUGCAACUUUUUAAUAAUAUUUCUUAGUAUUCAAAAAAUUUUCUGUAAAGGUUCUUUGUUCUUGAAGAUUGCAUAAGAGAAAAAAAAUAAUAAUAAAAUUAGGAGCAUAUUAACUCUCCAUUAAAUGUGGGAGCUCGCGAUGCAAGACUUUAUUUUACUUUCCUGACAGUUGACAGACAAUUGGCUCAUGACAGCCAGAGUUUUCUCUUUCUACAUGGCAGCCUUUCCAUAAUUUUUUUAAAAUUCGAGAUCGAGAGGUCACCCAACAAAUUAAGAGAAGAGUAGUGCGGAGAGAAGCACGAGAGAAAUAUGAGAUUUUUUUUUUUUUCUCUCAACUCACUUAUUUUCUCUCUAUUUUUUUUUAUAUUGUUUUUCUCGUUUUUUUUUUUUUUUAUGUUUCUCGACACCAAGUAUUUUCCCUCACGUAAUCAGAUUUUUCUUUGAAAAAGGAUUUGGAAUAAUUCCUAUCAAGUAAUGCUUCCAAUUUGUACGGCUCACUUGCUUGCAAUCCACUGAGAUAUAUGGCAGAUUCAAUCCAGCUCAUUUCUUUGCAAUCUUCUUUUGUCAAACCAAGAUCAGGGAACCUUUCCUGCAUUAAUGGAAGAACCCUAUCAACCCCACCAAGAAACAAGGAUGAGAAUGAGCACGUGAUCGUUCCCUUUUUCUUCGUAGUACUUAAACUCACUGCCCUAAAGGUAGCACUGAUGACUAAGUCUUCAGGAAGCUUAUCAGCAACGUACUGAUAUUUGUCAAGGAUCUUUGUCGCAUUAUUUUCCAAGGUUCUUGUGACUGUGAAUGCAGUCACAGUUGAUGGAACUGUGACUAAAUUUACUUUCCAAGCAACAAUGAUUCCAAAGCUAGCUGCUCCACCUCCCAAAAUAAAUCCUCUCCCAUUGAUUUUCUAUCAAGAAUUCUACCCCUAACAUCAAUCAAGUGAGCGUCAACUACUUGAUCAGCAGAAAGACCAAAUUUACGCAUAACGUAACCAUAGCCUCCCCCACUAAAAUGUCCACCAACACCAACAGUCGGGCAAACUCCAGCUGGAAAGCCAAGAAUUUUACUUUUCUUGGCAAUUCUAUAAUAAAGUUGGCCAAGGGUAGCACCAGCUUGAACCCAAGCUGUUUUCUUUUCUGCAUAAACGUUGAUUGAGCUAAGAUUUAUUAAAUCUAUCAUCACAAAUGGAACUUCAGAGGUAUAAGAAAGACCCUCAGAAUCAUGACCUCCACUUCGAACUCUAAUUUGGAGGCCAUGUUUUUGGGAACAUUUUAGGACUGUUUGAAUUUGGGAUACAUGAAAUGGCUUGAUAAUGACUUGAGGUUUCGGGUAUUUUGGUGCUCUAAAGAGAAGAUUUUGUUUUGAAAAAUCCAAUAUUGAUGAAUAUAAAGGGUUAUCUUGAGUGUAAAUUACUUCAGAAAUGGAGGUGUCCUCAGAGUGUACAGAAAGGCAUUGAAGAAAAUUUUCAUUGGUAAGUAAAACUAUCCCAUGAAAGGAUAGCAAAAGAGCUAAAGUAAUUGAAAGAAUAAUUGUAGUGCUUUUCAUUUUGCUGAUGUGCAAAAGAGAUUAAACCCUUAUGUAUCAGUAUACAAUCAUAUCAACUACUCUCAUAAAUUAAUUUUAAAUGUGUGGUGUGCGGCAUAAUAAAAAAGUACUGCAUUAUUGAUAAGAAUGACAUCGUUUGACAUUGAAAUUUUAACUCAGAUAGAUUCGUAUCAAACAAAAAGCGUUUAUCAUACAAUAAACAAGCUACAUUAUUUGAUGAAAAAUAUGGUUUUGUUUAAAAAAUUAAAUUUUUAUUCUAUUUAUAUUUUAUUUUCCUAUUUUACUCAUGAAAAGUGUUGGAUUCACUUCAUUUAGGUGGCCCAAGCCCAAAGCUUCCAAUAGUUUGGAUGUUUAAGUAAUUAAAGAAAAUAAGUUGGGGUUAAAACAAAAUUGCCAUAUAACUUAAGUUAAAAAAUCACGUGGAUAUAAAAGCAAGUGAAGCGGCAGUGCGGCACCUUAGGAUGGGGUAAGGAUAUUUGAACUAUCCGGAAUACUUUACAAACCCAUACUUUUAUAAAAAUAUUUAUUACUGUUAUGUCCACGAAUGAAUUUACUAUUAAGAAUAAAAUUAUGUAAUUAAAUGAAAUAAUUUAUUCUCUACACCUAUUCAAAUCUCUUUUUUUCUUUGUCCAUCCCUUAAACCUUAGUAUUCAAUGGGCUUCUCUAAUAUUUUUUUUACACAUGUCUCUCCAAAUUGCAAAUAAAGCUAGGAGUGUGCAUCGGUUUGAUACAUUAUAUAAUUAGAAUCCAUUCUGUCGCUCCUUUGGUUUUUAGGGCUUCUAAAUCCGUUCAUGAUGUCGAUGUCGGUGUUCGAUUUCUUGUUAAUCUUGAAAUGAUCAAAAUAUCUCCAAAAUAUAUAAAAUACUCAAAUUAUAACAAAACACGCACGAUCAAAGUUUAAAGGACUUAAUUACAUAAAAAGUAGAGAUGUUAGUGAGACUUGAAAUGUAAAAUGAUGAUUUUUUUCCUUUAUAAACAUACACUCUCCAGUACUUAACAAUAAAUAAAAGUCUUUUGUAUCUUUUUACAAGCAAACCUUGAUUAUUAGUUGAUGAUUAUUCUUGGAAAAGGUAAGACCCUUCAUUUAUGCAAUAAGUAUAAAAUGAUAUUUUAAAAUUUUUCAUUUUUCUUUAGAUAUAAGAAACGAGUUGUUUCACUUAGUUGUAGACUUUUGAGUAGCUCGAUCUGGGGAAAAUGCAUUUGUUAAUGAAUUUCACUUGAAUUAAAAAAAAUUAUUGUUUACUUAGAUUUUAAAAGUGCCACCCCAUACAUAAAUUUUAGUUAUCAUCCAAUAACUAUUGCUUUAAGAAAAAAAUUUGGGUGGUCCUAAAAUAUACUCUUUUUCCAUUCAUUCAUUAUCAUAUGUAUAUUUCAACUAAUUAUAUUAAUAUGCAUACAAAUAUAAGCAUCCAAGACCUUCUCUUUAAAGGACAGUUUAAAAAAUAAAAUUUGAAUAUUCAGAGGAUUCUUUGACGAUAUCAAUAUCUAGUUCUUCAAAGAGAGUCAUAACGCCUAGUAAUAGCCCCCAAUUCCAUUCAUGAUUGGUUGAGCUUAAUUUACUACUAUAAUUAUUGACUAAUAAUAUUUUUAAAACUGAAAUGAUGAAUAAAUUUUAAUUGUUUAUUUUAUUUAAUUUUACUAAUAAAGUACUUGACUUCAAACAUAAAAGUUCUCUAUUGAAUUUUUAAUUGAUUGUAAUUAUAUGUAUUAAUCUUGUUAUAGCUUACAAUUCACAACUUAUUUAUUAAUUCUUGCGAUUCUCAGUUGAUUUAUGAAUUCCUAGAGAAUUACAUGUUUUAUAAGUUAUAAUGUAAAAUUUCAUCUUAUAAAAAAAAGUGUAAAAUUUCAUAAUGAACGAGUUCUACUGUUUCAAGUUGUGAAAAGUACAAUUUCAGAAUUUUUUUUUAUUUGACUUGCACUUUUAUUUUCUUCUUUUUUUAUAUAUAAUUAUUUUGUUAGAGUUGAUAUUUAUAAGGGCAAGCUCUUGAUACCAAUAGAGAAGCUGCAAAUUGUCAGAAAACUUUUUGUUUAAAUUUGAACUAAAUAUUUUAUUUGUCCCCAAUAAAAAAACAAUACCAAACAAUUGUUAGUUUAAACUUGAUUUCAAUCAUAUGAGCAACAUCUUUUUUUUUUUGGUUAGUUAUUAGGUACUGAUUUAGAAAUAGAGAGAUUAAAUGAUUAAUUGGCUAAGGCAACACUUAUAUAUAUAGGACAGUGAUCCAAUCCGAGGUAACAAAUUGGAUCACUUUUCGGGAAUCCACCAGGAGCCAUUGGAUUGAAAUCCAAUUGCCCCGAUCGUUUGUUUUUUUUAUUUGUUGGCUGCACAUGGUGGGUGGCCUUUGGAUUUAUAUUCAAAGGCCACCGACCUUUGUCUCGAAAACUGUUCCAAUUCGAGAGUUCAUAUAUAUAUAUAUAUAGCUAAUGUUAAGUUACAUUCAUGUAACUUACACCCACUCACAUGAAUAAUGAGUUGGUUUCACACCACUCACUAUUCAUGUGAAAGUGUUGUAAGUUAAAUGAAUGUAACAUAGAGGGAUCUUAUAUAUAUAUACCUCAAGUAGAAGCCUGUCAAGUCUAAGUUAAUUUUUUAGUCAUUCAUCUCAAGACUUGAAUGCAAAUAACUAUUUAAAAGAAAUAUAAUUAAAACUAGCACACCCUUGUGACAAAUACAUUUCUAUGGAUGAAUUCAUUCUUUCCAAGGAAUUUGUUGUUGGCACACCAUUUCAAAAUUUCAAUCUUUGAAAUUAUUUUGGUUCUCAGUCAACAAGUACUUAAGAGGUCAUCUGAUUAAGCAAUCUCGAAUUUUGAUAUUGUUAGUUGUGGUCGGUCCGAAUUUCUCAAAUUACAUAUAAACUAUUAAUAAAUAGUAAACUUAAUAAAGUUGCAAUAGCAUUAGUCUGCAAAUUUAAGUCAUUAGUAGUGUUUGUUAACACGUUUAUUUUUAAUUGUACCUCAAUUAUUUUCUUGCACGUUUAUAUUUUGAAUUGUUUAUGAUGUUCUACAUCUAUAUGAAUAUAUUUGUAAUAUAAUUCAAAUGUCUAUUGAGACUAUGUCAAAAAUUUUCUCCCACUAUUAAACAGAUAUCCACGUUUAGAUACCCAUAUUUGUGGGAAGAUAAAUAUUUUUUUUUAAUAGAAAAGCUUAGCUUUCAUUAAAACGAACUUGAGAAUAAAUACAAAAGUUGAGUUGGACACUUCUUAGUCCACACUUUUGAUUAUGCAUUGUUUAGAGCCAGCUUGGCCAUUGAGUAGGCAGUAUCAUUACAAAGUCUUGAAAUGUGCUGAAUUGUGGUGUCGUUAAUCCUUUUAAGUCUUUCUUGAAUAUCUAAAAUAGUCCAAUUGACUUAAGCUUUACUGCAUUUUCUCCCUAACACUAGGUCUACAGCUUCUUGGCAAUCAAAUUCAAUUAUCAAAGGCCUGCAUCCAACAGCUUCUGCAACUUCAAAACCCAACUGAAUUGCUUUUGCUUAUGCUGCAAGAACAUCUCCAAAGAACCCUUCCUGUUUUUGAGCUACUGCUACAAAUUUUCCUCUAGAGUCUCUAUUCGCAACUCCUAAACAUGCCACCUUCUUCUGUUUAUUUGUUGCUGCAUACAUGUUUAUCUUUAAGCACCCUGCUAGUGUGGGUUUCCAAGUUUACUCUGCUAAAGCGGUUUGGCUUUGAGGGGAAGGCAGUGAUGGUGGCUUAAUUUUCCUAUAAGCUUCUACAAUGGCUUCUGCUUUAGCCAAUGAUACUUAGGAAUCUUUCUUCUUUCCUUCAAAGAUAAAGAGAUUCCUUGAAUGCCAAUUGGCCCAACAAAUUGCAAUAAAUAACUCCAUCUUUGUCCUACUCAUUUUUGCAGUCAAAGCUUGGAACACACCCAAGAGAUCUUGAUUUGCAAAGAGGUUCAUUUUAUCUGUAAAAUCAAUUAUCUUCUAUGUCUUCUUGGAUGCUUUGCAGUUUAGAAGGGUAUGGGUGGUAUUCUGUCCUGCUUACCACAUCUUAAAUAUCAAGGUUGCUGCAAAAUCUUUUUUUUUUCAAAGAGAUUCUCGGUUGUUGGAGGGAGAUUUUGGCUGCCCUCCACAUGAAAAUCUUUAUCUUCUCUGAAAGAUCCAGUUUCCAUAUUGUAUGUCACUCGAAUGAUUUUCUUUUUAAAGUACUUGGCCAGUCUGGGAAUUUCAACUUUAAAGCCACCUAGUAUCCUCUCUUCACAUCAUAGUUACCAUGCUUAUCAACGCCCCAUAUGAGCUUAUCUAGCCUCAAGCUUUUUGGUAGCAUUAUCUUCAAAAUGUGCUCUAUGCCUUCAGGUGUGAAGUAUUGUUUUAUUAGAGUUUCAUUCUACUUAUACUCUCCAUCUAUCAAUAUAGAGAUUGAGGUAUCUAAAGGCAGGGUUGGUGUUGACAAAAUCUUAAAAGUUAAAGGUCUAGGAACUCAAUUGCUGUUGUAAAUUCUGACUUGAUCUCUACAUCAUAUCCUCCAUGUCAAUCAUUGUUGCAGCACUUGUCUACCCCAGAGGAUACUCCACCAUAUGAAAGAUGGCUUACAUCAAAAGUUUACAUUAAACAAAUCUAAUUUUUUUUAAAUAUUAAGCCUGGAGAACUCUUGCCAUUAAGGAGUUAGAGAACUGAAUUACUCUCCAGCCUUUCUUAGCCAAUAAAGCUUGGUUAAAGCUAGAUAACUCUCUAAAUCCCAUCCAUAAUUUCUCUUUUGACUUGCACAUUCCCUCUCACCUAGACUAGUGAAUGCCUCUGUGAUUUCUUUUUGUUUCCCACAAAAAACGAGCUAUUUCCUUUUGGAUGUUAGCACAUAGACCCAUUGGAAUUCUGAACACAUUCAUUGCAUAAGCAAAGGUUGCUUGGGCUAUUGCUUUGAUUAACACUUCUUUUCCUCCACUUGAAAUUUUUUUUUUUUUGACAGUUGGAUAUCUUAUUCAACAGUCAUAACUUGAUGUAAUUGAAGAAACUUACUUUUUUCCUUCCCACCAUAGAUGGCAGCCCUAAAUUCUUCUGAUGUCUAGAUACCACAUUAAGCUGGAAUAUGCUUUUGAUCUCCUUUAUUUGCUUGGCUUAGGUGUUUGCACUGAAGAAUAUAAAUGAUUUUUUGUAGUUAAAGAUUUGUCCCGAUGCAGUUGUAUAGUUGUCAAAGAUUUUUUUCAGCCUUUUACAUUCUUCCAAAUCAGCCCUUGUGAAGAUAAGGCUAUCAUAUGCAAAAAAGAGGUGGGCGAUUAACAAGCUGCUGCUGAAAUUUAGGCCUUGAAUUAGCUUCUUUGAUUCUACCUAUUGCAACAAGUUUAAGAAGCCUUUUGCGCAGAGAAUAAAAAGAUAAGGAGACAGAGGGUAGCCUUGCCUCAAACCCCCCUAUGAGUGAAUCAUUCCUUUUGCAGCACCAUUAAUAAGAAUGGAGAAAGAUGCUGUCGAGAUACACCUCAUUAUCAACUCAAUCCAUUUAAGGGAAAAGCCUAAUUUUUCCAUAACAUUCUCCAAGAAACCUCAUUCAAUCCUAUCAUAGGUCUUGCUUAUAUCAAACUUUAAAGCUACCAGCCCUUUUUUUUUUUUUUUACCUUUAUUGAGCCUUAUUUUAUGCAAACACUUAUAGCUAAUAACCACAAUAUCCAUAAUGAGCCUACCAGGGAUAAAUGCACUUUGUGUUUGAGAGAUAAUGUUAUGUAACAUGUGUUUACACCUAUUUGCUAUGGUUUUUGUUAUAAUUCUAUAAAUUACAUUAUAAAGACUAAUAGGCCUAAACUUUGUCACUUGUCUUGGCUUCUUAACCUUAGGUAUCAAUGCAAUGUAUGUGUGAUACGGAGGGGCAAUAUUAUCUCCUUCAUUAAGGAUGUUAAGGCAGGUUGUCAACACUCCUUUGCUCACUGAUUUAUAGUGUUUUUGAAAGAAUGCUACUGGAAAUCCAUAUGGUCUGGCGGCUUUUAUUGGACAUAUUUGCAAUAGGGUUGUUAUUAUCUCUUCAGCCCUGAAAGGUUUAUCCAACUCUUCGUUCAUUUCUGUUGUUAUUUUCCUUGGUAUUUUUUUCCAGCACCUCUUCCAUUUGAGUUUAAGAGGGGUUUGUUGUAGUGAAGAGAUUUGCAAAGUAGUUACAAAAUAUUCUUUCCACAUCUUCUUCUUCCUCUGUCCAAUUCCCAUUUUCAUCUAAGAUUCCCUAAAUUUUGUUUUUCCUCUUUCUGGAUGAUGCUUUUGCAUAGAAAAAUUUUGUAUUUUUGUCCCCUUUGCGCAACCAAUCUGUUCUAGAUCUCUGCUUCCAGUAUAUUUCUUGUUCUAAAAAGAGGCUAUCGAUAUGUUUUUCUUCUUUUAACCAGCUCACCAUCCUCAUAAUGUUGAUUUCGUUGCUUUAAUUCUUUUAGCUCCUGUAUCAGCUUCUCCAUUUUGUGCCUUUUAUCUCCCAGCUCUUCUCUACUCCACAUUUGAAGUUGGACCAUUGAUUCUUUUGUUGUUUUCAUGAAACAUUCAACUGCAUUUCCAUGACUCUAUCUUCCUUGUUCAAGCCACUUCAACUUCACAAUCUCUCUACAUUUGUCAUAUGAGCUCCAUAAGUCCUCAUAAUGCACCCGGGGGAAGGUCAUUCUCUUGUAUCUUAGCCCUCUUUAUUUUUCCACUACUGUCAUCAUAAUAGGGUUGUGAUCGAAUGUCCAUGUCUCCAGAGUUACAGGGGUUGAUUCUAGGAGCAUGUUUCCCCAUUCUUUGUUUCACAGAAAAUGAUCUAAUCUUUCCUCGAUCAAGCAAUGUCCAUACCUUUUGUUCGACCAUGUCACUGGGCGCCCACUACUCCCUAAAUCCAUCAGGUUGCAUUCCUUAACAGGCUCCCUGAAAUUUUACAUUAAAUUAACAUCUCUAUCAUUUCCUCCUAUCUUCUCGCAAGGUUAUAAAAUUUCGUUGAAGUCUUCAAAGCACAACCAAGAUAGAGAAAAUAAGUUGGCUAACCUUUUAAGGAGUGUCCUUGUAUAGUGCUUUUGACUAAUUUUCGGGUGUGCAUAGAUUCCUAUACAUCUCCAGUAGCUUCUGUUUCAACACAUACAGCUGCAUCAAUGUGAUGUCUACUCCAAGACUUUACAUCCACCCUCAAGUCUGAAUCCCACAUUAGGGCUAAGCCCCCCCUCUCCUUUCAUGUUCUGUCAACUUGAAAAUAAUUUUCGAAAUUUAAUUUAUGACUCUUUUCUUACAUUUGACUCGGUGUUAACUUGGUCUCGCAAAGAAAAACAAGCUUAGGCCAAUGCAUUUGGAGCAGUUUUUGAGUUUCGCGGAACGUCGAGUUACUCCCCAGUCCUCAAACGUUCCAGUUGAUAAUAUUCAUGGCUGUCGGCCGGGCUGUUAUCCAACCUCCGCCGAUUUUAAUACUGAAAAUUCCAUUGCCAUCUCCCUUGUUUCAUUGGUUUGCUUUUCCAUGCUCUCCAUGUAUAGCUUUUGUUUUGCUUUCGGUGAACCAAAGAUCACUAUCUCUAUAGGGCCACUCAUUUUUUCCUUUUUGUUUCUGGGCUUUCCAAAUUUAUUCCCAUUACUUCAGCUGCUGGCCUUUUUGCUAUAUUUGGCCCAUUUUGCAGCUCUGCCCCUUUUUCUCUAAUUUUGUCAUCUUGUCUAGCUUGCAUUUUCCACUUUCUCCUUUUGGGCUUUGUCGUAGGUGUCUUUGGCCCAUUUGCCACUUUUCCAUUUUCCCCUUCAACCUCGACUUUCAGUUUCCCGCCACAAAUUUUCUUCAUUGCCAAAUUCAAUUUCCCUUGUAACUUUUUUGGCUCAGUCUCUUUUUCUUUCCCUUCUGCAUUAGCCGUCUGCUCCCCUAUUGAUGUUGACUUCAUUGACAAUCCCACUUAGCCUCUGACAGCUUUCACUCCUUGCUCCCUUAUCAUUGCCCUCUUUCAUGAAAAGCUCCUCUGGAAUUAUUAUCUUCUGACUCCGGGUUGCUCCAACAUCCAAACCGGAUGUUUCAUUCCGGGUUGAGGCUUGCACUUCUGUAACUUUGGACUUGGAAUUGCUAGGUGGGCUUUGUGAAUUCCUUCUUUGAUUUUGUACGUCUGCAUUCCUUCGGGAAGAUAAAAUAUUUUUAAGUUGGUAGAAACUCAAAACUUACGAAGCCCACUAUUAGGCCUAAAGCCUCAGUGGCUAUACACGUUUAUUAAGGUGGCAGACAUGAUGAUCAUACACACAGAGGAUUCUAUCUAUAAAGAGUGUUUGCAUUCUUAAAUAGUUUAGCGUUCUAUUUUUUCACUUGAGUCCUAUUAUUUGUAGAAGUUAAUUAGUUAAGCCAUAAGUUUUAAAAGUGGAUGACUUAAGUCUUCCCGAAUUUAAUUAAGCCGUCUCCUUGUUACUCUAUUACGUACGUGAAGAAUGUUGAAAAAGGGGCUACUUGUGUUGAUUUAGUUUACCUUUAUGUUGUUGACGGUAUUUGAUGUGUUUGAAUUCAAUUUAAUUACCUUGUUUUAUAUUUUUAAUAUUACAAUUAUUGGAUAAUCAUCAAACUGAAUGGAUGUUGUUUCCGUCUUUUUAAUAUUUUAUGAUCUACAUUAUCAUUGGACAAUCAAACUGAGUGUUCUUGUUCGCAGUAUUUUAAUGGAUGUUGCUUAUUAACUCAUAAUAAAAAAAUACCCCAACUUAUUACUCUCGAUUUUUUUUCUUUAUUUAAUUUUAAAUAUUAUUUUUUAGGCCUAAUUAAACCCAAUUAGACUAAAAAGGGAAGUAAUAAAAAGAUAAAAAAUAAAAGUAAGAAGAAGAAGAAUGGAGAGAAAGAAAGCUACGGAAAUGAAAGGUGGGGGAGAAAGUUGUUGGCCGAAACAUUUCGUGGAAACCCCUUCAGUUUUCUGAAAUUGGAGGUAGGCUUCUCAAUUUUUGAGUUUCUUACACUAUUAAUUUUUUUUUUUUUAAAAAAAUUGAUUUGGUAUUCGGAGGAUUGCAAAAGAAUAACAAGAUAUUGGAUAAGAUGAGUUCUACUUUACAUAAAUAUUGUAUUGUGAGUUUAUAUAUUUUCUAAUAUUAGUUCAUUUAUAUUUAUAUUAUGAUUAAUUGUGAUUUUGAUUAAAUUUUGGGGUUUGCUUAUUAAAUAAAUUUGAGGAUUCGGAUGUUUUGAUAAUUGAUUUAUGAAUUUUAGUGCAGAAAUUUCCUGAAAUAAUGAAUUGAGCUCUUAGAGGCAAAAGAAAUUAAAGUACUUAUGGUGGGAUAUGUAAGAAUCAUGAAAAUUGGUGGAUUAGAAUUAAUUCUAUAAAUUUUAGAUUUAAAGACAUAUAUGAGCAUUGUCAACAUUAUAUGUUAAUUUACAGCAGUGAGAUUUCUAGAAGGAGAUGUCAUUAGAUAAUGAAUACAGAGAAUAAAUUACAAACUAGUUUUAUUUCAUAAUGGAUGUUGAGUAUAAGUAUGUUUUCUUGGUUCAACAAAGAGCCACGUUCGUAAAUUAGCAUAGGACGUCGAGAUGAGUCAAGUUUGAGCGUCAUCGUUCUGAGUGGAAUAUGCCAAAUUUAUAUUUUAUAUUUUUCUUAUGAUUUUAAAUUUAGUUUUGCUGCUUUCAUUAAGUUUGUAGAAAGUAGAAUUUAUUUGCACACUAAUGUGUUCCUUUAAGGAUAUGAAAAAUGACUUUUUUAAUUCAUUUGAUUUUAAAUGCAUAAUAGUAUUUUAGUGAAAUAAAAUAUAGAUUUAAAUUUUGUUUAAAGUGCUUAUGUAUGUGUGUAAAAAGUUUGUUUCCAAAAUCCUCAGGCAAUACAUUUCACAUCCAGAGACAAAGAUAAGUACAUAAAAUGACUGUGAUGAUGUUAGGAGUCGUAGAUCAUAUUAAUAAAGCAUUUUUAUCACCUCUUUUUUGGAUUGUGUAAGUUAUGGUUGUUUAAUGUAUUAGCGACAACAUAUUCUUUUGAAACUAUUGGAAAUGUUUGGAUGAGAUUAUUUAAGCAUAUUAUUUACAAUGAUGUAGUAUAUUAUAUGUUUGGAAGGUUGACCAAUGAAGUUGGUUGAGUGCUAGAUUAUUUUGGGAGUACUUGUCUCACAUAUUUGCAUAUUAGAAAUGUAAAAAUAUACAAUGGAUAUUUUAUCAAAUUUUAGGCAAAUCUAUAUUGUUAAAUUUAUCACAUUAUAUAAAAUUAGAUAGACUUGCCCUUAAAGUUUGGGGCGGAUGUUUUAAUUUAAGAAUUGAGUCUUAGCUCUAAGUUAUAUUCUUAAUUUAGAAACUAUACUAAAUCAAUAUAGAAUACUCUUUUCAACACUUCCAUCACAUGCAUGAUAAUCUUUUUAGCUUGUCCUUGUCAUAUGGUAAAAUAGUGUGGGCCCAUCCAAAUUUUUCUAUUAUAAUAAUAUACAAAUGUCUAUAGGUCUAACCAUACUCAAAAGCUAGCUAAAGGGUUGAGGCCCAAGUUUUUUACACUUAUCAAAGUCUUUCAUUCCUAGUCCAUGUAGGAUAAUGUCCAUAACAUGCCCAUCACAUGCAAGCCGAUCUUUUUGUCUAAUCUUUUUAAUUUGGUAAGAUAAUGUGAGCUCACUUAUAUGUGAGUUUAGUUUUGAUAUAUUAAAUCCCGUGAGCUUAAUUAGACCUUAUUACGGAUUGUGGUUGAAAUACUAUAAACAAUUUAUUUCACAAGUUUUGAUAAAAGUGGUGUUUAAUGAACUUUUUUAAAAGUUGUUUAUUUUAUAAAUUUCUCUAUUUUGACAAUAGUAAAGACAAUAGAUAGUUGCAUUUUUUUUAUAAGAAGUUUAUUAAAUAAGCCAGCACUUUUUUUUUUAAUUCUUAUUAUAACUUUAAUAUUUUAGCAAAAUAACAAUCAUGUUUUACUUUCCAUAAUAAUAUACGAAGAAAAGAUAAUUUAAACUUGUGUCUAGUCAUUAUAAAAUAAUUAAGAGAGUAUUUUCGUAAUAAAAUUUAUAAAAUAUAUAUAUUCUAUUUCUGAAAUUGAGUGAUGAUACAGUCACAAACUCUUAUACAAACUUAUUUUGUACUAAUUGAUUUAGUAUUAACUUAUUGAUUGAAUAAAAAUAUAAAAUAAUAAAAAUAAAUGAUGUGGAUCAAGAGACAUUUAAUCCAACUAAUUAAAUCAUACCACAAUAGUUUGUACAAAAAAUAUAUAUAUACAAGAAUUUAUAAUUGUAUUAUUACUCUUUGAAAUUCACAAACAUUAAGCUACAUUUUGAAUUAAUAGUUUAUUUUAUCCGUAUACGAAAAGCAACACACUUUAGCAACUUAUUUCUUUACACUUCAAAGAAUUAGGAAAAAGACCCGAUACGUCAUGGAAAUGUUGGUCACAAUAUCCAACAUUUGCCGCCAUUCCGCUCUUUAAUUUUAACUCUUUUUUAUUCUAAUCUUUAAUAUUUCUUUUUCAGGCUUCCUGUGGGAGCAAAAUUUUGGUGCACGGCGAAUCAUUUUCAGGCAAUAAUAAAUCUCUUUAGUUUGGAAUCUUGUUUCAUUCAUGGCUUGGAACUACGAUAGCAAGAAAAUUUAAUGUCGGCAUUUCACAGGGAAUUGAUAGUAGUUUGUGAUCAAUCAAAUUGCAAGAAAAGGACCGAUAUAAUGCUGCCAAUUUUCAAUCAAUCGCAGUGACUAUAAGACAAAGAAAGCACAGCUAGCAUUAUCAAUAAUUCAGAUAAAUCUAAACCAAUCAGUGGAAAAGCUGAAUAGACAGAUAAUGAACCUAAUCUCUUAAAUAUGAGACAGAAUAGCUAUGUCUUCGUGGCUCCUUUUCACGUGGAAAGCUAGACCCUAAUUCAAACAUAAAAAUCACCAUCAAUAAUAUAUCUUCCUUGGCAUCUUGCUCCAUUCGACCAUUAAAUUUAGAUAAUAAGUUAGCUAGUGACAAUGCCAAAAAAGGCUUAUCACCAUCAACAAGAGUGACGGCAAUACGAAGAAAUGCUAGGUGUAAAUAAGUGGAUUAAUGUCUACAUCUCACUUAUAAUAAAAAAUAAAUUUAAUUUUUCCGGUCAAUAAUUUUUGUUACUUUGAGUUUCAGACUUUCAGUCCACGAAAUCUGAAAAAUGAAACCCCCAAAUAACUAAUUCGGAAGCUCAAGAUUGAAAUCAAUAACUUAAAAAUAAUAAUUAUAUGCAUGCUUAUACCACGUAAUACAUAAUGUUUCUAAUUCAUUUAUUGAUAUUUUAAAUAAUCUCUUGGGUAAAUUUUCGAUUAUUCCGAAUUUAUUAUCUUUAAAUUAUUCCAUUACUAUUAAAAACUUUAAGUUAUUUUAAUUUUUAUUUAAAAAAUGAGAGGAGAGAGCUAAUUUAUAUUUGUUAAAUUAUUUUAACUAUUAACAAUAUUUUAAUAUGAUUAUUCUACUAAACAAAUUAAACUAUUUAUAUUACAUUUGUAUUUAUUAAAAUUUUUGAUGUUCAAUUGUUUUUUUGAACUCUUUAGAUAAGAAACCCUCCCUAAAUUCUCUCUCUCCGUCACCAAUCAAUCUCCCAAAGUCUGUUAUUGAUCGGCUUUAUAAAGUUAAGGUUUGUAAUGCAAAACUGAAAAUCGUUUUUUCGUCCAUUCGUUGCCCUCUCUUGCUCUUUCUAAGCGUUUUAACCAGCCAUCAACUUGGUCAAAUUAGUUGACUCAAGUGCCCACGCGAGGACUUAAAUGAUGAAACUAAUGAAUUGGGCACUUGAAAACUCUGCGUUUUGCUUUGGCUUUGAUUAAUGGCCAACAUGUUCCUGGCCUCAAUCUCAUCAACACUCCUAGUUCUCAAGAUUAUAACAAAUAUAAAGAUUAUCUCUUGUGCACUCACAUCGCUUGGAAGUCAAUCUUUUUUUCUGAUUUUUAUCAUGCGGAAAGGAAUUAACUCUCCACGUGUGUGUGAAUCAUAUCAAGUACCACUCAAAAGCCCAUAAAUCUAUCUCAUACUAAAAAUUAUAAAAUUUAUUUAACACAAAAAUUAUUUCAAUUUUUCAUAAUAAAUAUAAAUAUACUAUUAAAAUAAAUAUAAUAAUUUACAUUUUAAAAAUUAUUUCGUAUAUUAAAAAUAUUCUAAUAUCAUUAGUCUACUAAAUAAAUUAAAUUAUUUAAAUGAUAUUUAUACUUAUAAGAAAUAAAAAUAAUUACUAUCUUUUGAGGUUGUUACAAUCAACAGAAAAUUUUAGUAUUUUAUAUUAAAAAUUUAUAGGUCUACAUAAUUAUUUUUCUAAAUUUUUAGAGUGUAAAUGUCUUUUUUUUUUAUCAUGAAUUUAUCUGAAACCCUUUUUUAUUUUUUAUUUUAUCUAAUCCCAUUUAGUUUUUAGUCUUUAUCUUCUUUUUUUUUUCCUCCCUCCCUAAUAGUAGAAGCAAACUUCCGUGGUGGCAUAGCAACUGAAAGAUCAGAGUGACCAUCUUACUUCCAUCAUACCGAUGAAAGUAAGACAAAAAGUCAGUGGAUUGAUAACCCCGAAAAUGGCUCAUCAUCACCGUCAAUAAAUUUGUUAUUACAUCAUAUGGCGUUAUAAUUAACUGAACAGAAAUAUUAAUGGUGAAUUCACGUGAAAUCUGUAUUUAGAUAUCUGCACUCUGAAAAGUUCUAUACACACACUUUCUCUACCAAGGAUAUUGUCAUUUUGUUAAAGUGAGGAUGAUUAUUAAAAUAUAAAAAAAAUACAAAUAUCAAUAGAUUGAAAAUUGUAGUUUUUGUUUGUUAAUGUAUUGAAAUUUGUAUUUUUUAUUAGUUGGUAGCAUCUUUAUUUUAUCAAAGUGAGGAUAUUCUUAAUAGAGAAUGAAUAUAUAUGUGUGUGUGUGUGAAGUUUGAAACGGCUUAUAGAAUGAGACUUACCCUUCCAAACAUCUCACAUGGCUUUAAUUGGGCUUUUGGAUAUCUUCUUGGCAAUCAUUUGCUUCUUGAUUCUUCGAUAUUGUUUCAGCAAUAACAAUGGAAUCCCAAAGAACUUCCCAGUCGGAGGUAUGCUGCCACACCUUCUUCUUAACGUUCAUCGUAUCCAUGAUUAUAGCACAGAAGUUCUAGAGAAAACGCAAUGCACAUUUUUAUUCAAAGGUCCUUGGUUCGCAAACAUGGACAUAUUGGCCACAGUUGAUCCAGCCAACGUACAUCACAUAAUGAGCUCAAACUUCUCAAAUUUCCCGAAAGGGCCAGAGUUCAAGCGAAUCUUUGAUAUUUUAGGAGAUGGGAUUUUCAACUCCGACUCAGAUUUGUGGAAAAACCAAAGAAGGUUUGCUCAAGCUUUGAUGAAUCGUCAUAGCUUCUACAAGUUUUUGGUGAAAUCCAAUCAAGCUAAACUGGAGAAAGGGCUGAUUCCAAUUCUUGAUCACAUGUCCAAACAAGGCACAACAGUUGAUCUGCAGGAUUUGUUCCAGAGGUUUACGUUUGAUUCUACGAGCUUAUUUGUUACAGGCUAUGAUCCUGGUUGUUUGUCAAUUGAAUUUCCAAAAGUUCGAUUCCUAAUGGCAUUGGAAGAUGUCGAGGAAUCAAUAUUUUAUCGGCAUGUUGUUCCGGAAAGCUUGUGGAAGCUACAAAGAUGGCUUGGAAUUGGAGAAGAAAAGAAACUGAAAAAAGCUAAGGAAACGUUAGAUAGUGUCAUAUUCGAACUCAUACAAAGGAAAAGAAGAGAGAUUAACGAAGAAAUUUUAUCGAAAGAAAUAGAUGGGGUGGAUUUGUUAGCAUCAUACAUGCACGAAAACAAAACCAUUAUGGGAGAAUUGAAAUGUGCUGACGACAAUUUCUUGAGAGAUACAGUCUUGAAUUUCAUGAUUGCGGGGAGAGACACAACUAGUUCAGCUCUCACUUGGUUCUUUUGGCUUAUUUCAAAGAACCCAAAAGCAGAAACCAAGAUUAGAGAAGAGCUUACUUCGAUAGUACCAGCUGAGAAACUCGGAAAAUGGUGGGAUUUUGACACGCAAAAGCUAAAUCAAUUGGUUUAUUUACAUGGCGCUUUGUGUGAAGCAUUAAGGCUUUAUCCACCAGUUCCUUUUCAGCAUAAAGUUCCUUUAGUGCCACACACUCUUCCAAGCGGACACCGCGCCGUUCCGAGAACAAAGAUCUUGUUUUCUCUGUAUGCAAUGGGGAGAAUGAAGUCAAUAUGGGGAGAAGAUUGCUUGGAAUUCAGGCCUGAAAGAUGGAUUUCUGAAAGUGGAGGGAUCAAAUGGGAGCCGUCGUACAAGUUCUUCUCAUUCAAUGCAGGACCAAGGACUUGUUUAGGCAAAGAGGUCGCUUUCACUCAAAUGAAAGCUGUGGCUGCCGGCGUAAUUCAUAACUAUGAUAUUCAAGUUGUGGAAGGACAGCGUCCUGGCCCCAAUGUGUCUAUUAUUCUCUAUAUGAAGCAUGGAUUAAAGGUUAGGGUUCAUGAUAGAUGGGCUAAAUAAUUGAACAAGUUUGGGAAAGGUCUUAAUCCUCUUGUUUAAUAUGAAUAAUUGAGCGAGUUUGCGUGUAUCAUUUGAAUAACUAUAGUUUAUGUAAGUAUGAAUAUCAUUAAUAAUUGUUCAUAUUAUCUGGAUAUUUUAAUUUGUUGUUUUGGUGUUUUAUUAUGUGGUUUCUUUUAGAUUUAAAGAUGCUUAAAUGAUAGAUAAAGAAAUAUUUCAAUCUGUGAAAGAAUUGAAUUUGGUGUUAGAGUGUUAUUGAAAGAGUUAAUUGACGUAGGACGUUAAUUUAGAUUAAUUUAGGAUUUUAAAUUUUUUAUUAUUUUAGAGAUUUCUAUUUUAAUUGGAGUCUAUUAUGGUAAGUGAUUUAUUAUUUUAUUUCGAUUAUAAUUGUGAUUUAGUUUCUUUUUAAAAAAAAUUAACUUAAGAAGUAGGUUUACCUUAGGAAGUGAGUUUCCUCUAUUAUAAAUAUAAAAGUCUCAUUAUCGUAACUCAAAUUCAAUUAUUCAAUAAAAAUCCCUCUUUUAUAAUACCCUCUAGGAUUAUUUAUCAAAAUCUCUCUUGUAGAGUCGUUUGGGAUAUGCGUCAUUUAAUCUCGCUUAACGCGCUAUUAAAAAUCUCAUUGAGUUAUUUGGGUUAGAACGAUAUCUAAUCACACUUCGAUUAUCGCUAAUCGCAUUGGCUUGAUCCAGUACUAGAACGAUAUCUAGUGUUUCUUACCCUAUCAAUUUUGCUUCCGCUGCGCCCGCCUCAUCAAUUAGUAUUAGAGCGGUUCUGCGCUAUUCACAUAACUUUCCUUGAUACCCAUAUCCAUCCAUAGCAAAUCCACCACUCAAAAAAACCAACAAAAAAAAAAAAGAAAUUCUCAAAAUUGAAAACCUUAACUGCCACCAUGCAACCACUGCUGCCACCUCUCCAUCAGCCGUUCACCGUCAGUCAACACAAUCACUAAAGUCUCUAGCCACCGCGAACCAAACCUUAGCCAUCACUGCCCUUAAUGCCGCCUGCAAAAAUCAUCUAAACCUAUGAGCUUUACCAUUCAAUCCACCACCAUUUAAUCGUGACUGCCGCCAGCUAACUCCUCCACCAAACUCGCCUGCCUUUGGUUACCAAAACCAACCAACUUCCACUCUGGAUCGCCGCCCGCAGCCACCGUAUGAAACACCAACCCGCUAGUUGUUGAGAAUAAAAUAAAACGGCAUUGAAUAAAGCUUUCAAAGACAGAAUCCGCACUUGUCAAAUGGAUAAUCUGCACUUCUCAAAGACAAGAUCCGCGCCGAACGAAUUGACAUAUUUCCUUCCGUAUUCACAUAUGUAAUCUUUGAAAAAAUGUAGCCUCUGCAUCUAUAAAUAACUCUCAGUGUAUAAUGUUUUAUUUAAGAAAUGAAAAACACGUUUCUUCAUGGUAUCAGAGCCAUGAAUAUGCUCAAGUUUCUUCAAGUUCCGCUGCUCUGUUUGUAACAAAAACAGAGGAAACCAAAUUCCUCCCACAACCAUUUUUCCCACCAUUUUCUUUCUAAAACUCAUUCCUACCAUUACAGAUAUCCAUGCCGAUCAAGAAACAAGCCACCCAUACGUAAAAAACUUGAGUUUACAAAUUUAUCAACAAUCCCAUCAAUUUUCCAAGAGUGUGUUCCUCAAAAACCAAGAAUACCAUCAAAUUUCUCAGUUUCCAGUGAGGAAACUGUAAAAAUUUCACAUUUAAACACAUUUCCACACGCUCACACGCGCCACCCGAAGCCACGUCCAGUCAACCAUGCGCCUCUGUCAUCAUUUACGCGCUCUCACGCGCUCCAGAGGUUGAAGAAGACGUCAACCGAUAUGUCGUUUUUUAUCUCCGGUGUGCAGCAGUAAACAACGACAUGUCGUUUUUAAAUUAGAGAUAAAACGACAUGACGUUUAGUCUCCAGAAGUGCAGCAGGAUUAAAACGACACGUCGUUUAUAUUCCACCAUAACCGACAUGUCGGUUUUUUCAAGCAGUGGCCAAACGACUUGUCGUUUUGUUAUCUAAAAAGGUUUUUUUUCUUCUUUCAAUCUAGACGAAAAAAAACAAAAAAAAAAAAAAGAAAAAAAGAAAAAAAAAACAAAAAACAAAAAAAACAAAAAAAAAUGGAGAAAACUCAAACUGAAUCUAGUCCUGUUGUCAUUCAAUCUGUUCAAUCCGAUGGAGUAUUUAAUGCUGGAAUUAUCCUCACUGAGACAAACUACGAUGUUUGGUCUCAAAUAAUGGAGAUGCAUCUUGUAGAAAGAGAAAAACUCUCAUAUAUUCGUAGCAGCACAAAGCUAUCUGAGGAAUCUUCAAAGGAAUAUGAGAAAUGGUAUAGUGAGAACCAAAAAGUAAAAAGAUGGUUACUCAUAUCCAUGUCUCCGGAGAUCAUGAAGUGAUUUUUACGAAUUCCUACAGCCUACGAAAUCUGGGAUGCAUUAUCUAAAGCCUUCUAUGAUGGAAGCGAUGAAUUACAAGUUUUCACUCUAAACCAGAAGGCAUUCUCUACCAAGCAAAAUGGACAACCACUCUCUAAAUUCUAUGGAGAAUUGAUCGAAAUAUUUCGAGAACUUGAUCACCGAGAUAAAGUGGUCAUGAAGGAUCCAGAAGAUGUUGUAAUAUACAGAAGGUCUGUUGAAAGAUUGAGAGUGCACAUUUUUCUUGCUGGGCUAGAUGAAGAAUUUAACCAAGUUCGUGGAGAAAUUCUACGAAAAGAAAUUAUCUCAGACUUAGAAGAAUGUUAUUCUCUGAUCCGAAGAGAAGAUGCACGGCAAAGCAAACUAAACAAGAAGGUCGACUCAGAAACGUCUGCUAUGAUAGCACGACAGCAGCCUCAAAGGAAGUUUGUUGACAAGUCAUCACUCCAUUGCACUCAUUGUAAAAAGAAUGGUCAUACGAAAGAACAUUGUUUUGAAAUCAUUGGAUAUCCUGACUGGUGGGAUACUCGAAAGAAGAACACCAAGCAUGGAUCAAAAACUGCAGUAGCUGAAUCCACAUCCACUACAGAUCUUAGAAAAGAAUCUUUAGUGCAAAUCGCCACCUCUGUCAGUCCAGGUAAGGCCCUUAAAACUCUUACACAUGUUAUUAAUAGUACAUGGAUAAUUGAUUCUAGGGCAACUGAUCAUAUGACUUUUGAUUCUCGACAAGUUUCUCAAUUAAAACCAUCUUCACACAAACAUAUUUCCAUUGCAAAUGGAACCACAACCUCAGUUAUUGGGGACGGAUCUUUACGACUCACAAAUGAAUUAAAUUUAGACUCUGUGUUAAUUGUUCCAUCUUUAGAUUAUAAUCUUUUAUUUGUGUCUCAAUUAACCACUUACUUAUCAUGUGUUGUAAUUUUUUGGCCUGAUCAUUGUGUGUUUAAGGACAUCCAAACGAAGCAAACAAUUGGUUAUGGUAUUAGACGAGGCAACUUGUACUACUUGGAGAUGUCAUCAACAAACACCAGAAAGCUAAGCCCCGCACUAGUCGCAGAUAGUUCCAUAAAAAAAGGGAAAUCAGAAAUUUGGUUAUGGCAUAGACGUUUAAGGUAUAUGUCAUUUGGUUACUUAAAAAAAUUAUUUCCUAGUUUGUUUAUGAAAUUUGAUGUUUGUAACUUUAAAUGUGAUGUUUGUGAACUUUCAAAAAGCCAUCGAACUACUUUUCCAUUGUCCUUAAAUAAAAAUACAGUUCCUUUCAUGGUAGUACAUUCUGAUGUAUGGGGGCCAUCUAAAGUUUCUACAAUUGGAGGUGCUCGUUGGUUUGUUACAUUUAUUGAUGAUUGUAGCAUAAUGACAUGGAUUUUUCUGAUGAAAUCAAAAGACGAAGUAAACUCUUUAUUUCAAAGAUUUCAUAAGAUGGUGACAACUCAAUUUCAGACACAAAUUCGAGUUCUACAUACUGAUAAUGGAGGCGAGUAUAUAAGCACAGCAAUUCAACAGUUUCUGAAAUCACAAGGAUAUGUCCAUCAAACCACUUGUGUGGGGACACCCCAACAAAAUGGCGUUGCUGAACGAAAAAACAGACAUUUACUAGAAGUUGUUCGAGCAUCACUAAUCCAAGCCCACAUGCCACUAUCUUAUUGGGGAGAAGCACUGGCGUCCGCAGCAUACUUAAUCAAUCGAACACCUUCAAGCUCCCUUGGAUUCCAGACUCCUUUCCAAGUUUUGAAUGAUGCAAUUAUGUCACCAAAUGUGCCGAAUCUGCCCCCACAUGUGUUUGGCUGUGUUGCCUUCGUUCAUUUGCCGCAACAAGACAAAUUAUCUCUUCGAGCACUACGUUGUGUGUUUGUAGGGUAUGCCUUACAUCAAAAGGGAUACCGAUGCUAUCAUCCACCAUCAAGAAAAAUAUACAUCACCAUGGAUGUCGUUUUCAUGAAGAUAUCAUGUACUACUUGUCAGAGUCUGAAUUUCAGGGAGAGUAUAAUGAAGAGGAAAUUCAUACUCUUACAUAUCUUCCACCUGAAGAAAGUCAAUCUUCCAUUGAGAUAAUAAACCUUCAAGAUACUGGAAAAGCAAAUAGUGAUGAUUCUCAGGCUGAGAUAAGUGAAGACACAUUUGGGGAGCACAAUAACUCAGACACAACUGCAAUCGAGAAUGAGUCACAUGAAGAAAUACCUAACCAAUCGUCUGCAGAUGAUGUUCCUACCACAAGUCCAAUCAGAAGAAUUCUUCCCCAGCGCCAAAAUAGAGGUAUCCCUAAACCCACAUAUGAGCCUGACUUCUCUAGUAGAGUCAAAUACCCCAUGAGUUAUUUUGUGUCUAACCAUCGCUUGUCAGAAUCAAAUCAGUCAUUUGUGAAUCAAUUAUCUGCUGUAUCUAUUCCUAACAGUGUGCAUGAAGCUUUAAAAGACCCAAAGUGGAAAGCAGCUAUGAAUGAUGAAAUGAGAUCUCUUUAGAAAAAUCAAACAUGGGAACUAGUUGAUCUUCCACCGGGAAAGAAACCAGUGGGUUGUCGAUGGAUCUACACUAUAAAGUACAAAGCAGAUGGCUCUAUUGAACGAUACAAAGCAAGACUCGUAGCUAAGGGUUACACCCAAACCUACGGGAUUGAUUAUACUGAUACGUUUGCACCGGUAGCAAAAAUUAAUACUAUUCGUAUCUUAUUAUCAUUAGCAGUCAACUUGGAUUGGCCAGUGCAACGGUUCGAUGUAAAGAAUGCUUUCCUCCAUGGAGACCUGUUUGAAGAAAUUUAUAUGGAUCUGCCACCAAGAUGCAGUGGAACAGAACGACUCAAUCAGAAAGUAUGCAAAUUGAAGAAAUCAUUGUAUGGGUUGAAGCAAUCCCCAAGAGCAUGGUUCGGGAAAUUCACAAAGGCUAUGAUUCGUUUUGGGUAUAACCAAAGCAAUUCAGAUCAUACCUUAUUCAUUAAAAAACGACAAGGUAAAAUCACUGCCCUUAUUGUCUAUGUGGAUAAUAUGGUAGUUACAGGCAACGACGAGGAAGAAACAGAGGUUCUUCAGAAGUACUUGUCAAGAGAGUUUGAGAUGAAGGAUUUAGGUGCUUUAAAAUACUUUCUUGGAAUUGAGGUUUCUCGAUCUAAGGGAGGAAUCUUUCUGUCUCAAAGGAAAUAUGCCUUAGAUCUAUUGCACGAAAUGGGAAUGACAGCUUGUCAGCCUAUUGACACCCCAAUAAAAGAAGGAUUGAAGUUUUGUAUUACCUCAGACCAAGUUCCAGUAGACAAAAGAAGAUAUCAAAGGCUGAUUGGAAGAUUGAUGUACUUGUCCCACACAAGGCCAGAUCUUGCUUAUGCAUUGAGUGUUGUAAGUCAGUUUAUGCAUAAUCCCGGAGAACAACACAUGAAAGCAGUAAUGCGGAUCCUGAGGUACCUGAAGACAAAUCCAGGAAAAGGAAUCAUAUUUGCCAAAAAUGAAGAUUAUAGCAACAUAGAAGUUUAUACUGAUGCAGAUUGGGCCGAGUCAGUUAGUGAUAGACGCUCUACUUCAGGAUACUUUACCUUUGUGGGAGGCAACCUUGUCACAUGGAGAAGCAAGAAACAACAUGUCGUUGCCCGUUCGAGCGCUGAAGCAGAAUAUCGAGGCAUGGCCCUUGGGGUAUGUGAAGGGCUAUGGAUAAGUUUUAUCUUAAACGAUUUGGGCUAUCCAUCACAACAACCAAUACAACUAUACUGUGACAACAAAACUGCACGAGAUAUUGCUCAUAACCCAGUUCAACACGAUCGAACAAAACAUGUCGAGGUAGAUAGAUUUUUCAUCAAGGAGAAAUUAGAUGAAAAAAUCUUAGAACUGCCGAAAAUUCGAUCAGAAGAUCAACUUGCAAAUAUUUUAACGAAGGCCAUUUCAAGCAGGGCAUUUGCAAAAUUCCUAGACAAGUUGGGUAUGCAAGACAUCUAUGCACCAACUUGAGGGGGAGUGUUGAGAAUCAAAUAAAACGGCAUUGAAUGAAGCUUUCAAAGACAGAAUCCACACUUGUCAAAGGGAUAAUCUGCACUUGUCAAAGACAAGAUCCACGCCGAACGGAUUGACAUAUUUCCUUCCGUAUUCACAUAUGUAAUCUUUGAAAAAAUGUAGCCUCUGCAUUUAUAAAUAACUCUCAGUGUAUGAUGUUUUAUUUAAGAAAUGAAAAACACGUUUCUUCACUAGUUCCCUACACACGGGCUACUGCCAAACCAUCUCCCUUUUCUAUCAAUUUAUGCCACCACCAUAUCCCGAGUGACUGGCGACCAUAAACCCAGCCAUCCGUCGCCGUAAAACCGCCUUAAAUUGAAAGUCAUAUCUCCAUAAGCCGCCGCCAAUUCGACCAAACCGCCGCGAAUUUGGCCAAUCCACAACCACCAUUAUACUCAUCGACCUUAAUCCACCCAUCCUUACCUGAUUUUCAACUACCGUCACCAGAAACCUGAACUUUUGUUUAAUUACUGUUUCACCUGGUAAUUUUAUUCAAUUUUAAGUUUAGCCCUUAACUCUUUUAAAACCACCAUCUCUUACCAUCUUCACUCUGAAUCACGACCACACCCAACCUAAGAGUUGAGUAUUAUUUACAGUUUUGCCAUUGUGUGGAAACUUGACAAUAAAUGGUAAAGUGCCAUCUUUGCCCUUCUAUUUAUCAUGUGCCGAAAUUAUUUGUAUAUACUCGUCCAAACAAAUUUCUUGAUUGGCUGGAUAAGAUUGAGCAUUGGUUUCUAUUUUGGCACACUCCUAAAGAAGAGCAAGUAUCAUUUGCUGCUAGUAGAUUAAGCAUAAGUGUUUCAGAAUGGUGGCAUGAAUUACAAAUUUCUCAACUUGAGCAAGGCAAAUGCAAAAUUCAGUCAUGGAACCGUAUGAAGCAUAUUAUGCGAUAUGAGUUUAUCCCUCUUAAUUAUUGUUUAGUAUAACAAGGUAAGAUAUUAGUUUCUGAUUAUGCUACUGAGUUCGAAAUUUUAUGGAUGUAAAUAUUAUUAUGAACUUGAAGAGGAUACAAUUACAAGAUUUUUCAAGGGACUCAGUUUUAUAUUAAAGACAAGAUGCCUACAUACAUUAUAUACACGUUGCAGUAUGUAAUUCUGGUAGCGAAGCAAAUUGAUCACAAAUUUUAUCACAAAUCAGAAGAGAAAGAAGCCAAUCAUUGAAGCAAUUAAGACAACUUCAUCCUCAACACCAAUUUGAGAUCCGCAAUCUUAUCACAAGUUAGUAGCCUAAAGUGAAGGACAUAUAGAUAAAAGAAGUUUGUGCCUCUCUACAUGUUGAAGAUGUGCCUAAUAUUGUAGAAGAAAAUGUACAAUUUAUUAUUGAUUUAAAGUUUCAAUCUGACAAAUUGUCUGAGAAUGUGCAUGAUGUUUACUUGGAAGAGAAGACAAGUGUUGAAGAUGAUGAGAUUAUUGAUCUAUCUGAAUUUUUUAAAGAAGACGAACAACCUCAUCUUGAUUUGAGCAUUAAGCCUAAUAAUACAACUAAAGUUGUGCAUCAAAAUCAAGUUGAAGAAACUAAAAUGAUUGAAAUGGUUCUAUAUAUUCUCAUUGAAGACAAGAAGAUUAUGCUUGAAGAAGAUUUAAUUGCAAAGGUGAAUCUUAUGGGAGAUGCAUUGAGCCACAAUUAGGGAAGGGGAAAAAUUAUUUGAUCGUUGUUCAUUCUUGGAAGACAUCAUCACCUUGAAGAAUGUACAAGCGAAAGAAGUUGAUGAAGUAUGGAUUUUUUAAAGUUUCGAGAACAAUUGAUGAGAAAGACAAUAAGUUCGAAUUACAAGAUGAUUUGGUCUUACACUACAAGUGUCAUCCUCUAAAUUGUAUUCAAACUCAUGGACGUAUUUCUUUUAAGAGGAGAAGAAUGAUGUAGGACGUUAAUUUUGGUUAAUUUAGUAUUUUAGAAUUUUUAUUAUUCUAAGGCUUUCUAUUUUAAUUGGAGUCUAUUAUGAUAUGUAAUUUAAUAUUUUAUUUUCAUUAUAAUUCUGAUUUAGUUUCAUUUGUGUUGCUCUUAAUAAUAAUUUUUUAUUUACUUAAUUAAAAUUAAAAUUAAUAAAAAAAUUAUUUACAUAAUUAAGAAUAUUAAUAAUUAUUAUUAAUUUACAAAUAUCAUAAAAUAAAUAUUUUAUUUUUCAAAUCUAUUUUUUUAUUAAUUUUGUAAUUAAAAACUAUAAUUCUUUAAAUAAGGAUAAAACUGUAAUUUAAAAUCAUUUACUCCCAAUUUCAUGCUCUCAUUACAAUGUAAAUAAAUAACCUACUCCAACUCUCACUCCACACUCAUAAUCUUAGAAUUUUCACUUCUCAAAAUUCUCAUUUCAAUCCAAAAUGUAAACGCAGCAUUAAUCCCAUCGGAAAAUCCCCAGACACAUAAGAUUUUCAAGAGAAAGAAAAGUAUGAAUGGAUACAAGAGUGCACACUGCACAAGAAAAUAAAGUGAGAAAGUCCCAGUAGGAUGGCAGAUUGCUGGUCUAGAACAAGAUUUUUUACGCCCAGGCCAAAAUUUAUGUUGUUGGUAAUAGACCGAACCCCUAUACUAGCCCAUCCAAGUUCUUGGGCUUUCAUUAAUUUUUAAAUAAAUUUUUAAUAUAGCCAAAAGUUAAAAAAAAAAACCUAAAUUAAAAAUAAAUAUUUAACACAUAAUAGACUAAAAAUUCAAUACAUAAAAUACUUACAACACAAUAUAAUAAACUAUAAAUAAUAAUUAAAAAUUAUAAUUAUAUAAAUAAUAAAUUAAUUUUUAAUUUAUAAAUUAUAAAGCCUGAAAUUCCAUAAGCCUGUAACUGUACCCUUUCACAGUAAACUUUAAAAUUUUUGAUUCAUGUCUAUGCCCUCAUGUGACUUUUUGGUCCACCCCAGUCCUAAGGGCUCGCUAUUGGUUGUUAUUGUUAUAAGUCAACUGAAGCCGAUGAAUGGAAAUAAUUAGGGACAAUUUCAGACGUAACAUGAUAUUAUGAUGCUGGGUGACAAUAAAUAAUAAUCAGUUUUAAGAGGCACAUUAAUUGGCGUGUCGUCGUUUUCAUUAUUAACAAAUUGACGACCUAAAUAGUAUGUGGUAUUGAUAGGAGUGUUCAAAAUUUAAUCUGAUCGGCUCAAUUCGUUUGAUCCGCUCAAUCUGAUCUGUAUAAAUUCGAUCGUGGAUUGGUGGAUUAGAUAUGGAUUGAAAAUUUAAAAAUCCGCAGUCGAUGAAUUGGAUAUGAAUUUACUUUUGUAAAUCCACAGAAAUCCAUGAAUCCGUCAAUAUUAUAUAUAUAUAUAAUUAAAAAAUUAUUAUAAAUUUAAUUAAAAAAAUUAUAAAUGUGACAUUACAUAGUUACAUAAGCACUAUAACAUAUCUUAGCCAUUACUUAAUAAUAAUAUAAAAUGAAAAAUAAUUAAAUAAUCAAAUAUACAAAUAAAACUUGUAAAAAUUGUAAAACAAAAUAAAAACAAAGUCACACGCACUAGCAAAAGCAAAGUAACAUAACGCUAAGUCACCAACAAUUUGCAAAGUCACCCAAAAACAAAGUAACAUGACGCCAAGUCACUAACAAUUUACAAAGUCACUCAAAAACAAAGUAACAUGACGCCAAGUCACCAACAAUUUGCAAACAAAAAACCCUAAGCUUCCCCGCCGUCACACACACUAGCAACACUCAAUACUGGUUGGAUACACUCUCGACACGGAUUUGAAGGACAUCGGCCGCGCGAUUCUGGCAAGAGCAAACCAUCUUCUUUCCCAAGUCUAUCGAGCCACUUCACAUUCACUGGUUCCAGCUAAACAAUUGUACUAUCACAACCUUCAAGAUCGCCACCCGUACGGCUUCUCCUAGUUCCCAUCGUGGACGGCUCCGUAAUCACCACUUUUCGAUAGGCGCAACAACCCUGGUGAAGGAUUAGAUUGUGUUUGGUUUCCAAAACUUCGUCAUUUCAAUUAAUUGUGGCUUUAUUUGAACAAUUAAUUUUGGUAUUAUAUUAACGUAUUAUUGUAACUUUAUUUGAACAAUUAAGCUUGGUGUGUUAUAUUUUAAAACUUUGAACGUAUUAUUGUAGCUUUAUUUGACUAAUUAGUCUCGAUGUGUUAUAUUUUGAAACUUUAAAUGUAUUAUUUUAGCUUUAUUUAAACAAUUAAUUUAUUUAAAUUUUAUUCAAUUUUAAAUUUAAUUGGUAGCAAAAUUAUUUUUAUAUUAGAUUUUUUUUUAUUUCAUUAGUUGGAGAGAACUAAAAAUUUUUAAUUUGAAAACUAAUGCGCAAAAUGAUGGAUUGAAUAUGGAUUGAGUCAAAUCCGCAUCCGAUCCGCAGACGUAUGGAUUGAAUAUGAAUUGAGUCAAAUCUGCAUCCGAUCCGCAGAUGUAUAGAUUGGAUUUGAAUUGAAUUUUAUCAAUCCGUGGAUUGGAUUGGAUUGAAAAAUUAUAAUCCGCAAAAUGAUGGAUCGGAUAUGGAUUGAUGUCCAAUCCGUAAAAUCCGAUCCGCGAACACCCCUAGGUAUUGGGACCAUUUAAAAUAUGAGUAAUGAUAUAUGAAUAAAUUCUUGUAUAAAUUUAUUUUGUAUAAAUUGGUGUAGCAUGAUAAAAUUAGUUGAAUUAAAUUUCACUUGGCCUGCAUGAUUUAUUUAUAUUAUUUUAUAUUUUCAUUCAAUUAAUGAAUUAAUGCCACACCAAUUUGUACAAGAUAAAUUUAUACAAGAGUUUGUGACUGUAUCAUCACUCUUAAAAUAUUAAUUACGUGAUGUGAAGAUGAGAUUUGAAUCAUUUGAUUGCUCUGAAUUUAUCAAUAAAAAUUUUUUUAAGCCACUUCUUUAUUUUUUUUCCAAUUUUUUUAACUCGCUUAUUUAUUCUUUUGAGUUCUAAAAAUGUUCUCAUUCAUAAACAUGAGAUCUACAUUAUAUUGAAAAACAUUUGUGUGGGAGAAAUAAAUUACCUCAGCAUCAAUUGUCAUUUGAACAUAAUAUUCAAUUGAUUUCAUAAUAAAACUCAUAAAUUUUUUAUUAUUUAAUUUAUGAGUCCCACUAAUAAGAUCCUUUAAACCUACUGACUAAUAGGUCGUUUUAAGAGGCACAAUUAAUCUGCAUAUUGUAAUUUUCACACAUAAUAGAUUGACUAACUAGAUAUCAUGAUGUUGAGACCAUUUAUAAUAUUAAUUACUUGAUGUGAAGAAUAUGUUUGAUUGCUCUAAAGUUAUCAAUGAAAAAUAUUUGUUUAAGGCACUUUCUUUCUUCUUUUCCAAUUUUUUUUUCUAGUCACUAUUUUUCAUUUUUUAAAAAAUAUAUCCAUUCAUAAAUUUGAGAUAUACAAUAUAUCAAGAAAAAUUUAUGUAGAACAAGUAUACUUCCUCAACAUUAAAAGCCUAUCAUUUAGCUUAAUGUUAGAUGAAUUUCAUGAUAAGACUCAUAAUUUUUUAUUAUUUAAUUUAUGGAUUUCUCUAUCAGAAUCAAUCAAACCUACCUAAUAAUAGGUUAUUUUAGUGCAUAUUUUUCACCUAAUGUGAUAUGAUAUGUCUCUCGCUCAAUCUACUAACUUCAAAUUCAAGUUAGCUCAAAUAGUAAGUAGUUUUAUUCAACUAGGCAGUCUCUUAAAGAGAGAUUUUGAUAAAACUAAUUUCCUUUUGAUACUUCAGACUCAUAACGUCAUAUCAUAACCAAACAUAAUAAAAGAUAAACAAUAUAAUCAAACAUUUGUAAUUGAUUUUUCACUUUUACAAAUAUAAGGUUAAGAUUUUUUUAAUAGUGUAUGACGCAAUCGUUCUAGUUCUUGCUAUAUGCAUAGCUGCCACAUAUAUACAUCACAUACAAUCUUGAUUCUUGAAAUCGGAUUUGGAUAUGUUUGAACAGAUCAGAAGAAUCUGGAGCACCUACAAGUUGCAACACAAAUUUGAAAUCACACAAAUAAAAGAAAAACACAGCAAGCCAGCAAAUGGAGAAAAGAAAGACAACAAAUUGAAAGUGUUUUCAUUUUAACAUCAAUUAUUUUGUUAAUGUCUUUGGUAACAAUUGCAUCCCAAAAUCAGGAAACCUAAAUCAAGCAGUCAACCUUACAAUCACCAAAAAACAAGGAGAAUUAUCUACAGGGAAAAAAAAAAUCAGAAGCAAUUCAAAAUACCCAAAACUCUACAAGCUUUUCAAAGUCAAGGAACCUAUCCACAUAAGUUAUAACCUUUGCACCUUACAAGUUUUGAUGGAUCCGACUCCAUUAGAAACCCUUGCAAUAAGCAAAUAAAUGCAGCGGCUAGGUUUAAGAUUCUUGCAGGCUUCGGCUGGUAGCGUGGCAACGGUACAAUUCACGGGCUCAACGCCUGUCGACUGGGAUGCCGUCGGCAUGCAGCUGGGGCAUCGACGACAACUGCCGAUUUUUUUUUUUUUUUUCUCAAAGUGAUUGGUUGUGUUCGUGGGUGAUGCGGCUGUUGGUUGUGUUCGUGGGUGAUGCAUCGAUUCUUUUCUCUUUUGAUUUGGGAAUUUAAGGGAUUUAGGAAUGUUUUUCAAUUUUUAUUUCUUAUUUAUGUUUAAGUUAUAUAUUCUUUUUAAUUUUAAGUGCAAUCCGAUCGGAUUGAUCCGGAUCCGAUCCGAAUCAAAUUCGAUCGGAUUGCAAAGUUUCUAUCCGAUCGGAUUGAGAGGUCAAUUCGAAACUUAUCUGAACAUAUUCAGAUAAGUUCGGAUCGGAUCGAAUUGACCCGAAUCCAAUCCGAUGCCCACCCCUAAUUUAUGGUGCUUCAUUAGGAGAAAUUGAUCAAUAAUUUGUUUCAGCACGCGCAAAACGCAAUAUCAAAAUAAAGAGUUGAAGGUAAGCCAAACAAGCAAGGAUUAUUCAACCUAAGAUUUUAUUAAGUUACUUUUGCACGCAAGCAUUAAGAAGAAUCACUUAAACAUGACAAGAAAUAGGAUGCUGGCAAAAUAAUUAGGACUGGCGUCGGCAUUUUAUUUUAUUUAAUUAAAUUAGAACCUUGAAAUGACCUGUACGCUUGUCAAAGCUCGGAUCAUUUGUAGAGUUCAACAAGCCACCAGCUGUAAGCACGACAGACAAGUUUAACUGCUGUAAAUCCAGCUUUUGUCGCCAGAGCCUUCAACUCCUCUGCUGUCCUCUCCUUUGCCCCAGGAAAUACAGUGUACAUUUGUAUGUCAAGCAUAUAAACAAACCUGCUGAAAAUAUCAGUCUCAAGGUGCUCUGGUAUUAAAGAGUCUACCACAAUGACCUUCCCAAAUUCUGGAAGAGCAUCGUAGCAAUUCUUCAGUAUCUUCACACAUUGGUCAUCACUCAAGUCAUGAAGUAUCAACUGAAGAUUUAUAUGAAAAUUAAUUUCCUAUAUUAGUUUCCAGAAUUUAUGCAGAGUUAACAUAUAUGUUGGCAAGUGGAAAAAUUAAUUGGAGAACUAACCUUCAGAAAAAUAGCUUCUCCUUUAGGCACUUCAACAAACAUAUCUCCUCCAACAUGCUCCACACCUAGAAGCAAAAUUAAGAAAAAGGAAAAAGCAAAUUAUAUAUAAUGUUUUAACUGUUAAUUAAGCAAAAUAUAUAACUCGAAAUAGCACGAUUUAAAAAAAAAUUUCAAUAUGUGAAGAAAAAUAUAUAUCAUGUUAUUUUAUAUUUAAAUUGAGGGGAAACGACUGUGACACUCGAAAGUUUGGUGAAAUGAUCAUAGAAAUCUCAUCUUUUUUAAAUUAUAAAAAUAAAUUUUUUUAGGAUAAUUCUUUCUUUUUUUUUCUAUAAUAACCUAACUAUUUUUUUACUUUAAUAACCUAACUAUCUUUCAUUUCGGCAUAAAUAUAAAAAAAGUGGAUCUAUAUGACCAUCUCUAAUAAAAAUAAAAAGUUUUUAUUGUUAUUUCACCAAACUAUCGAAGCGCCACUAAUUUUUUCUUUUAAAUUAAUGGAUACCUUGAUAAGAAGGUGCAUCUUUAAUGACAUGAGGCGAGUCAAAGUUAAUACCCCGAAUUUGUGGGUAUUUAGAAACUAGUAAGCUGAGAUUAGCACCUAAACCACCGGCAACAUCUACCAAUUGGUUUAUCUCUUCAAAUCCUUUGUAGAUUUCAGGAAUUUUCUUCAUAACUAAAGCCGUAUGAUUGCUCAUUGAUUGAUUGAAGAGGUUCCGUCUUCUAGCAUCUUUCAUAGCAUACUCAAAUGGAUUUUUUGCAUUAUGUGCCUUCAUAAAAGGUAGGGUCCCUUCCAAUAAACAAUCUUUCAAGUGGUACCUAUUCAAUUUGGCAUAAGGAAUAUUUACCAUUUCAGCCCCUUUCUUUAUCUGUUUUAGGGUAUUGCUGAUUUGAUAGUAUGAAGUGAGAUGCCAAUGGUUUUAUGACAGAUUUACAGUGUUGCAUCCCAAAGGUGCUAAGCACUUAUUGUAAAUAUUUCUCUUGUGAGAGAAAAAUUGUUCCCUCUCUUCUGUUUCUCAUUAUCUUCGUACCUAAGAUCUUCUUCACAUGUCCUAAGUUUUUCAUAUCAAACUCUGAAUUGAGCAGCAGCUUUAAGGCUUCAAUUUCACUUCUCUGUUUACAAGCUAUCAAUAUAUCAUCCACAUACAGCAGCAAGUAUAUAUAAAGAUUAGUUUUCGAUGACUUGUAGUAAACAUAACAAUUAAAACAGCAUCUAACGAAUCUAUGAGAAAUCAUGAACUCAUCAUACCUGAGAUACUACUGCCUAGGGAAUUGUUUUGACCCAUACAAUGAUUUGUUCAACAAACAUGCAUAAUUAGUCCUCUUUAGAUCCACAUACCCCCCUGGUUGAAUCAUCAAAAUCUCUUUUUAUAGCCUUCCAUGCAAGAAAGCAGUUUUAAUAUCAAGUUGAUCAAGCUCCAUGUCAUGAAUUGUUGUCAAAGCUAACAACACCCUUACUGAAGCAUGUCUGACUACAAGUGGGAAACCUUUCUUAAAAUUAACCAUUUCCUUUUGAGCAUAUCCUUUAGCUAAUAGCUAGCCUUAAAUAUUCUAGGUUCAAUAGUGGUUAGACCAUCAAUUAGAAGUUUACUAAACUUCAUUAUUCAUCACAACUAAUGGAGAAAGGAACAUAAAGCUCACAACAAAUAAAUAUACAUAGUGACAGCACCAAUUGAACGUCACCAUAAACCAAUCAUAGAGACAUUUCCAUCAACCCAUACCUAGUGACAGCACCAAUUGAACGGCACCAUAAACCAAUCAUAGACACAUUUCCAUCAACCCACAAGUAAUCAAUCACAGCCUUCAGAUCAUCUUUCUGAAAAACAAGCAAUCAACUUCAGAUGGACCUUAAUUACAAGAAUAAAGGUCAACAAGAUAGAUAAUUGAUCUCAUAAAUGAUUUUUUCCCUUUAAAAAUUAAAAUUUUAAAAAAAAUUCCUAGAUGUGUAAUUUUUUCCCACUAGUUAACCAACCACUUACUUUAUUCCAUCCUAGAGUAACAUACUCUCCUGCACAGAGCCCAGAUCCUGAAAAAAUCAAAAGUGAAAAUGGUAAUAUUUUAAGGCGGUAAUAUUAUUGGAGCUUCACUAGCAUCAGCCUUGUAGAUACUGCCAAAGAUCAAGAUAUACUGCUAAUUACUAUUCUGUAACUAGUGCUCAAGUGCAUCAUUUGUAGAUAAAAAGCAAUGAAGCCUGUUGAAUUCUUGAAAUUACAAUAAAGUUUACAAUUCAUCUUCAAAGCACAAAGUUCCAAAUUGUAUCUUGGAAGAAAUAUGUGUAAGCCUUUGACAUAAUUUUACUCCAUCUAUCUUUUAAAAUCACAAAAGUAAAUUUCAUUAUUCAUUGAUUAUUCAAUUGGAAUAAUUGCAAUAAGCCAAAUUCAUAUAAAAUAUAAAAUAUAGAUUUAGAUUCUCACAAUCCUUGAAUCUCCUGUAAGUUUACGCAACCCAGUCCUUCAAAAAGCAAAGCAACAUUAUGUCAACAUAAAUUGAACAAUAUGUGACAGAUGAAUUGUACACCUAGACUAAGCAUAAGCAAGAUUAAAUACAACACCUCAUUAAGCUUUGCUUUCCGAAUGAAUAUAAUAAGCUUCAUAUUCCUUGGCUCCUCAUACGUAGAAAUGGCCUGCAAUAAUUAAAGCGCCAAGAUUGAUUCAGGCUUUUUAUCAAACACUUGGAGUGAAUACAAAAAUAAUAACUAUAUCCCCAAUUCGAAGAUGGUGAACAUACGGCUACAUGCAUGUGAUUUGCCCCACUCAAGAAUAAAGCCUAUGUCAUUUUGUAGUUCUAAGAUUCGGUAAUGUCAAUCAAAAAGUAAAUUUAACCAAUGAAAUUAAAAAAAAAAAUUUCCAUCACAGUGAACGAAUUGAGAACUACACCUCUAGGGUUUCUAACUUCUCUUCUAGGGUUCGAACAAUAAUUACCUGUAUCAGUCGGACAAUCAGGUUCUAACGUGCUCAAUUGAUGGUGGGUUCCCAGUUUAGGUUUUGAAUUUGAGGGUGGCAACACGUGUUCGGUGGGUUCUCCAUAUUAAAGGGUUUGGGUUAUCAAAAUCGACGGUGUUUUAAAGGUGGUGCAAGGAUUUCAAGCGAUGGGUUUGCUGUGAGAGUGAGAGAAGAGUGUGUUUGGAUUUCGCUUCAACACUUGUAAAAAGUAAAAAUAUCGAUAUGAAAUGAAUAGGGUUUGUGUCUUUCAUUUGUUUAAUUUAUUUUUCCCUAAACGCUGUCGUUUGAAUAAUCUAAGAAAUGACAACAUUCCCCUUUAUUUUUUGUAAUAAAAUAUUUUUCAAAACAAAGUUAAACCCGCGCAAUUGAAGUCAAAAUAAAAGAAUCAGUUAUACAUUUUUGAUAGUUAAAUAAUUUACUAUAAGUUUAUAGUAGGUUUUUGAUAGACGAUUUUCUAUCACAAUUAUAUCAUAAAUGCUUGACAAAAAAAAAAAAAAAAUCUAUUAUGUGUUUAUCCUUGUAGGUCUCUAAAUUAAAAAUCAUCGCACAUGGGACAAUCAUGGUAGGUGUUUUUCCUUAUAAUACAAGGGCUACCUCAAGUAUAUUCAUUUAUACCCCAAGACUUAUUUUAAAUCAUGAGACAAACUGCUUAACACUUUAGCUCUCUCUCUCUCUCUCCCCUUCAACUCUCUCACUCUCUCUUCUUCAUGUUCUUCUACUCUCUUACUUUUGCUUUCGUUCUUUUCCCUCUAUCUCUUUUUCUUUCUUUCUUUUUAAUUUGGUCUGUUCCCUUAAAUCCUUCACAUCUCUAUUGUUAACUAAAUUAAGUAAUGUAAAUUAUAUAAGCAAAGAAGAUUAAAAAUAAAACAUGAACUAUGUUGGGCUUAAAGAUGAAAACAAAAACAUGACGGUUAUGGGUCUUAAAUUUAGAUUAUUCCAAUUGGGCUCAUGGGCUUUUAUAUGAAAUGUGAAAACACUCGGUAUAUGAAUCGAACUCUAGUACUGUCAAUGCGACUUGAAAGCCUAUAGUUUAAAUAAGAGAACAAAACUUAACAAAGAUAAAUAAUCAAAUGUAAUAUUUUUUAUUUUUCAUAAUAGAUUGAUAUAAUGGUCCUUAUAAUUUUCAUAUUUAUAUGAGAUAAUGCUCUUGAUCAUUUUUAUAUGUACAUCUCAUAAUAAUCUUAAUCAUUUUUGUAUAUGUAUCAUAUAAUGCUGUUGAUUCCUGUCAUAUUUACAUGUCACAAUGACACAAUGACACAAUGAAUUUAAUUUUGAAUGGUUAUCUUUACGUGAUUCCUAUCAAUAACCAUCAUGUCAUUUGUCUUAGCAUACAUGUGGACUUAUGUCUUCGAUAAUUUAUGGUAGGGUGGGCAAAAUCGGAUUUGGAUCAAUCCGAUCGAAUUUUAGAUUGUUUGGAUUAAUGAAAAAGUCAUCUGAAUGUAAUUAGAAUAAAAAUCCAAUCCGAAUAAAAAUUUCGGAUCGGAUUCGGAUUGGAUUUUUAUUCGGAUUCGGUUCGGAUCGGUAACAUCAUAUUGAAAUCGGAUUUGGAUAUGUUUGAACAGAUCAGAAGAAUCUGGAGCACCUACAAGUUGCAACACAAAUUUGAAAUCACACAAAUAAAAGAAAAACAUAGCAAGCCAGCAAAUGGAGAAAAGAAAGACAACAAAUUGAAAGUGUUUUCAUUUUAACAUCAAUUAUUUUGUUAAUGUCUUUGGUAACAAUUGCAUCCCAAAAUCAGGAAACCUAAAUCAAGCAGUCAACCUUACAAUCACCAAAAAAUAAGGAGAAUUAUCUACAGGAAAAAACAAAAUCAGAAGCAAUUCAAAAGACCCAAAACUCUACAAGCUUUUCAAAGUCAAGGAACCUAUCCACAUAAGUUAUAACCUCUGCACCUUACAAGUUUUGAUGGAUCCGACUCCAUUAGAAACCCUUGCAAUAAGCAAAUAAAUGCAGCGGCUAGGUUUAAGACUCUUGCAGGCUUCGGUUGGUAGCGUGGCAACGGUGCAAUUCACGGGCUCAACGCCUGUCGAUUGGGAUGCCGUCGGCAUGCAGCUGAGGCAUCGACGACAGCUGCCGAUUUUUUUUUCUCAAAGUGAUUGGUUGUGUUCGUGGGUGAUGCGGCUGUUGGUUGUGUUCGUGGGUGAUGCAUCGAUUCUUUUCUCUUUUGAUUUGGGAAUUUAAGGGAUUUAGGACUGUUUUUCAAUUUUUAUUUCUUAUUUAUGUUUAAGUUAUAUAUUCUUUUUAAUUUUAAGUGCAAUCCGAUCGGAUUGAUCCGGAUCCGAUCCGAUCCGAAUCAAAUCCGAUCAGAUUGCAAAGUUUUUAUCCGAUCGGAUUGAGAGGUCAAUUCGAAUCCGAUCUGAACAUAUUCGAAUAAGUUCGGAUCGGAUCAAAUUGACCCGAAUCCAAUCCGAUGCCCACCCCUAAUUUAUGGUGCUUCAUUAGGAGAAAUUGAUCAAUAAUUUGUUUCAGCACGCGCAAAACGCAAUAUCAAAAUAAAGAGUUGAAGGUAAGCCAAACAAGCAAGGAUUAUCCAACCUAAGAUUUUUAAGUUACUUUUGCACGCAAGCAUUAAGAAGAAUCACUUAAACAUGACAAGAAAUAGAAGCCGAUGCUGGCAAAAUAAUUAGGACUGGCGUCGGCAUUUUAUUUUAUUUAAUUAAAUUAGAACCUUGAAAUGACCUGUACGCUUGUCAAAGCUCGGAUCAUUUGUAGAGUUCAACAAGCCACCAGCUGUAAGCACGACAGACAAGUUUAACUGCUGUAAAUCCAGCUUUUGUCGCCAGAGCCUUCAACUCCUCUGCUGUCCUCUCCUUUGCCCCAGGAAAUACAGUGUACAUUUGUAUGUCAAGCAGAUAAACAAACCUGCUGAAAAUAUCAGUCUCAAGGGGCUCUGGUAUUAAAGAGUCUACCACAAUGACCUUCCCGAAUUCUGGAAGAGCAUCGUAGCAAUUCUUCAGUAUCUUCACACAUUGGUCAUCACUCCAGUCAUGAAGUAUCAACUGAAGAUUUAUAUGAAAAUUAAUUUCCUAUAUUAGUUUCCAGAAUUUAUGCAGAGUUAACAUAUCUGUUGGCAAGUGGAAAAAUUAAUUGGAGAACUAACCUUCAGAAAAAUAGCUUCUCCUUUAGGCACUUCAACAAACAUAUCUCCUCCAACAUGCUCCACACCUAGAAGCGAAUUAAGAAAAAGGAAAAAGCAAAUUAUAUAUAAUGUUUUAACUGUUAAUUAAGCGAAAUAUAUAACUCGAAAUAGCACGGUUUAAAAAAAAAUUACAAUUUGUGAAGAAAAAUAUAUAUCAUGUUAUUUUAUAUUUAAAUUGAGGGGAAACGACUGUGACACUCGAAAGUUUGGUGAAAUGAUCAUAGAAAUCUCAUCUUUUUUAAAUUAUAAAAUAAUUUUUUUAGGAUAAUUCUUUCUUUUUUUUCUAUAAUAACCUAACUAUUUUUUUACUUUAAUAACCUAACUACCUUUCAUUUCGGCAUAAAUAUAAAAAAAGUGGAUUUAUAUGACCAUCUUUAAUAAAAAUAAAAAAGUUUUUAUUAUAAUUUCACCAAACUAUCGAAGUGCCACUAAUUUUUUCUUUUAAAUUAAUGGAUACCUUGAUAAGAAGGUGCAUCUUUAAUGACAUGAGGCGAGUCAAAGUUAAUACCCCGAAUUUGUGGGUAUUUAGAAACUAGUAAGCUGAGAUUAGCACCUAAACCACCGGCAACAUCUACCAAUUGGUUUAUCUCUUCAAAUCCUUUGUAGAUUUCAAGAAUUUUCUUCAUAACUAAAGCCGUAUGAUUGCUCAUUGAUUGAUUGAAGAGGUUCCGUCUUCUAGCAUCUUUCAUAGCAUACUCAAAUGGAUUUUUUGCAUUAUGUGCCUUCAUAAAAGGUAGGGUCCCUUCCAAUAAACAAUCUUUCAAGUGGUACCUAUUCAAUUCGGGGAUAUAAAAUUUCUUUCACAGAUACUGAAAUUUAAAAAAAAAGAAAGAAAAUGAAUGGAAAUAAUGUAUAUGAAAGAUUGAAAAUACUCAUAUGUGAACGUCAGCACAAAUUUCGUGCGGAAAGAUACCCUUUUACAACAAUGUAAAGAGUGCUUCACAAUGUUAUAAAGGAAUUUUCAUGACUCAUGAAAGAUGUCGCAGAGAAAUUAGAAAACAAACCAAGGAUGUACAGAAACUUUCUCCUGAGCUAAGAGGAAAAUGGGAGCAAGAGAAACUCCGUCUUCAUUUGGAAGCAAAUAUCUGCAAACGGACGCUAAACCAUAUACUCCGCAAACAUUUCCAUCUUUAUUUGUGACAAGAUUAUAUGUUAGGAAAGAGUAACUAGCAAGGAGUCGUAACAUUCGAUCAAGUACUGUUGAGGCUUCUUGGUUAUUUGUGGGCAGCUGAGAUGCAAUCUCAGAAGAAGAAAGCUGAGAUGGACUAGCUUUAGCUAAAAUCUCUAACACACCAAGCUCGAUGAUAGCUUUCAUGGUCAUCGGAAGUAAUGAGCUGUGGGCAAGCUCCAUGAUGAGCAUGAAAUCUUCCUCAUCGUUUGGUGGUUUCAUGAGUUGGUCAUGGAAUGAACUCAUCUUAUUUCUCGGAGUAGGAUAUGCUGAAAUUAACAAAAUGGCAAUGGAUGAUGUUGAUGAGCGCUCAGUAUAUAACUAUAUAUAUACACGUAUAGAUAUAUUAGUUAUAAAUGUAGGUUUUGGUAGCUUUGCCGCUUUUAUAUAUGUAAAUAGCCCCACUCAUCACAAUCAUAGUUAUGUCAUCAACCAAUUUAAAACAAACGCAUCAGUGUUAACAAGGGAAUCAUUCACCACUUGUCUUCUAAGUCUUCAAUUUAAAUGUUUCAUCCGACUUUUCAAUUCUGCAAUGACAUUUUCUGUCCCACUCUCGACAGUGAUCACAAAGAUGGGAAACCUGGGUACCUACUUUUUUUUACUCUGAAAUAUUAUUGCAAUUUGCACCAGCUUUGGCCCAUGGGGGGCAUUGGCUGCGUGUCAGUUUCCAAAUUACCUCACGAUUCUUUCAUAUCUGCUUCGAAAAAAGAAAGAAGAGCUUUCAACAUCAGUAUUUAAAAUAUAUCGUUUUUCUAUACUUAUCAACAGUUGUAGCCCAUAUCCGCGGGCAGUAGAUUUCAAACAAAUUCAUCAACUAACCAUCGAUUGUUUUCGCGUUGAAUGAGUAUUUAUUUCCAUUUGAAAAUAUAACCUAUUUUCAAAGUAAUUGAUUAUGGUCGUGAUUCGUUUAAUUUUUCUUUCUUACUUACCGAUAGCUUUGGCCCUUGUUGAGGACGCGUUAGGUUCCAAAUAAUCCAUCAACCAUGUUCUGAUAGCUACAGGGAAAACAAAGUAUUUGUUACCUUAUUAAAAUAUACCAUAUUUCAUAAUAAUUGAAUGUGAUCGUCAUUUGAAAAUAAUUUGUUACCAUUAUAAGAUUAUUUGAUUUCAUAAAAAUCAAGCAGAAGCAUAGGAACUUACCUCCAACCAUAGUUAUCAGUUUGUCAUGUGAUAAAGACAAAGCACAAAUAUAAACCUCAAUAGGGUGAUAAGGGAAUAUUCUCACAUCCAUUAAGAAUGAUCUUAGACUAAUAAUAUAAAAUUAAGACAACCGCUAACUCUUGAGUUAGUUUUUGAGUAUAAGUUAGAUACAAACUUACUAGUUUAAAGUCAAUUUUUAACUGAUGUGAGAUUUUUAUAUUUGUUUUUAGUGGGCUUGUAUGUACUUUAGGAUUUGGUUAUAUUAUACAUAGUAUUCGAAAAAAAAACGUUAUGAUUAAUGAUGUAUCAAUUGCACAACUGAAGACUUUGCUUGAUUCCUUGGACUAUAAAGUCUAUAUGUAACCGCCUGCUAAAUCAAGUGGAAAAGAAAUUUGUAUAGAUGGUCGAGUCCAAAAAAAAACUCACAGGACCAAGCCUCCAACUAUGACCAACCCUUCAACUAAGUUUGAUUUAUGAAUGAAUUGCAAAGUUCUUUUAAUACGGUUAAAAUUUUGAAUCGAUCGAGCAGUUAAAUAUGACAUCAGAAUUCAGAUGUAACUUUGCUACAAUGUCUCGUUUCAUAUUUACUAUCUGACAAAAUCGAUUAAGGGUUGUAUUUAAUAAUAAUAAUAAUAUUAGUAUUAUUAUUAUAUUUUAAAUAAUUUCAAUGGCGUACGUUUCGGGUUUGUUUAAGCUUUUGGUCAACACAAAUGCUUUGCCUAUUGGCACCAAAUUUUGAUUAAUUGCUCCCAAGCGAUCCAAUACCUGCCCGCAGCUGACCGUUGAAAACUUGAUCUCGUCUAUUAAAUUAUAUAGUUCUGUAGUUAAUUGAACACCUCUUUUAUAUUUUUGUCCCCUCACAAACGCUUUGUAUCAAUCCUAAACUUUUUUCCUAUUAUUUUCUUGCUUAUGGUUUUUUAUUUAAAAAAUUACAUAAUAAUUAUUUGAGGCUCCUUUUAAUUCUACUUAAUAUAUAUAAAUAUAUAAUUUUUGGAUUUAAAUAUAUGAUUUAAUCAUUCAUAAAUUUUUUAAAAAUUAAAGUUAAGUGGAACGAACCGAUUUUUUUAUAAUCAGAAAGAAAUUAAAAAAUUUAAAAAAUAUUUUAAGAAUUACAAGUAGAUUUAGGGAUGGCAAUGGGGAGGGGAGGGGAGGGGACCAAUCUCCCCGUACCCAUCCCCGAUAUUUUGCGUAUGUCCCCGUCCCCUCCCCAUCUCCGUCAAAAUUAUUUAAGAGAAUCCUCAUCCCCUCCCCGAAUAAUUACAGGGGAUCUCCGAGGGUCCCCGAUCCCCGAAUAACUAAUAUAUUUUUUCUAUUUUCGAUUUUGAGUUAAUCAUAUUAAAAUAAAAAAUUCAAAUAAAAGUAAAGUUUGAAAUAUAUCUUACAUUAAAAUCCAUUACAAAAGUCACAUACACUAAAUUAGUAAGUAAUGCAGCAUGCAAGGGAUACAAACUAUCAUGAACAAAUUAAUAGGCUAAUAUAAAGUUGUUACAAAUAAAAUCAAAUUUAGAUUCAAAAUUAACUUUUCAAUGGUGGCGUGGGCACUUUAUAAAUGUGGACUAUUCACUUUACAACACAAUAGUUAAGUCGAAGCAAAUUAAGAGCAAAUAUUAGAUUAAAUUAGAUAUUAAAAUUGUGAUUUGCUAUGGGCAAUUAUAACAUCUAAAAAUAAAUAAAAAAUAGAUUUAAGUUUAAAAUAUUUAAUGAAUAUUAAAAUUAAAAACAAAAGUUUUGGGCUAAUAGAAUCUGUCCGGUCUUUUUAAUGUCCUAAAUAAAAAUUUAGGACUUUAAUUAGUUAAUUAGGCCUAAAAGUUUAAUAAUAUAAAUAUUUUGAUUUUUUUUUAUUUUUACCAAUACUUAUAAUUUUAUAAUUCAAUUUUUAUUAUUUAUUUACUAGUAAUUUUAAAAAAUAAAAAAUAGAUUAAAAAUUAAAAUGGGGAAAUGGGUAGGGGAUGAGGAUUCCACCUCAUCCCCGUCCCCUCCCCGAAUAAGAAAUUGGGUAAAAAAAUUUUCCCAUCCCUUUCCCGAAUAAGAAAUUGGGUAUGAAAUUAUCCCCAUAUCCUCUCCGAAUAGGAAAAAUACCCGAGGGUACCCGUCCCGUGGAGAUUUUUGUCAUCCCUAAGUAGAUUGUGAUAGAAAAAAGAGUGUUAAUUUUAUCAAUUCUAGGCUUCUAGCUAUGGUCCACAGAAAAAUAUAAAGAAUGCAAGUAAAAUAUACAAGAAGACUUUUACUUCUCUUCAAAAGGAGGACCAUACCUCUCCGAAAGAAAAAUGAUUCAUCGUUUUUAAAUGUUCUUAGACCAUGUAUCGAGGAAAUUUAAAUGAUGGAAUUAGUAAACAAAAUGAUGCAUCGCUAAUUUAGGAUAAUUAAAAAAAGUCAAUAUCCAUCCAUAAACAAUAUUAAAUUUUGUAGGCAAUGUUCAAUAUUAAGGAAAAGCUACUAACCGAAAGUUGAUUUAGAUGGAUAAUUAUUUUAAUGAAAUUUAUUGAAUGUGAGCCUUAAAUAAAAUAUAUUUUAAAAUAGGAAAUGUUAAUUUUGUAAAUAUUGAUUUUUUUUUUUUUAACUACAAAAGUGUUAAUAAAUAAUCUUGAGGGGUUUUAUUUCUAAAGUGACGGCCUUAGGCAAUUGCCUAACUUGCCUAUCUCUGGAGCCGGCCCGAUAAAAAAAUUAAUAUCUUUUUAGUCGUAUCCUUCGCUAAGUUCGCUUUGGAUUUUUCGUUUUUGGUUCUUUCAUAAUUAGUUGUACUUUAUUUACAAUAGGAGUACAUAAUAAAUUCCUUGUUCACUCGGUCUCUUUGUUCUUUUACAUAUUAUGUAUGAAAAACCAGAGUUUCAUAUUUAUUUGUUUAAAGACGGAAGUAGCCUUUUCUUUGCACUUAAAUUGUAAGUGAGUUGCCAAUUGGGCUUGUAGCCCACUGGUGAACCAUUGCCCUUAAAGUUAAGCAUGAUUAUGAGGGUAAUGGUUCGAGUUUCUACGGACUCAAUGUCGCUCAAUUAAACAUAAUUGUGUGGAGACUACUUAUAACGUCUUUCUUCCCUUGCGAAACACGAGUGGAGUAGAGACAUCCCUCCUCCGUGAGGGGUAUUUGGCUGGUCAUGUACUUUAUAGAAUAAAAAUGUAAGAAUAUAAGUCUCAUGUAUAUAUCUGAUUGUAAAUAUCAGUGUAAUGACCUACUGUUAUAGCAGUUGUAUAUAUCUCUGUGUAAUACAGUAACUUGAUGCUUAAUCAGUUCAAAAAAAAAAAAUUGUAAGUGAGUUAUCAUUUGUAAUGUAUCAAUUACAAAACUUGAGACUUGCAUGCCUCCUUUGACUGAACUCCUCAAGAAUACAAAUUUGGUCGUAAAAUCUUCUGGCAAAGUGCAGUUAAGUCAAUAGACAACUUCUGAAGCCUAAAUCAAGUACGCAAGCAACUCAAUAUGUCAAUGUGGAAUUCCAAGUUGCGUCGAAUUAAAUGAAAAUUUCUAAUAGGAAGAAAGUCUUCAACUACAUUUGAAUUAUGAUUUUUUUUUUUUUUUGAAAUCGUGGAGAUUUAUUACCAAAGCCUUUAACUAUCUUUGAUUUAUGACUAAGUUUUUUUUUUUUUAAAUAGCGGAGAUUUAUUUUUAAUAUUAUUGUUAGACUUUCACUAACCUGUUUAAAUUUUUCGAUCGUGUAGCUUUUUUUUUUUCUCUCUAAGUAAUAUUAGGCACUCUCGUAUUUAAUUAUUUUCACAUACAAAGUCUAUUUUCAAUUAUUUUAAUUUUUUAGUUCGUAUUUUGGAAUUUAUUUAGAUUUAUUUUUAAUAUUAUUUGAAAUUAAUUUGACGUGAGAUGGAUGUUGAGAUAUUUUUGGGCACUUGCAAAGCGUUUGGUCACGCCAACACAAAUGAUGGCCAAUUGGGCAUCAAAUUUUCAUUAAUUGCUCCAGCGCGAUUGAAUCAAUUGCGGCAGCUGACAGCCUGAUGCUUGCUGUGGUCAACUCUUCACUUCGUGUUGACUUUUGAACAUAUAACUUGUAAGACAAAAUGCGAAAUUCUUGUAUUCAUGAAGGUCAUAAAUUUGACGUUUAAGGUUAGAUUUUAUGCUAACUUUAUGCGCUCGGUAAAAGGAAGUCACAAAUACCUCUCAACAUCUCGUUGUAUCAUAUGAAUUUCUUUUAAAAUUAAAUUUGUCAAUAUGGAAAUGAUUAUUAAUUAAUUCAAUAAAUUGAAAAGCAAGUUGAGUAUACUACCCAAAUUAUUGGUACCAAUUUGUAAGCAUUUAUUUUGGCUUUGUGCUUAGCUAUCAUCACUUUAGCAAAUGAAACUAUAAAUACGCACCCAAGCUACCUAGCUACAAAAAUCAAGCAACAUAGCAAGCAAACAAUUGAAACCUUUUACAAUUUGUUUUCAACUUUUAUAGCCAUGUUUGAUUCAUUAGCCUUUCCUCAAUACUUUAUUUUCCCAGUAAUUUUCUUUCUCUUUCUCCAUCAUUUCAGAAAGAUCAACUCAACCCCAUGGAAUUUGCCUCUUCUUGGCAUGUUAGCCUCUGUGAUUCUCAACAUCAACCAGCUUCAUGACAAAGUUGCCCAAAUUCUUGAAAAAACAAAGGGCUCAUUCAUGAUCAAAGGCUCAUGGGUAGCUCAAUAUGAUAUGUUUCUCACAAGUGAUCCAGCAAUGUUCAGCACAGAAUGAGUACAAAUUUUUCAAAAUAUCACAAAGGGUCCGAGGGGAGGAAGAGGUUUGAUAUUUUCGGAGAGACGGGCUUUUCAAUUCUGAUUUUGAUGAAUGGAAACACCAAAGAAAGCUUGCUCGUGCGUUUAUUAAUCACCAGAGUUUCAGCAACUGAUGGCCAAGAUCGUUCCGGAGAUGAUCGAAAGAGGGCUAAUCCCAGUUCUUGAUCAUGUGAGUGAAGAAAAAAUGUUGGGGACUUUCAAGAUUUGUUGAAAAGGACCACGUUUGAUUUUGCAUGCUUGAUUGCCACUGGGCAUAACCCUAAUUCCCUUUCGGUGGGGUUUUCGGAUGCUGUUGAUGAUGCUUGUGAGGCUAUACUUAUCCGGCAUCUCGUGCCGGAAAGUUUAUGGAAGUUGCAAAGCUGGUUAGGGUUUGGGAAGGAGAAAAAAUUGGCUAAUGCUUGGAGAACCAUUGACCAAUUUUGGGAGAAGCAAAAGUCAAUGAAGCAAGAAGAAAUAGAGAAAGUAAUGGAAGCUAAAGAAGAUGAAGGUAUAUAUAGUCUUUGAAUUGUUACUUGAGUGGACAUGAAGUAACAGGACCAACACCAGCUGAAAAAGUUAUGAGAGACAACAUCACGGGCUUAAUUUUUGCAACUGAAGGGACCACAAGUAUAGCUCUCACUUGGUUCUUUUGGCUGGUCUCCAAGAACCCAUUUGCUGAAACCAAAAUCAGAGAAGAAUUGAAGAGAAAUUUUUCACAAGAAGGAUUCAAUAAGCCGCCGUUGGUUCGACUAAACGAGCUGAAAUAGCUUGUUUAUCUCCAUGCAGCUUUGUGUGAAACCUAAGGCUGUAUCCUCCUGUGCCUUUUGAAAUAGGAUCCUCUUCAGCUGAUGUUCUUCCAAGUGGGCACCAAGUGAAUCAAAACACACACGUUUUGAUUUCAGCGUAUUCGAUGGCGAGAAUGACUUCAGUCUGGGGAGAGGAUUGUCGAGAAUUCAAGCCGGAGAGAUGGAUCACUGAAGAUGGGAGGAAUCAGGCAUGAGCCACCACACAAGUUCUUUUCAUUCAAUGCAGGUCCAAGGAUCUGUAUUGGUAAGGAUAUUGCAUUUACUCUGAUGAAGGCCACAGCAGCAAGCAUUAUUCAUAAUUAUGAUGUUCAAGUAGUGAAAAUCAUCCGGUGACCUACAAUCUUAGUAUUGGUUUUCGGAUGAAGCAUGGAUUACGGCUAGGUUUUCUAAAAGAUCAGCUCAACCGCGGCAUAUUAAUUGAUUCAUGAUAACCUAAGGUCCUUCAAUAUGCAAGAAAUGUUUGGUUAAUUUAGAUUGGAGGAAGUCGCUGAUUUCGAAACAGCAAGAAAACAUAACGACAUGGUGUGGAUUUGUCUCCAUCCUUAGGAACAUUAUUCAGCUUCAGAAAACGAUUUGGUUACGACUACAAUGCAUUUGAUGCAUUGAUGGAUCGGUCUAAAUAAAUGUGAAUUUUUUAUAAUUAGUUGUGGAAGGAAAAGUAGUAGUAGUAGAUUAUUACGUUUAAUGGUGGUAUGAAGAAUGUGAAGAUUAUGUGUUUAAUGGUGGUAUGAAGAAUGUAAAACAAUAUAAACGAAACUAGUGAAUAAUAGUAUUUUCUUAUAUCCACAAAGUCGCAACUAGAGUUGGCAAAAUGAGUCACUGAGUCGUGUUCGUGUCAUCUCAGUUUCGUGUUGUUUUAAAUUUAGAUCGACCCAAACACGCCUAUUUAAUAAUCGUGUUAAAUUAUUGAGACUCGUACCUGACACGAAAAAUAAACGGACUAUCUAAUAACCGUUUAAUAUCUAUAUAUUUAACAAAUGUUACACAUCCAAACUAUUACACAUUUACACUAUUUAAAGUUUAAAUUAUACAUAUGUAAAUGAUAGUAUCUAUCGAUAUCAUAAAAAUAUAUAUGUGUAUCAAUAUUUUACACCCUUACGCUAUUAAAGUUCUAAAUUUGUUUUAAAUUUAUAAAAUAAAACACUGUGUAUAUGUCUGUCUUCUAAAAAAAAAUCAAAAAUAGAGAAUCAUGUCCAAUAUUUGAAUUUUAAUGAUAAGAAUUUAAAAGUUAAUUUAAAGUAAAAAAAUAUAAUCGUGUUGUUAUUCGGGUAGAUGGUCAAGAAUUUUAACCUUAACUCGAUAUGAAAAAAAAUGUGUCAACCCAAACUCAACCCAUUUAAUAAUCAUGUCAAAUUUGAUGACUCAUCCCCAUUUAUUAGUGUUGUGUNNNNNUUAAUUAAUUAANNNNNAAAAGCCAAAAGCUAUUGAUUUCCUUCCUUUAUUCUACUUUGACUUUCCAUUCAAAGGCUUAAUUAAAAGAUUUGUUUUAUGUGCUGCCCACUUUAGCUUUAACCUUCUUCUUUGUUUGCACGAGCAUGGAGAAUUCAAUUUAUUGGCUUUGUUUUCUUCGAACAGAAUUUCUUGCACAUCUCCUUAAUUACUUUCACAAAUUGAUUUGAUCUUUAAUGUUGUCCAUUUAUUAUUCUUUAUGUACUUUUCAUCCAUAAUCUCCAAUUAACUCCCUAUUUAAUAAAAUAAUUUAAUUAAUUAAAAAUAAUAAAUAAAAUUAACUAGCAAUUAUAUAAUAAAAGAUAAAAUAUGUAUAUAAAUUAUGCUCAUCAGUAACAAAGGCUCGUCAUCCCGAUAGAUUCUGCUCUCCAUCUCUGGCCAGUAGCAUAAUAAUCUUCACUAUACUUCUCCAUUUCGCAAAAUAGGGCGGUGUGCGCUGAGACAAGAAAUAUUUCAAAUUCCCAAUGGAAGUUGGUCACAUUGCAUGGUACAUUUCAUGAUCUGCUCUGACUGUGAAAUUCACCACAGAUGUGCCAUGAUGAACCUGAAUUUCCGAAGGAAAAAAAGUUCAUUUACCAAUUGUCCGUCAGGGGUGAUUUUUAUUACUCAACAUCAACGUCAAUAUUAAGAUGUUUUGAUCAUCAUUCCUCUGUCCAAUAGCAUAAAUUUCAAUUUAAAUCUAUCUCCUGUCCCACUGUUAUUCUCAUGAAGAUCAUCAAUGACUUUAACCCAAAUUUAACUUUAUACGGCUUUGAAAAUGAAAAGAAUGGUGAAAGAAUGGAGGAUCAUUUUAUACUUAUAAGAGGAGCCUAUAUGGUGGAUACGGUGGAAUUUUCCCUACAAUAAGCAGUUCAGAAUGCAGAGAUAUUAAAUUAUGGAAUUCCAAAGUUGAAGAGACAAAAAUGUAGGCAAUAAGCAAAACUCUCCUUCAGCUUUGACAGGAUCCUUGUGCUGAGAGCAUUAUUUUCAAACCUAAAAAAAAAAAAAAUUAAUGGUCUCAUAUAUAUAUAUAUUGGAUGAUUUCAAAUUUAUCCAAAUACCUUAUAUCAAAAAAUAUGUUGAUAUUCCCAAGAUAAAGCAAAGAGCCGAGGAUGAAAGCCAAAUCACAUAACCCAGAAACGUAACAGUUAAAAUUUUCUUAACUCAGAAAUGUAACAAUUAAAAACUUCUUCUCACCUCAAGCUGGUCACAUUGGACUAGGAUGUAUCUACAAACCACUACACCCACCCUGAGAAGCUGUCAGUCCUGUCAGAUUAAUUCAUGAUAAUUAGCAAGUAUACCUGAAAUGCGGACAAGCUGCCAGUCCAAUCUAAUAAGAUUAAUUCAUGAUAACGAGCAAGAAAAUUUGAACUGACACAAUACGAAUUGUCAUGAUAAAAAUAAUUAACAAGUUUCCCCACAACUUAUUACCCUGUUCAUAUCAACAUUAGACAUGAAUUUCUCAAGAAAACCAAGCCAUGCUUAUUGUGAUACUGGAUUUAAUUUUUUUUUUAAAAAAAAAAGGUUCCACCUGGGAUAAACUGUAAAAUGACUAAUUAAGUAUUACAGAAAUAUUUGGCCCCAAAGAUUUAACAUGUCACAUUCUUUUAUACACAACUUGAAUAUCACAUCAUAUCAACAAUUUUUCGAAACGCUAGUGCCCAGAAUAUACUGCACCAAGGACUAGUUUUCAUAACCAUGCUUCUAGGAGCAUUAAGGAAAAGCAAAAGAUAAUGUACAAUUGUUUCAUAAGAAGAUAAUAAUACUUCAAGAAACAGGAAGCAUACAAAAGCUUCAGCUUCAGUAUCUGUUACAAAAUUCUGCUGGAAGAAAAUAGAAGAUGCUAAAUUUCAACUGUACUGAAGAAAACAACAGCAAAAAAUUAAUAUGAAACUUGCAAAUGUUGAUGUUCAGUUAACACUGAAAAGCUUCAGCUUUGGUAUCUGUUUAAAAAUUCUAGCGGAAGAAAAUAAAAGAUGCUAAAUUUCAACUGUGUUGAAGAAAACAACAGAAGAAAAUUAUUAUUAAACUCAAAAGUGUUGAAGUUCAGUUAAUGCUGAAAGCUCCACCGGAUUUGACCACUGAUUGAAAUUGUUGUUAGUAUAACUGCAGUUAAAAAAACCCAAAUUAAGCAUGACUUGCCACCAGCCUAAAGUACAAACAAUACUCAUUGUGCAUUAAGGAUCCUUUAAGAAAAUAUCAGUUAAAGCUUUAAUCGACAAAAUGAAUAUUUGACACCAAAUCCGAACCACGAAACCCUAACCUAAAGCAGAUUUGCCCAUCUCAUUUGAUAUGAUGCCACUUAUAUUCUUCCACAUAAAAUCCCUGGAAGCAAAAUAGAUAUUAAGGAGAAACAAUAAACAAUCUCAGUGAUGGAAAUGGUUGAAGAAUAUUUUCAUUGUACAACAAUUUGUUUUCUACAAUGAUAUACUGACAAUAUGGUCAUAAGAGAGAGCUGCCCAAGUUUCGGAGCCAACUUAAUUUCCAGAAUGUUCUAUAUUUAGCAACCACCUGAAUCAUGGAAAAACAAAAAUACAUUGAAAAAGCCAAAACAGUUAACUAACAUUUGAAAACAUGCAUAAACUUUAACAGAACUCAAAUAACAAGGAACUCUGUCAUAGAAGCAUGCGGUUUAUCCAUUAGUACAGAAUGAAACUAAUUAAACUUAUUGCUGAAAUCUUUGGGGCUAAUCUUUCUCUAUAUUAUUGGAAAAUCAUAAAACUGAAUACAGAUAGAAUUGGUGCAAAAGAUCUUAUCUUCAGUAUUUGGUAGCAAAACUAAAAUAGUUACUGCUUAAGUAAUUAGAAAGCACUGUUGCAUAUUCUUGACAAAAUAAAAUAUAUGAUACAGAAUUUGAUAACAAAAAUGACGCAAGAGAAGAGAGUACCUGCAAAAGCAUUUUGCUUAUGAAGACUAUCUUUUUAACACUUGGAUACUUCUGCUCGUACCUACAAAAGUGUUACAAUGACAGUAAAGUAGAACUUCAAAUUUGGAUCUUGAAGAUGAAGUACUCUGUAAGUUUUCAACUCUUUUAUAGCCAUGAUGAAAAUUGAACACAAAACCCUACACGAAUGAAAAUUGAACCCAAAACAUGCAACUAGGCUAGGACUUCGAUAGCGUAAACUCUUUCACUUCACCGAACAAUAGUAUACUAAAAAAUGAACGAUAAUAUACCAAACUAACUAACAUUGUUGUAAGGUAUUUGUUGUGAACACCAACAAUUAAUAUUAAUGCAAAUAGUUACACAUCGUCAAGAUCAAGAUAGAAAUAAUUGGAUAAAAGCAGAGAUUCAAACAAUUAAAAUAAAAACUGCAGCUGCUUCGAGAGUCCAGAAUAUGUCAAGUGACAGAAAUUGAUUCAGAAUUCGCUAUUUUAAGUUUUUCAAUUACAAAUAACUAACAUAUUAAAGAAGAAAGAGAAGAAAAUACCUGUGGUUCUGUUAUCAAAUCCAAAUCCUUGCACAUAUUCAUGAUCAAUUUGAAUGUCGCAAAUGUGAGAUAUCUUUGACCAGUCCUCUCCUGUGCCCUUUUUGAAACGUUCUCUCAAAAUAGGAGCACGAAUAAUCCUUAAUUUCUCUAGUGUUGAGCUCUGAAGAAGUUGGUCUGGCAGCGACUUCAGUUUUCUACAAUGUCUGAUAUCCAAAUAACAUAGUUGCGGCGUGACUGUAACGUCCUCUUUUCCAAAGUCCCACUCUUCACACCCAUCCAAAUGGAAAAGGGUGAGUUCUUUUAAUUUAGGAAAGGCAGUAAGUGAUAAAGAUGAAGAUGUGGCAUAAUUAUGAAAACUUUCUAUUCCCAAAAAUUCAACACCAACUCUUUUCACACUCUCCAUCUGCCGUAUUUGGAGGAUUUCAAGAGAUGGUAAUUCUCCCAAAGGAGGCAUAAUCUCACACUUACUACAAGAAGAGAGUUUUAAUUUCUUCAGCUUGUUGAAGGACACCAUCCAACUGGGGAACGCAGUCUUGCCUUUAUAGUGCAUUAUUUCUAAUGCCUCAAGAUCUGAAGGUGGUCGUAAGGCUUCACUGAUUGCUUGAUGGUUUAUCCCAUUUUCCUCAUUUAUCCCCUCCGUCACUGCUUCUUCUUCCUUAUCAAACCUUAAUUCCAAACCAACAAUAUUCUUCUUUUUCUCAAGAUCUGCUUUUUCAGCCUCUUCAACAUCUGUGACAUUCCCCAACCCUCGAAUUCUAAGAGUUCCAUGGAGGUGAUUCAACUGUCUCAGACCCUCAACCUUACAUGCUUUAGUACCAUAUUUGCCACCCGUACUACUCACAACAAACUCCCUUAAUAUCCUAAGACUAGUUAACCUUUCUACUCCUUUUGGCAGGUAAUCUAAGUCACCAUUAAGAGAUACCACCAAAAGCCUCAGAUUGACUAAGCUUCCUACUCCUUGAGGUAAUCUCUUCAACCUGUGACAUUCGUUGAUGUCCAAUGUUUGCAAAUUAAACAACUUACAACAUGUCUCAGGCAAUUCUUCUAUCUUUAGCCCAGCCAGUCUAACGUAUCUUAAAUGUAUUAGUUUUUCUAUCUCUUUUGGNNNNNUUAAUUAAUUAANNNNNAUAUAAAAUAUAGAUUUAGAUUCUCACAAUCCUUGAAUCUCCUGUAAGUUUACGCAACCCAGUCCUUCAAAAAGCAAAGCAACAUUAUGUCAACAUAAAUUGAACAAUAUGUGACAGAUGAAUUGUACACCUAGACUAAGCAUAAGCAAGAUUAAAUACAACACCUCAUUAAGCUUUGCUUUCCGAAUGAAUAUAAUAAGCUUCAUAUUCCUUGGCUCCUCAUACGUAGAAAUGGCCUGCAAUAAUUAAAGCGCCAAGAUUGAUUCAGGCUUUUUAUCAAACACUUGGAGUGAAUACAAAAAUAAUAACUAUAUCCCCAAUUCGAAGAUGGUGAACAUACGGCUACAUGCAUGUGAUUUUCCCCCACUCAAGAAUAAAGCCUAUGUCAUUUUGUAGUUCUAAGAUUCGGUAAUGUCAAUCAAAAAGUAAAUUUAACCAAUGAAAUUAAAAAAAAAAAUUUCCAUCACAGUGAACGAAUUGAGAACUACACCUCUAGGGUUUCUAACUUCUCUUCUAGGGUUCGAACAAUAAUUACCUGUAUCAGUCGGACAAUCAGGUUCUAACGUGCUCAAUUGAUGGUGGGUUCCCAGUUUAGGUUUUGAAUUUGAGGGUGGCAACACGUGUUCGGUGGGUUCUCCAUAUUAAAGGGUUUGGGUUAUCAAAAUCGACGGUGUUUUAAAGGUGGUGCAAGGAUUUCAAGCGAUGGGUUUGCUGUGAGAGUGAGAGAAGAGUGUGUUUGGAUUUCGCUUCAACACUUGUAAAAAGUAAAAAUAUCGAUAUGAAAUGAAUAGGGUUUGUGUCUUUCAUUUGUUUAAUUUAUUUUCCCUAAACGCUGUCGUUUGAAUAAUCUAAGAAAUGACAACAUUCCCCUUUAUUUUUUGUAAUAAAAUAUUUUUCAAAACAAAGUUAAACCCGCGCAAUUGAAGUCAAAAUAAAAGAAUCAGUUAUACAUUUUUGAUAGUUAAAUAAUUUACUAUAAGUUUAUAGUAGGUUUUUGAUAGACGAUUUUCUAUCACAAUUAUAUCAUAAAUGCAUGACAAAAAAAAAAAAAAAUCUAUUAUGUGUUUAUCCUUGUAGGUCUCUAAAUUAAAAAUCAUCACACAUGGGACAAUCAUGGUAGGUGUUUUUCCUUAUAAUACAAGGGCUACCUCAAGUAUAUUCAUUUAUACCCCAAGACUUAUUUUAAAUCAUGAGACAAACUGCUUAACACUUUAGCUCUCUCUCUCUCUCUCCCCUUCAACUCUCUCACUCUCUCUUCUUCAUGUUCUUCUACUCUCUUACUUUUGCUUUCGUUCUUUUCCCUCUAUCUCUUUUUCUUUCUUUCUUUUUAAUUUGGUCUGUUCCCUUAAAUCCUUCACAUCUCUAUUGUUAACUAAAUUAAGUAAUGUAAAUUAUAUAAGCAAAGAAGAUUAAAAAUAAAACAUGAACUAUGUUGGGCUUAAAGAUGAAAACAAAAACAUGACGGUUAUGGGUCUUAAAUUUAGAUUAUUCCAAUUGGGCUCAUGGGCUUUUAUAUGAAAUGUGAAAACACUCGGUAUAUGAAUCGAACUCUAGUACUGUCAAUGCGACUUGAAAGCCUAUAGUUUAAAUAAGAGAACAAAACUUAACAAAGAUAAAUAAUCAAAUGUAAUAUUUUUUAUUUUUCAUAAUAGAUUGAUAUAAUGGUCCUUAUAAUUUUCAUAUUUAUAUGAGAUAAUGCUCUUGAUCAUUUUUAUAUGUACAUCUCAUAAUAAUCUUAAUCAUUUUUGUAUAUGUAUCAUAUAAUGCUGUUGAUUCCUGUCAUAUUUACAUGUCACAAUGACACAAUGACACAAUGAUUUAAUUUUGAAUGGUUAUCUUUACGUGAUUCCUAUCAAUAACCAUCAUGUCAUUUGUCUUAGCAUACAUGUGGACUUAUGUCUUCGAUAAUUUAUGGUAGGGUGGGCAAAAUCGGAUUUGGAUCAAUCCGAUCGAAUUUCAGAUUGUUUGGAUUAAUGAAAAAGUCAUCUGAAUGUAAUUAGAAUAAAAAUCCAAUCCGAAUAAAAAUUUCGGAUCGGAUUCGGAUUGGAUUUUUAUUCGGAUUCGGUUCGGAUCGGUAACAUCAUAUUGAAAUCGGAUUUGGAUAUGUUUGAACAGAUCAGAAGAAUCUGGAGCACCUACAAGUUGCAACACAAAUUUGAAAUCACACAAAUAAAAGAAAAACAUAGCAAGCCAGCAAAUGGAGAAAAGAAAGACAACAAAUUGAAAGUGUUUUCAUUUUAACAUCAAUUAUUUUGUUAAUGUCUUUGGUAACAAUUGCAUCCAAGAUCAGGAAAUCACCUAAAUCAAGCAGUCAACCUUACAAUCACCAAAAAAUAAGGAGAAUUAUCUACAGGAAAAAAACAAAAUCAGAAGCAAUUCAAAAGACCCAAAACUCUACAAGCUUUUCAAAGUCAAGGAACCUAUCCACAUAAGUUAUAACCUCUGCACCUUACAAGUUUUGAUGGAUCCGACUCCGUUAGAAACCCUUGCAAUAAGCAAAUAAAUGCAGCGGCUAGGUUUAAGACUCUUGCAGGCUUCGGCUGGUAGCGUGGCAAUGGUGCAAUUCACGGGCUCAACGCCUGUCGAUUGGGAUGCCGUCGGCAUGCAGCUGAGGCAUCGACGACAGCUGCCGAUUUUUUUUUUCUCAAAGUGAUUGGUUGUGUUCGUGGUGAUGCGGCUGUUGGUUGUGUUCAUGGGUGAUGCAUCGAUUCUUUUCUCUUUUGAUUUGGGAAUUUAAGGGAUUUAGGACUGUUUUUCAAUUUUUAUUUCUUAUUUAUGUUUAAGUUAUAUAUUCUUUUUAAUUUUAAGUGCAAUCCGAUCGGAUUGAUCCGGAUCCGAUCCGAUCCGAUCCGAUCGAUCGAAUCAAAUCCGAUCAGAUUGCAAAGUUUUUAUCCGAUCGGAUUGAGAGGUCAAUUCGAAUCCGAUCUGAACAUAUUCGAAUAAGUUCGGAUCGGAUCAAAUUGACCCGAAUCCAAUCCGAUGCCCACCCUAAUUUAUGGUGCUUCAUUAGGAGAAAUUGAUCAAUAAUUUGUUUCAGCACGCGCAAAACGCAAUAUCAAAAUAAAGAGUUGAAGGUAAGCCAAACAAGCAAGGAUUAUCCAACCUAAGAUUUUUUAAGUUACUUUUGCACGCAAGCAUUAAGAAGAAUCACUUAAACAUGACAAGAAAUAGAAGCCGAUGCUGGCAAAAUAAUUAGGACUGGCGUCGGCAUUUUAUUUUAUUUAAUUAAAUUAGAACCUUGAAAUGACCUGUACGCUUGUCAAAGCUCGGAUCAUUUGUAGAGUUCAACAAGCCACCAGCUGUAAGCACGACAGACAAGUUUAACUGCUGUAAAUCCAGCUUUUGUCGCCAGAGCCUUCAACUCCUCUGCUGUCCUCUCCUUUGCCCCAGGAAAUACAGUGUACAUUUGUAUGUCAAGCAGAUAAACAAACCUGCUGAAAUAUCAGUCUCAAGGGGCUCUGGUAUUAAAGAGUCUACCACAAUGACCUUCCCGAAUUCUGGAAGAGCAUCGUAGCAAUUCUUCAGUAUCUUCACACAUUGGUCAUCACUCCAGUCAUGAAGUAUCAACUGAAGAUUUAUAUGAAAAUUAAUUUCCUAUAUUAGUUUCCAGAAUUUAUGCAGAGUUAACAUAUCUGUUGGCAAGUGGAAAAAUUAAUUGGAGAACUAACCUUCAGAAAAAUAGCUUCUCCUUUAGGCACUUCAACAAACAUAUCUCCUCCAACAUGCUCCACACCUAGAAGCGAAUUAAGAAAAAGGAAAAAGCAAAAUUAUAUAUAAUGUUUUAACUGUUAAUUAAGCGAAAUAUAUAACUCGAAAUAGCACGAUUUAAAAAAAAAUUACAAUUUGUGAAGAAAAAUAUAUAUCAUGUUAUUUUAUAUUUAAAUUGAGGGGAAACGACUGUGACACUCGAAAGUUUGGUGAAAUGAUCAUAGAAAUCUCAUCUUUUUUAAAUUAUAAAAUAAUUUUUUAGGAUAAUUCUUUCUUUUUUUUCUAUAAUAACCUAACUAUUUUUUUACUUUAAUAACCUAACUACCUUUCAUUUCGGCAUAAAUAUAAAAAAAGUGGAUUUAUAUGACCAUCUUUAAUAAAAAUAAAAAAGUUUUUAUUAUAAUUUCACCAAACUAUCGAAGUGCCACUAAUUUUUUCUUUUAAAUUAAUGGAUACCUUGAUAAGAAGGUGCAUCUUUAAUGACAUGAGGCGAGUCAAAGUUAAUACCCCGAAUUUGUGGGUAUUUAGAAACUAGUAAGCUGAGAUUAGCACCUAAACCACCGGCAACAUCUACCAAUUGGUUUAUCUCUUCAAAUCCUUUGUAGAUUUCAAGAAUUUUCUUCAUAACUAAAGCCGUAUGAUUGCUCAUUGAUUGAUUGAAGAGGUUCCGUCUUCUAGCAUCUUUCAUAGCAUACUCAAAUGGAUUUUUUGCAUUAUGUGCCUUCAUAAAAGGUAGGGUCCCUUCCAAUAAACAAUCUUUCAAGUGGUACCUAUUCAAUUCGGGGAUAUAAAAUUUCUUUCACAGAUACUGAAAUUUAAAAAAAAAGAAAGAAAAUGAAUGGAAAUAAUGUAUAUGAAAGAUUGAAAAUACUCAUAUGUGAACGUCAGCACAAAUUUCGUGCGGAAAGAUACCCUUUUACAACAAUGUAAAGAGUGCUUCACAAUGUUAUAAAGGAAUUUUCAUGACUCAUGAAAGAUGUCGCAGAGAAAUUAGAAAACAAACCAAGGAUGUACAGAAACUUUCUCCUGAGCUAAGAGGAAAAUGGGAGCAAGAGAAACUCCGUCUUCAUUUGGAAGCAAAUAUCUGCAAACGGACGCUAAACCAUAUACUCCGCAAACAUUUCCAUCUUUAUUUGUGACAAGAUUAUAUGUUAGGAAAGAGUAACUAGCAAGGAGUCGUAACAUUCGAUCAAGUACUGUUGAGGCUUCUUGGUUAUUUGUGGGCAGCUGAGAUGCAAUCUCAGAAGAAGAAAGCUGAGAUGGACUAGCUUUAGCUAAAAUCUCUAACACACCAAGCUCGAUGAUAGCUUUCAUGGUCAUCGGAAGUAAUGAGCUGUGGGCAAGCUCCAUGAUGAGCAUGAAAUCUUCCUCAUCGUUUGGUGGUUUCAUGAGUUGGUCAUGGAAUGAACUCAUCUUAAUUCUCGGAGUAGGAUAUGCUGAAAUUAACAAAAUGGCAAUGGAUGAUGUUGAUGAGUGCUCAGUAUAUAACUAUAUAUAAACACGUAUAGAUAUAUUAGUUAUAAAUGUAGGUUUUGGUAGCUUUGCCGCUUUUAUAUAUGUAAAUAGCCCCACUCAUCACAAUCAUAGUUAUGUCAUCAACCAAUUUAAAACAAACGCAUCAGUGUUAACAAGGGAAUCAUUCACCACUUGUCUUCUAAGUCUUCAAUUUAAAUGUUUCAUCCGACUUUUCAAUUCUGCAAUGACAUUUUCUGUCCCACUCUCGACAGUGAUCACAAAGAUGGGAAACCUGGGUACCUACUUUUUUUUACUCUGAAAUAUUAUUGCAAUUUGCACCAGCUUUGGCCCAUGGGGGGCAUUGGCUGCGUGUCAGUUUCCAAAUUACCUCACGAUUCUUUCAUAUCUGCUUCGAAAAAAGAAAGAAGAGCUUUCAACAUCAGUAUUUAAAAUAUAUCGUUUUUCUAUACUUAUCAACAGUUGUAGCCCAUAUCCGCGGGCAGUAGAUUUCAAACAAAUUCAUCAACUAACCAUCGAUUGUUUUCGCGUUGAAUGAGUAUUUAUUUCCAUUUGAAAAUAUAACCUAUUUUCAAAGUAAUUGAUUAUGGUCGUGAUUCGUUUAAUUUUUCUUUCUUACUUACCGAUAGCUUUGGCCCUUGUUGAGGACGCGUUAGGUUCCAAAUAAUCCAUCAACCAUGUUCUGAUAGCUACAGGGAAAACAAAGUAUUUGUUACCUUAUUAAAAUAUACCAUAUUUCAUAAUAAUUGAAUGUGAUCGUCAUUUGAAAAUAAUUUGUUACCAUUAUAAGAUUAUUUGAUUUCAUAAAAAUCAAGCAGAAGCAUAGGAACUUACCUCCAACCAUAGUUAUCAGUUUGUCAUGUGAUAAAGACAAAGCACAAAUAUAAACCUCAAUAGGGUGAUAAGGGAAUAUUCUCACAUCCAUUAAGAAUGAUCUUAGACUAAUAAUAUAAAAUUAAGACAACCGCUAACUCUUGAGUUAGUUUUUGAGUAUAAGUUAGAUACAAACUUACUAGUUUAAAGUCAAUUUUUAACUGAUGUGAGAUUUUUAUAUUUGUUUUUAGUGGGCUUGUAUGUACUUUAGGAUUUGGUUAUAUUAUACAUAGUAUUCGAAAAAAAAACGUUAUGAUUAAUGAUGUAUCAAUUGCACAACUGAAGACUUUGCUUGAUUCCUUGGACUAUAAAGUCUAUAUGUAACCGCCUGCUAAAUCAAGUGGAAAAGAAAUUUGUAUAGAUGGUCGAGUCCAAAAAAAAACUCACAGGACCAAGCCUCCAACUAUGACCAACCCUUCAACUAAGUUUGAUUUAUGAAUGAAUUGCAAAGUUCUUUUAAUACGGUUAAAAUUUUGAAUCGAUCGAGCAGUUAAAUAUGACAUCAGAAUUCAGAUGUAACUUUGCUACAAUGUCUCGUUUCAUAUUUACUAUCUGACAAAAUCGAUUAAGGGUUGUAUUUAAUAAUAAUAAUAAUAUUAGUAUUAUUAUUAUAUUUUAAAUAAUUUCAAUGGCGUACGUUUCGGGUUUGUUUAAGCUUUUGGUCAACACAAAUGCUUUGCCUAUUGGCACCAAAUUUUGAUUAAUUGCUCCCAAGCGAUCCAAUACCUGCCCGCAGCUGACCGUUGAAAACUUGAUCUCGUCUAUUAAAUUAUAUAGUUCUGUAGUUAAUUGAACACCUCUUUUAUAUUUUUGUCCCCUCACAAACGCUUUGUAUCAAUCCUAAACUUUUUUUCCUAUUAUUUUCUUGCUUAUGGUUUUUUAUUUAAAAAAUUACAUAAUAAUUAUUUGAGGCUCCUUUUAAUUCUACUUAAUAUAUAUAAAUAUAUAAUUUUUGGAUUUAAAUAUAUGAUUUAAUCAUUCAUAAAUUUUUUAAAAAUUAAAGUUAAGUGGAACGAACCGAUUUUUUUAUAAUCAGAAAGAAAUUAAAAAAUUUAAAAAAUAUUUUAAGAAUUACAAGUAGAUUUAGGGAUGGCAAUGGGGAGGGGAGGGGAGGGGACCAAUCUCCCCGUACCCAUCCCCGAUAUUUUGCGUAUGUCCCCGUCCCCUCCCCAUCUCCGUCAAAAUUAUUUAAGAGAAUCCUCAUCCCCUCCCCGAAUAAUUACAGGGGAUCUCCGAGGGUCCCCGAUCCCCGAAUAACUAAUAUAUUUUUUCUAUUUUCGAUUUUGAGUUAAUCAUAUUAAAAUAAAAAAUUCAAAUAAAAGUAAAGUUUGAAAUAUAUCUUACAUUAAAAUCCAUUACAAAAGUCACAUACACUAAAUUAGUAAGUAAUGCAGCAUGCAAGGGAUACAAACUAUCAUGAACAAAUUAAUAGGCUAAUAUAAAGUUGUUACAAAUAAAAUCAAAUUUAGAUUCAAAAUUAACUUUUCAAUGGUGGCGUGGGCACUUUAUAAAUGUGGACUAUUCACUUUACAACACAAUAGUUAAGUCGAAGCAAAUUAAGAGCAAAUAUUAGAUUAAAUUAGAUAUUAAAAUUGUGAUUUGCUAUGGGCAAUUAUAACAUCUAAAAAUAAAUAAAAAAUAGAUUUAAGUUUAAAAUAUUUAAUGAAUAUUAAAAUUAAAACAAAAGUUUUGGGCUAAUAGAAUCUGUCCGGUCUUUUUAAUGUCCUAAAUAAAAAUUUAGGACUUUAAUUAGUUAAUUAGGCCUAAAAGUUUAAUAAUAUAAAUAUUUUGAUUUUUUUUAUUUUUACCAAUACUUAUAAUUUUAUAAUUCAAUUUUUAUUAUUUAUUUACUAGUAAUUUUAAAAAAUAAAAAAUAGAUUAAAAAUUAAAAUGGGGAAAUGGGUAGGGGAUGAGGAUUCCACCUCAUCCCCGUCCCCUCCCCGAAUAAGAAAUUGGGUAAAAAAAUUUUCCCAUCCCUUUCCCGAAUAAGAAAUUGGGUAUGAAAUUAUCCCCAUAUCCUCUCCGAAUAGGAAAAAUACCCGAGGGUACCCGUCCCGUGGAGAUUUUUGUCAUCCCUAAGUAGAUUGUGAUAGAAAAAGAGUGUUAAUUUUAUCAAUUCUAGGCUUCUAGCUAUGGUCCACGAAAAAUAUAAAGAAUGCAAGGUAAAAUUAUACAAGAAGACUUUUACUUCUCUUCAAAAGGAGGACCAUACCCUCUCCGAAAGCAAAAUGAUUCAUCGUUUUUAAAUGUUCUUAGACCAUGUAUCGAGGAAAUUUAAUGAUGGAAUUAGUAAACAAAAUGAUGCAUCGCUAAUUUAGGAUAAUUAAAAAAAGUCAAUAUCCAUCCAUAAACAAUAUUAAAUUUUGUAGGCAAUGUUCAAUAUUAAGGAAAAGCUACUAACCGAAAGUUGAUUUAGAUGGAUAAUUAUUUUAAUGAAAUUUAUUGAAUGUGAGCCUUAAAUAAAAUAUAUUUUAAAAUAGGAAAUGUAAUUUUGUAAAUAUUGAUUUUUUUUUUUAACUACAAAAGUGUUAAUAAAUAAUCUUGAGGGGUUUUAUUCUAAAGUGACGGCCUUAGGCAAUUGCCUAACUUGCCUAUCUCUGGAGCCGGCCUGAUAAAAAAUUAAUAUCUUUUUAGUCGUAUCCUUCGCUAAGUUCGCUUUGGAUUUUUCGUUUUUGGUUCUUUCAUAAUUAGUUGUACUUUAUUUACAAUAGGAGUACAUAAUAAAUUCCUUGUUCACUCGGUCUCUUUGUUCUUUUACAUAUUAUGUAUGAAAAACAGAGUUUCAUAUUUAUUUGUUUAAAGACGGAAGUAGCCUUUUCUUUGCACUUAAAUUGUAAGUGAGUUGCCAAUUGGGCUUGUAGCCCACUGGUGAACCAUUGCCCUUAAAGUUAAGCAUGAUUAUGAGGGUAAUGGUUCGAGUUUCUACGGACUCAAUGUCGCUCAAUUAAACAUAAUUGUGUGGAGACUACUUAUAACGUCUUUCUUCCUUGCGAAACACGAGUGGAGUAGAGACAUCCCUCCUCCGUGAGGGGUAUUUGGCUGGUCAUGUACUUUAUAGAAUAAAAAUGUAAGAAUAUAAGUCUCAUGUAUAUAUCUGAUUGUAAAUAUCAGUGUAAUGACCUACUGUUAUAGCAGUUGUAUAUAUCUCUGUGUAAUACAGUAACUUGAUGCUUAAUCAGUUCAAAAAAAAAAAAAUUGUAAGUGAGUUAUCAUUUGUAAUGUAUCAAUUACAAAACUUGAGACUUGCAUGCCUCCUUUGACUGAACUCCUCAAGAAUACAAAUUUGGUCGUAAAAUCUUCUGGCAAAGUGCAGUUAAGUCAAUAGACAACUUCUGAAGCCUAAAUCAAGUACGCAAGCAACUCAAUAUGUCAAUGUGGAAUUCCAAGUUGCGUCGAAUUAAAUGAAAAUUUCUAAUAGGAAGAAAGUCUUCAACUACAUUUGAAUUAUGAUUUUUUUUUUUUUUGAAAUCGUGGAGAUUUAUUACCAAAGCCUUUAACUAUCUUUGAUUUAUGACUAAGUUUUUUUUUUUUUAAAUAGCGGAGAUUUAUUUUUAAUAUUAUUGUUAGACUUUCACUAACCUGUUUAAAUUUUUCGAUCGUGUAGCUUUUUUUUUUUUCUCUCUAAGUAAUAUUAGGCACUCUCGUAUUUAAUUAUUUUCACAUACAAAGUCUAUUUUCAAUUAUUUUAAUUUUUUAGUUCGUAUUUUGGAAUUUAUUUAGAUUUAUUUUUAAUAUUAUUUGAAAUUAAUUUGACGUGAGAUGGAUGUUGAGAUAUUUUUGGGCACUUGCAAAGCGUUUGGUCACGCCAACACAAAUGAUGGCCAAUUGGGCAUCAAAUUUUCAUUAAUUGCUCCAGCGCGAUUGAAUCAAUUGCGGCAGCUGACAGCCUGAUGCUUGCUGUGGUCAACUCUUCACUUCGUGUUGACUUUUGAACAUAUAACUUGUAAGACAAAAUGCGAAAUUCUUGUAUUCAUGAAGGUCAUAAAUUUGACGUUUAAGGUUAGAUUUUAUGCUAACUUUAUGCGUUCGGUAAAAGGAAGUCACAAAUACCUCUCAACAUCUCGUUGUAUCAUAUGAAUUUCUUUUAAAAUUAAAUUUGUCAAUAUGGAAAUGAUUAUUAAUUAAUUCAAUAAAUUGAAAAGCAAGUUGAGUAUACUACCCAAAUUAUUGGUACCAAUUUGUAAGCAUUUAUUUUGGCUUUGUGCUUAGCUAUCAUCACUUUAGCAAAUGAAACUAUAAAUACGCACCCAAGCUACCUAGCUACAAAAAUCAAGCAACAUAGCAAGCAAACAAUUGAAACCUUUUACAAUUUGUUUUCAACUUUUAUAGCCAUGUUUGAUUCAUUAGCCUUUCCUCAAUACUUUAUUUUCCCAGUAAUUUUCUUUCUCUUUCUCCAUCAUUUCAGAAAGAUCAACUCAACCCCAUGGAAUUUGCCUCUUCUUGGCAUGUUAGCCUCUGUGAUUCUCAACAUCAACCAGCUUCAUGACAAAGUUGCCCAAAUUCUUGAAAAAACAAAGGGCUCAUUCAUGAUCAAAGGCUCAUGGGUAGCUCAAUAUGAUAUGUUUCUCACAAGUGAUCCAGCAAUGUUCAGCACAUAAUGAGUACAAAUUUUUCAAAAUAUCACAAAGGGUCCGAGGGGAGGAAGAGGUUUGAUAUUUUCGGAGAGACGGGGCUUUUCAAUUCUGAUUUUGAUGAAUGGAAACACCAAAGAAAGCUUGCUCGUGCGUUUAUUAAUCACCAGAAGUUUCAGCAACUGAUGGCCAAGAUCGUUCCGGAGAUGAUCGAAAGAGGGCUAAUCCCAGUUCUUGAUCAUGUGAGUGAAGAAAAAAUGUUGGUGGACUUUCAAGAUUUGUUGAAAAGGACCACGUUUGAUUUUGCAUGCUUGAUUGCCACUGGGCAUAACCCUAAUUCCCUUUCGGUGGGGUUUUCGGAUGCUGUUGAUGAUGCUUGUGAGGCUAUACUUAUCCGGCAUCUCGUGCCGGAAAGUUUAUGGAAGUUGCAAAGCUGGUUAGGGUUUGGGAAGGAGAAAAAAUUGGCUAAUGCUUGGAGAACCAUUGACCAAUUUUGGGAGAAGCAAAAGUCAAUGAAGCAAGAAGAAAUAGAGAAAGUAAUGGAAGCUAAAGAAGAUGAAGGUAUAUAUAGUCUUUUGAAUUGUUACUUGAGUGGACAUGAAGUAACAGGACCAACACCAGCUGAAAAAGUUAUGAGAGACAACAUCACGGGCUUAAUUUUUGCAACUGAAGGGACCACAAGUAUAGCUCUCACUUGGUUCUUUUGGCUGGUCUCCAAGAACCCAUUUGCUGAAACCAAAAUCAGAGAAGAAUUGAAGAGAAAUUUUUCACAAGAAGGAUUCAAUAAGCCGCCGUUGGUUCGACUAAACGAGCUGAAUAAGCUUGUUUAUCUCCAUGCAGCUUUGUGUGAAACCCUAAGGCUGUAUCCUCCUGUGCCUUUUGAAAUAAGGAUUCCUCUUCAGCCUGAUGUUCUUCCAAGUGGGCACCAAGUGAAUCAAAACACACACGUUUUGAUUUCAGCGUAUUCGAUGGCGAGAAUGACUUCAGUCUGGGGAGAGGAUUGUCGAGAAUUCAAGCCGGAGAGAUGGAUCACUGAAGAUGGGAGGAUCAGGCAUGAGCCACCACACAAGUUCUUUUCAUUCAAUGCAGGUCCAAGGAUCUCUAUUGGUAAGGAUAUUGCAUUUACUCUGAUGAAGGCCACAGCAGCAAGCAUUAUUCAUAAUUAUGAUGUUCAAGUAGUGAAAAAUCAUCCGGUGACCUACAAUCUUAGUAUUGGUUUUCGGAUGAAGCAUGGAUUACUGGCUAGGGUUUCUAAAAGAUCAGCUCAACCGCGGCAUAUUAAUUGAUUCAAUUGAUAACCUAAGGUCUCUUCAAUAUGCAAGAAAUGUUUGGUUAAUUUAGAUUGGAGGAAGUCGCUGAUUUCGAAACAGCAAGAAAACAUAACGACAUGGUGUGGAUUUGUCUCCAUCCUUAGGAACAUUAUUCAGCUUCAGAAAACGAUUUGGCUACGACUACAAUGCAUUUGAUGCAUUGAUGGAUCGGUCUAAAUAAAUGUGAAUUUUUUAUAAUUAGUUGUGGAAGGAAAAGUAGUAGUAGUAGAUUAUUACGUUUAAUGGUGGUAUGAAGAAUGUAAAGAUUAUUGUGUUUAAUGGUGGUAUGAAGAAUGUAAAAUAAUAUAAACGAAACUAGUGAAUAAUAGUAUUUUCUUAUAUCCACAAAGUCGCAACUAGAGUUGGCAAAAUGAGUCACUGAGUCGUGUUCGUGUCAUCUCAGUUUCGUGUUGUUUUAAAUUUAGAUCGACCCAAACACGGCCUAUUUAAUAAUCGUGUUAAAUUAUUGAGACUCGUACCUGACACGAAAAAUAAACGGACUAUCUAAUAACCCGUUUAAUAUCUAUAUAUUUAACAAAUGUUACACAUCCAAACUAUUACACAUUUACACUAUUUAAAGUUUAAAUUAUACAUAUGUAAAUGAUAGUAUCUAUCGAUAUCAUAAAAUAUAUAUGUGUAUCAAUAUUUUACACCCUUACGCUAUUAAAGUUCUAAAUUUGUUUUAAAUUUUAUAAAUAAAACACUGUGUAUAUGUCUGUCUUCUAAAAAAAAAAUCAAAAAUAGAGAAUCAUGUCCAAUAUUUGAAUUUUAAUGAUAAGAAUUUAAAAGUUAAUUUAAAGUAAAAAAAUAUAAUCGUGUUGUUAUUCGGGUAGAUGGGUCAAGAAUUUUAACCUUAACUCGAUAUGAAAAAAAAUGUGUCAACCCAAACUCAACCCAUUUAAUAAUCAUGUCAAAUUUGAUGACUCAUCCCCAUUUAUUAGUGUUGUGUGUUGAAAAUGUGAUUAAAAAAAAGGUCAGAGUGAUGGGUGGUUGAGCCACCAUCUUUGAAUUCAAAGACGGUGGGUGGUUGAUGACUCAUACCCAUUUAAUAUUCUUGUCAAAUUUGAUGACUCAUAUCCAUUUAUUAGUGUCGUGUGUUGAAAAUGUAAUUAAAAAAAGGUCAAAGUGAUGGGUGGUUGAGCCACCAUCAUUGAACAAGGAAAAAUGGGUGGGUGUUGCCCAUGCAAAGAAGAAAAAGAGGAAGAAAAUGGAAGCCAAAAUUUGGCUAUAAAUAGAGGAAUUCUCCUCCUCAUUUUUGUAUCUAAGAGAAGCAAUCUAAAUUGAGAGCAGAGAAAUAUUUUUUAAGCAUGUAAUUAUAUUGUAGGAGCAUUUGACUCCUCAAUAUGGGUAUUACGGGUUUGCUUUGCUAAGGAAUAUUUCUCGAGAUUAUAUAUUUGGAUCUUGGGUGUGAGAAAAUUAUUUAUGAGAGUGUAGUUGUAAUAAUUUUUCACAUAGUGAAUAUUUUUCUCUAGUUGUUUUGUGACAACGGCAGUGAUUUUUCUCCGGAUUUGGAGUUUUCCACAUAAAUCUUAUGUUGUGUGAUUGGUGUAUUCUCCAUUUAAUUUUUCUGUUAAUUUGUUGUUUGACAAAUUGCUUGCAGUGAUCUUGGGAAGAAGUUCAAUUUCCUAACAUUGUGUUCGUGUCAGGUAAUCAGAUCAUGUUAAAUUUUGCCAGUUGUAGUCGCAAUUAAUGUAUUACAUGAUAAAAUUAACAAUUCACCGAUGGAUCUGAUUUGUUAUAUGGUCUGCUCAAAGAUUUUAGUCCUAUUAUCAACAAAGUCUAGCUCUAUAUAUGUAAAUUCUGAAAGUUACACCAUAAGAGGUAUUUUAAAAAGAUUUUGAAGUCCAACUCUUUUUUAUUUGUAAUUUUAACUUACAAAAUAGAUUUUUGUUUUAUAAUUUGGCUCUUGGAUUUUAACUAUCAUAAGCUUACCCUUGAUUUAUAAGCUUACCAUAUGUGAUUUUCAGCCCCUAAAUUUCUAAUUUCGGCUCAACCCCUGCCCCUACUUCUUGUCUAAUGGCGAUGUGGAAUAUUAUUGCAAUCGAUAAAUAUCCGACCUCAUAAAUAUUUGAGACUUCAAAUACGACCAAGAGAGGACUGUUAUGUCAUUCAAAUGAAAAACCCACACGCAACAAAUAUGUAAUAGAUGGGCUGAUGGGGCGAAUCUGAUAGUGUAAAUUGAACAUUGAGAAAAUAAAUAUGUAAAACAACAUGAUUUAUAAAACCUUCAGUGACCAUCGAGCAAACCUCUUUUCCGAAAACUUGAUGUUUUGCAACUUUUUAAUAAUAUUUCUUAGUAUUCAAAAAAUUUUCUGUAAAGGUUCUUUGUUCUUUUUUUUUUAGAGGAAAGUAAAACUUUCAAUUAAACCACACUCAAAGUACAUGCAGGAUUUCAGGGGGGAAGUUUCCCCACCAAACAUCAGAGUGAGCUCUUCCUAAAGCCAUUUUAGCUAAGGAAUGAGCACAAGAGUUACAAGAAUGAGACACAUGUUUUGCUUUAAACAAGCUAAAAUCUUGCUUCAUAGCUUGAAUUUCCUGAACUCGCCAGAAAAUUUCAGUACUGCUGGCUUUUCUUUUGUUUAUCAAAUUUGCUACCUCUAGGGAGUCAGUUUCCAGAAUGACAGCCUUCAGCCCUGCUUCCUUUGCAAUGCAUAAACCCCACUCAGCAGCUUCUGCUUCCACAUAAGAAACAUCUCCCUUGAACUUGGAUUUCUUGAUAGCUGCAGCCAUGCACUUUCCUUGAUUAUCUCUGAUCACUACCCCAAGACCAGAACAUUUACCCUCUUGAUCAGUGGCUGCAUCCACAUUAAUCUUCAUCCAGCCCUGAGGAGGAGGAAUCCAACCAUUUUGCUUUUUCUUUUGCAAUUUUUCCCCAUGCAGCAAAUUUGGAGUUUUGGUUCUGCUAAAAGCCUCAUUUACAGCCUCAGCUUUGGCCAGCAGAAGGUUUGGAUCAAGUUUCAGACCUUCAAAAACAAACUUGUUUCGAGCAUACCAUAUCACCCAAAGUGUUGUCACCAGUAGCUUUAUGUCAGCUCUACUCAGAAUCUUCUGAUACCUCAUCAAUUCCCCCAACAUGUCUGAACUUCUCAUAUCUUGAAAAGCAGUUGCCAAAGCUGAACUAUGCCACACUUUCUUUGCUGCUUUGCAAGAGAUCAGAGCAUGCCAAGUGUUUUCCAUUCCCUCUCCACAACGUUUGCAAUGGGCCUCUUGAAUAAUUUUCCUUUUCCAUAAAUUCUCUGCUGUCGGAAGGAUAUUCUUUGCUGCUUUCCAAGCGAAAAUCUUAAUCUUCUCUGGAAUAUUGAGCUUCCAAAUAAUGCCCCAGUUGUUUCCCCUGCUAUCCGAGCAGCUGGGAGGAUCUGAAAAUUUCAAUUUGAGAGCCACCUGGUACCCGCUUUUUACAGAAUAUCUUCCCUAUUUAUCAUAAUGCCAGAUCACUUUGUCCUCCAUUUCUCUUCUUGGAAGCGGAAUGCUCAGAAUUUCUUCUGCAUUAUCUUUUAAGAAGUUCUGCUGGAUCACCUCUGUCUUCCAUCUAUUUUCUUUAUCUAUCAGCUCUGCUACCUUGGCUUCAAGAGACAUUUUUGGGGCAGAAAAUGGUUGGAAAGUAGAUGGCCUUUGGAUCCAAUUUUCUCUAUAAAUUAAAACACUCAUUCCGUUGCCAAUUCUCCAUCUGUAACCCUUUAGAAUGACUUGCCGACCCCAUAGCAAACUUCUCCAUAUGUAUGACGGAUUAGAGCCCGUUGAAGCAUUCAAAAAAUUUCCUUCUCUGAAAUAUCUGGCCUUCAUAAUUCUAGCUGCUAGAGAUUCUGGAUUUUGGAUCAAUCUCCAGCCUUGUUUUGCCACUAAAGCUUGGUUGAAACUUGAGAUGUCCCUAAACCCCAUUCCACCUCUAGUUUUUGCUUGGCUCAUGCUCUCCCAUUUUGUCCAGAAGAUACCUCUCUUCUCCUUCCUUUUGCUCCACCAGAAACCAGCUAUAGAUUGUUGAAUCUCGUUACAAAGCCCCAUAGGUAUCUUGAAGACACUCAUGGCAUAAGUUGGAACAGCUUGAGCCACUGCUUUUAUUAGCACUUCUUUCCCCCCACUUGAGAACAACUUCUGCUUCCAGCUAGAAAUCUUGCUUUGGACUUUUAAUUUGAUCUCAUUAAAAAAGUCCUUUUUCUUUCUUCCAAUCAUUGAGGGUAGCCCCAAGUAUUUCUCAUGCUUAGUCACCACAUUAAGCUGAAAAAUUCUUUUAAUUGCUGAAAUAUGGUUUUCAUGAAUCUUGCCGCUAAAAAACAUACAAGACUUCUCAAAGUUGAAGAUUUGUCCAGAUGCCUUAGCAUACCUCUCAAAAAUAUCCUUGAGGUGAUGGCAGUCUUUGAUUGAGGCUUUAGAGAAUAUCAAGCUGUCGUCCGCAAAAAAGAGAUGUGAAACGGAGAUGUGCUUGCCAAAUUUCAGCCCCUGGAUGUGGUUUUUUUUCUCUGCUUGCCUCAACAAGUUUGACAAAGCUUCUGCACAAAUUAUGAAUAAGUAGGGAGAUAAAGGGCAGCCUUGCCUCAGCCCCCUUUGGGGGGUGAUCAAUCCCUUUGGAGAUCCAUUGAUGAGAAUAGAAAAGGAUGAGGUAGUGAUGCAAUCCAUGAUUAGUCUAACCCAUUUAUCCUCAAAGCCUAAUCUCAUCAUAACUUGUUUUAGGAAAUUCCAUUCCACCUUAUCAUAAGCUUUAGAUAUGUCUAACUUCAAAGCCACCCGCCCCUUUUUUUUGCCUUUGCUAUGCCUAAUUUUAUGGAGGCAUUCAUACCCAACGAUGAUGUUAUCAGUUAUUAAUCUGUUGGGAAUGAAUGCGCUCUGAGAUAAAUCAAUUACAUCAUGUAAAACAGAUUUCAAACGAUUAGCAAUAGUCUUCGCAAUAAUUCUAUAGAUUACAUUGCACAAGCUUAUUGGUCUAAAUUCGUUUACUUUCCUAGGCUUUUCUACUUUCGGAAUUAGAGCAAUAAAAGUGUGGUUUAGGGGGGCAAUUGUACCUGCUCCAUUGAGGACGUGAAGGCAUGUAUUGAUGACUCCUUUGCUGACCGAUCUCCAAUGCUUUUGGUAGAAACCAGCCGGAAGACCAUCAGGCCCUGGUGCCUUGGUUGGGCACAUUUGGCCUAAAGCUUCUGUAAUAUCUUCCUUAGUAAAUGGUUGACUAAGAUGGUCAUUCAUUUCUGCUGACACUUUAGGAACCAUCCCUUCCAAGGCCUUCUCCAUUUGCUCGUGGGUUGGGUUGGAUGUUGAGAAAAGCUCUGUGAAAUAUCCACAGAAUUCUGUCUCUAUUUCUUCAGCUUUUGUCCUCCAUUGGCCUUGUGUAUCUUCAACACCCCAGAUUUUAUUCUUUCUUUUUCGGGAUGAAGCUUUUGAAUGGAAGUACCUUGUAUUUUUAUCUCCCUCCGCAAGCCAGUCAGCCCUAGACCUCUGCUUCCAGUAUAUCUCCUCAUUCAGCAAAAGGUGAUGAAUCUUCCGCUCGAUACUUUUCACUUCUUCCCCCUUCACAUACUGCCUAUUGUGAGCCUGGAGCUCCUCAAGUCUGUUUCGCAACUUUUCCAGCUUCUUCUUACUGUCCCCGAAAGCUCUCUUACUCCAGUGCAUAAGUUUCGCUAAUGAAUUUUUGCUAGUCUUUUUGAAUAGCUGGACGGCAUUGCUCCCUGACCAGCUCCCCCUUUCUACCCAAUUUCUCUGAAUUAUGUCUCGGCAUUCAUCAUAUAUGCUCCAAAAAUCCUCGUAGUGGACCCUGGAAAGAGUUCUCCUAUGGUUCUGCCCUCCAUUCCCCCUGCCUAUAACAUCCAGCAUAACUGGGCUAUGGUCCGAACACCAACUGGCCAGGUUUUUUACAGCGUCAUCUUGGAAGCGUUGAGUCCAUUCUAUGCUACCUAAGAAUCUAUCCAGCCGCUCCUCAAUAAAUUGAGGGCCAUAUCUCCUAUUAGACCAUGUGAAUGGAUACCCUGAGCAGCCUAAAUCUUUCAAAUCACACUCCUGAAUAGCUUUUCUAAACUCACUAAUCAUGUCAGCCUCUCUUUCGUUUCCUCCCAUUUUUUCUUCUAAGUUUAGAAUUUCGUUAAAAUCACCAAAGCACAGCCAUGGAGAUAAAGACAAACCUGCCAAUCUUCUGAGUAAAGUCCACGUAUGUUUUUUCUGACUCGUCUCUGGGUGUCCAUAAACCCCAGUGCAUCUCAUAUGAUUUCCAUUUUCAUUGUCUACUUCAGCAUCAAUGUGAUGGUUGCUGAAGGAGGAAAUGCUUACCCUUAUGUCAGAAUCCCAGAGCAUAGCUAAUCCACCACUCUUUCCGUUGCUGCUAACGGCAAAGCAAUUAUUAUAAUUCAACUUCAUUCCCACAUUAUUCAUAUGUAUAGUCUUCAGCCUUGUUUCGCACAAAAACACCAGUUGAGGUCUAUACAGCUGGAGGAACUUUUUAAGAGCUAAGAACGUCCGGUCGUUCCCCAACCCCCGGACAUUCCAGCUUAAAAUUCUCAUGGCUGUCGGCGGGGCUGGUCCUCAGCCUCCGCCGCUUGAAAUUUGUUGUGAGUGAGAUUUGUUUCCUCCUCCACCUCCGUGCCAUCCCAGUUCAGUGUGUAUCUUGAAGAAAGCAGAUUACAAGAGCUGGUUUUAGCUGAAUGAAUUUUUUGGGGACUUUGAAUCCGUGUUCGUUUGUGGCUUGGGCUUUGUUUUAUUGAGUCACAAGCCGGCCUUUUGCCCACAAUAAGCCUCUCUUUACCAUUCCCUUUGUUACGAGCACUUCUGGCCUGUAGCUUCCACUUCCGUCUUUUGGGCCGCAAUGCUUUUAAACUUGGCCCAUUAUCGAUUACCCCUUCCAAGUUUAAGUCUCCACUCUCCUGACUCAAGCUAGCAUCUAAAGUUUGUUUUGGCUCUAAGUUUGGCGCCAAUUUGUUGCUUGUGUCCUCCCAAAGCUCUUUUCCCCCUUUGUUGUAAACCUCUGUGCUGUCAGCUGAGUUUUCGGCGGUCAUUAAACUAGGUUGCUUCUGACGAGUAUCCUGUUGCUUUCUCGGUUCAAGAGUCAUCUGCAUUAAAUGCUUAUCAGCCCUAGUUGCCUGAUCUUCGGUUUCUCCUGACCCCGGUUGGUUCGUCUCUAGUUCGUUUGUACUUGGGUUCGAGUCAUCUUGUUGUGGUUGGUUUCUUCCUUGAAAAUCUGCUCCUCUGGAUUUUGUGAAAGGAUGUUCAGCCCUUCUAUUCCAUCUAUCCCUCCCUCGAUUUAAUUUUGUUUUCUCCGCUUUGGACAAUGCCCUCAUGUAAACUCCAUACGGCAAUUUCUCUUUUGGUUGCCCAUUGUAAGCUGAGCACUCCUUGAAUUGGUGCCCAAUAAUUCCACAGCAAAAGCAAAAAUCAGGGAGCCGUUCAUACAACACUGGCAACUCCACUUCAUCAUCCUCAUCCUCCAGCUCUAGGAAGACCAUUUUCUGCAGCGAUUUCGUAAUAUCUAUGGAUACUCUUACUCUUGCAUAGAGGCCAAUACAUUCCCCCUCAUCAUCAGUUUCUACUUCUAGCACCUCUCCUAAUAAUCCCCCUAGCUUCUGGACAUUAUCCCUCUCCAUACAUGCUAACGGAACAUUGUGAAUUUGAAUCCAAAAUGCUACAUGUGUGAAUGCUUGCUUUCUCAUGUUUCCAAUCCCACUCGGUUCUUUAAGAACAAUCAGGGCUCUGUCAAAAUGCCAUGGCCCCCCGGCCAAUACCUUUCUCUUAUCAACUUCCAGCCCAAAUUUGAAAAUAAAAAUAUUGUUACCUAAACUUUCAAUUUUAACUUCCUUGGUUGUUCUCCAUGCCUGCACCAGUGCGCUUCUAAUGCUUUCCGUGUGCACACUUCUUGACAGUAAGAGUUUCCCGAUCAUAGAGUUUGCCAUAAUGCGGCCUCCCUUUUCUUCAAUUCCACUUCUGAGAGUUAAUUUGCGUUCAGCUCCUUCGCGGAUGGAUAUUGCUUUGCACUUACGAAUUAACUCCUCUGUGUCCAUGAGUGAAGGGUACAGCUUGAGCUCCUUAAUCUGCUAUCUACCAGAGAUUGUACCUCCAGCUUUAAAGAUGCUCAUUUACUCUCGCCCACUCUCUGAUUCCCUCUCCCAGGAUAGCUACAAAAGAAAAGAUAAUAAAACCACUCAGAUUAAACGAGUGAAUUAUGAAGCCAUUAAAGCUUCAGUUCUAACUCCAUUCUUUUGUCCUCUUUCGUAGAGAGAGAGCACCCUAGAAGGAGAGGAUUGCAAAUCAAAUCUUUUUAAACAAUGUCUUCAAAGGUUCUUUGUUCUUGAAGAUUGCAUAAGAGAAAAAAAAUAAUAAUAAAAUUAGGAGCAUAUUAACCCUCCAUUAAAUGUGGGAGCUCGCGAUGCAAGACUUUAUUUUACUUUCCUGAUAGUUGACAGACAAUUGGCUCAUGACAGCCAGAGUUUUCUCUUUCUACAUGGCAGCCUUUCCAUAUUUUUUUUAAAAUUCGAGAUCGAGAGGUCACCCAACAAAUUAAGAGAAGAGUAGUGCGGGGAGAAGCACGAUAGAAAGAUGAGAGUUUUUUUUUUUUUUUUUUCUCUCAACUCACUUAUUUUCUUUCUAUCUUUUUCUUUUAUUAUUUUUCUCGUUUUUUUUUUUGUGUUUCUCGACACCAAGUAUUUUUCUUCAGAGAAAUGAUAUGGGGACUCAAUGGCUACAAAAGUCUGACAAGACCACUCACAUGGUGUUUAAAGUUUUUUUUAUCAUUUUUAUUUUCACGGCCGUUGGGGAUGUCGGCAGGGGCACGCAAGGCAUCUUAAAAAAUACUUUUCUCCUUCUUUGUGAUAAGCUGCGAGCAUUGAGACAAUCAAAUAUGUUUAGCGUUUUGGACCACAAUUUGAAGCUGUUGAAUUUGGUUUUGUUGAUUUGAUACCCAAAUUAAAUUACCGGUUGAUGCGAGAUCUUGGAAUUGGUAAUUUUAUAUAAAUAAUGAGGAUAAGAUUGUCAUUUUCUUGUCCAGUAUAUAAGACGAUAACGAGCAAUCAUGCUGGCCAGAUAAGGAAAGGAUUAUCACAAAAAGGAGAGAAUAAAAUAUGUAAAAAAAGAAAUAUUAUAAUUAGGUAAAGCAUCUAAAUGAUUGGAGAAAAAACACAAGACAAAGCAUUACAUAAUGUCUAACGUUUUUUUUUUCUUUUUAAUUAAUACGAAGAUGAACGUGAUGGGAUGCUUUGUUCAUUUCUAAAGAAAUUAUCAGGAUCCACCAUAGUUUUGACAUCCACCAACUUGUUGAAAUUAUUCAUAAAAUACUUGUUGCCCCAAAUGCUGGCUUUUUUUAUGCUUGUGUGAGUGUCACCUUUGUUAUUUCUUCCGAUUUCUAGAUCUUUGUCAUUAAGAUAUGCCGCUCGAGGAUUUUUGGAAGCAUAGGGAGUCAUGUAAUUGUACAUCUUUGUGACCAAUUUGAGUGCAUUUUGAGAUUCUUCUUCUUUUUCCCAUACUGCAAAGUACAACAAGUAGUAAAUGUUGCCAGCUCUAUGUGGGAAUGGGAUUGCUGACUCUGAAAUCUCACUCAUUUUCCCACCGUAAGGAAAAAUCACCACUUGAAUGUUGUGUCCUCCUUUUUCAUAAAGCAAAUCAUACAUCCCUUCAAAACCUUUUACAGGAAUAGGCUCCCUCACGUAAUCAGAUUUUUCUUUGAAAAAGGAUUUGGAAUAAUUCCUAUCAAGUAAUGCUUCCAAUUUGUACGGCUCACUUGCUUGCAAUCCACUGAGAUAUAUGGCAGAUUCAAUCCAGCUCAUUUCUUUGCAAUCUUCUUUUGUCAAACCAAGAUCAGGGAACCUUUCCUGCAUUAAUGGAAGAAGCCUAUCAACCCCACCAAGAAACAAGGAUGAGAAUGAGCACGUGAUCGUUCCCUUUUUCUUCGUAGUACUUAAACUCACUGCCCUAAAGGUAGCACUGAUGACUAAGUCUUCAGGAAGCUUAUCAGCAACGUACUGAUAUUUGUCAAGGAUCUUUGUCGCAUUAUUUUCCAAGGUUCUUGUGACUGUGAAUGCAGUCACAGUUGAUGGAACUGUGACUAAAUUUACUUUCCAAGCAACAAUGAUUCCAAAGCUAGCUGCUCCACCUCCCCUUAUGGCCCAAAAUAAAUCCUCUCCCAUUGAUUUUCUAUCAAGAAUUCUACCCCUAACAUCAAUCAAGUGAGCGUCAACUACUUGAUCAGCAGAAAGACCAAAUUUACGCAUAACGUAACCAUAGCCUCCCCCACUAAAAUGUCCACCAACACCAACAGUCGGGCAAACUCCAGCUGGAAAGCCAAGAAUUUUACUUUUCUUGGCAAUUCUAUAAUAAAGUUGGCCAAGGGUAGCACCAGCUUGAACCCAAGCUGUUUUCUUUUCUGCAUCAACGUUGAUUGAGCUAAGAUUUAUUAAAUCUAUCAUCACAAAUGGAACUUCAGAAGUAUAAGAAAGACCCUCAGAAUCGUGACCUCCACUUCGAACUCUAAUUUGGAGGCCAUGUUUUUGGGAACAUUUUAGGACUGUUUGAAUUUGGGAUACAUGAAAUGGCUUGAUAAUGACUUGAGGUUUCGGGUAUUUUGGUGCUCUGAAGAGAAGAUUUUGUUUUGAAAAAUCCAAUAUUGAUGAAUAUAAAGGGUUAUCUUGAGUGUAAAUUACUUCAGAAAUGGAGGUGUCCUCAGAGUGUACAGAAAGGCAUUGAAGAAAAUUUUCAUUAGUGAGUAAAACUAUCCCAUGAAAGGAUAGCAAAAGAGCUAAAGUAAUUGAAAGAAUAAUUGUAGUACUUUUCAUUUUGCUGAUGUGCAAAAGAGAUUAAACCCUUAUGUAUCAGUAUACAAUCAUACCAACUACUCUGAUAAAUUAAUUUUAAAUGUGUGGUGUGCGGCAUAAUAAAAAAGUACUGCAUUAUUGAUAAGAAUGGCAUCGUUUGACAUUGAAAUUUUAACUCAGAUAGAUUCGUAUCAAACAAAAAGCGUUUAUCAUACCAUAAACAAGCUACAUUAUUUGAUGAAAAAUAUGGUUUUGUUUAAAAAAUUAAAAUUUUUAUUCCAUUUAUAUUUUAUUUUCCUAUUUUACUCAUGAAAAGUGUUGGAUUCACUUCAUUUAGGUGGUCCAAGCCCAAAGCUUCCAAUAGUUUGGAUGUUUAAGUAAUUAAAGAAAAUAAGUUGGGGUUAAAACAAAAUUGCCAAAUAACUUAAGUUAAAAAAUCACGUGGAUAUAAAAGCAAGUGAAGCGGCCCCUUAGGAUGGGGUAAGGAUAUUUGAACUAUCCGGAAUACUUUACAAACCCAUACUUUUAUAAAAAUAUUUAUUACUGUUAUGUCCACGAAUGAACUUACUAUUAAGAAUAAAAUUAUGUAAUUAAAUGAAAUAAUUUAUUCUCUACACCUAUUCAAAUCUCUUUUUUCUUUGUCCAUCCCUUAAACCUUAGUAUUCAAUGGGCUUCUCUAAUAUUAUUUUUACACAUGUCUCUCCAAAUUGCAAAUAAAGCUAGGAGUGUGCAUCGGUUCGAUACAUUAUAUAAUUAGAAUCCAUUUUAACCUUGGUUUCUGUCGCUCCUUUGGUUUUUAGGGCUUCUAAAUCCGUUCAUGAUGUCGGUGUCGGUGUUCGAUUUCUUGUUAAUCUUGAAAUGAUCAAAAUAUCCCCAAAAUAUAUAAAAUACUCAAAUUAUAACAAAACACGCACGAUCAAAGUUUAAAGGACUUAAUUACAUAAAAAAUAGAGAUGUUUGUGAGACUUGAAAUGUAAAAUGAUUAUUUUUUUCCUUUAUAAACAUACACUCUCCAGUACUUAACAAUAAAUAAAUGUCUUUUGUAUCUUUUUACAAGCAAACCUUGAUUAUUAGUUGAUGAUUAUUCUUGGAAAAGGCAAGACCCUUCAUUUAUGCAAUAAGUAUAAAAUGAUAUUUUAAAAUUUUUCAUUUUUCUUUAGAUAUAAGAAACGAGUUGUUUCACUUAGUUGUAGACUUUUGAGUAGCUCGAUCUGGGCAAAAUGCAUUUGUUAAUGAAUUUCACUUGAAUUAAAAAAAAUUACUGUUUACUUAGAUUUUAAAAGUGCCACCCCAUACAUAAAUUUUAGUUAUCAUCCAAUAACUAUUGCUUUUAGAAAAAAAUUUGGGUGGUCCUAAAAUAUACUCCUUUUCCAUUCAUUCAUUAUCAUAUGUAUAUUUCAACUAAUUAUAUUAAUAUGCAUACAAAUAUAAGCAUCCAAGACCUUCUCUUUAAAGGACAGUUUAAAAAAUAAAAUUUGAAUAUUCAGAGGAUUCUUUGACGAUAUCAGUAUCUAGUUCUUCAAAGAGAGUCAUAAUGCCUAGUAAUAGCCCCAAUUCCAUUCAUGAUUGGUUGAGCUUAAUUUACUACUAUAAUUAUUGACUAAUAAUAUUUUUAAAACUGAAAUGAUGAAUAAAUUUUAAUUGUUUAAUUUAUUUAAUUUUACUAAUAAAGUACUUGACUUCCAGUGGCGGAUUUAGAAAAAUAAUUUAUCGGGGACUAAAUUAAAUAACAGUAAAAUGUAAAAAUUGAAACUUAAAUAUAUAAAAAUUUUGGUAACCCACUUACAAUUGUUCUUUACGCGAUUUCAUAUUCUAAAAAUAUUGUGCAAUAGACUCAUUAUCAAUACUAUUAAAUUCAUCUUUUUCUACACAAAUAAUCAAAUUAUCAUUCAGCCAUUCAUCUCCUAUCUGAUUCCAAAGUUCAUUCUUCACAAAUUUCAUUGCUCAAAAUUAUAUAUAUGAGUACUUAUGUAAAAAUAAAUUAAUUACAAUUGAAAAAAUUAAUUUACUAAUAGUUAUAAACAAAAUCACUAAAAAAAGAAAUUGUAAAGACUAGAAUUAGUCACUUGAACAAUUACAAUUUAUAUAGAGAUGUGUUGACAUGUGAACAAAAAAUAAAAUACGAAAUUCUUAACUUAAUUUGAAAAAAAAAACGAAACGAACAUGUUUAUUCUCACUGCAAUUAUGAGAAUAAAACUGAUGCCUGCAACUUCCUCUUUUCUUCAAGACAAUCCCUAAUUACAAGUUUGGCACUCACGGUUUAGUUUUGGGAUUAUAAAUAUUUUGGGCUGUGGGCUUUAUUUUUUUAAGUAAAAUUAUUACUUUAUAAUUAUUAAAAUAAUAGUUUAAAUGUUAAAGAAUGAGAUUAUCUAAUAAUUUUUACAGGGGUUAUUUUAAAUUUUCUUUUAAACAAAAAAUAUAUUUUUUUUUUUCAGUGGGGGCUUGAGCCCCCAUUGGUCCUGCACUGCAUCCGCCCCUGUUGACUUCAAACAUAAAAGUUCUCUAUUGAAUUUUUAAUUGAUUGUAAUUAUAUGUAUUAAUCUUGUUAUAGCUUACAAUUCAUAACUUAUUUAUUAAUUCUUGCGAUUCUCAGUUGAUUUAUUAAUUCCUAGAGAAUUACAUGUUUUAUAAGUUAUAAUGUAAAAUUUCAUCUUAUAAAAAAAAGUGUAAAAUUUCAUAAUGAACGAGUUCUACUGUUUCAAGUUGUGAAAAGUACAAUUUCAGUAUUUUUUUUUAUUUGACUUGCACUUUUAUUUUCUUCUUUUUUUAUAUAUAAUUAUUUUGUUAGAGUUGAUAUUUAUAAGGGCAAGCUCUUGAUACCAAUAGAGAAGCCGCAAAUUGUCAGAAAACUUUUGUUUAAAUUUGAACUAAAUAUUUUAUUUGUCCCCAAUAAAAAAACAAUACCAAACAACUGUUAGUUUAAACUUGAUUUCAAUCAUAUGAGCAACAUCUUUUUUUUUUGUUAGUUAUUAGGUACUAAUUUAGAAAUAGAGAGAUUAAAUGAUUAAUUGGCGAAGGCAACACUUAUAUAUAUAGGACAGUGAUCCAAUCCAAGGUACCAAAUUGGAUCACUUUUCGGGAAUCCACCAGGAGCCAUUGGAUUGAAAUCCAAUUGCCCCGAUGGUUUUUUUUUUAUUUUUUAUUUGUUGGCUGCACAUGGUGGGUGGCCUUUGGAUUUAUAUUCAAAGGCCACCGACCUUUGUCUCGAAAACUAUUCCAAUUCGAGAGUUCACAUAUAUAUAUAUAGCUAAUGCUAAGUUACAUUCAUGUAACUUACACCCACUCACAUGAAUAGUGAGUUGGUCCCACACCACUCACUAUUCAUGUGAGAGGGUUGUAAGUUAAAUGAAUGUAACAUAGAGGGAUCCUAUAUAUAUAUACCUCAAGUAGAGGCCUGUCAAGUCUAAGUUAAUUUUUUAGUCAUUCAUCUCAAGACUUGAACGCAAAUAACUAUUUAAAAGAAAUAUAUUUAAAACUAGCACACCAUUGUGACAGAUGCAUUUCUAUGGAUGAAUUCAUUCUUUCCAAGGAAUUUGUUGUUGGCACACCAUUUCAAAAUUUCAAUCUUUGAAAUUAUUUUGGUUCUCAGUCAAUAAGUACUUAAGAGGUCAUCUGAUUAAGCAAUCUCGAAUUUUGAUAUUGUUAGUUGUGGCCGGUCCGAAUUUCUCAAAUUACAUAUAAACUAUUAAUAAAUAGUAAACUUAAUAAAGUUGCAAUAGCAUUAGUCUGCAAAUUUAAGUCAUUAGUAGUGUUUGUUAACACAUUUAUUUUUAAUUGUACCUCAAUUAUUUUCUUGCACGUUUAUAUUUUGAAUUGUUUAUGAUGUUCUACAUCUAUAUGACUAUAUUUGUAAUAUAAUUCAAAUGUCUAUUGAGACUAUGUCAAAAAUUUUCUCCCACUAUUAAACAGAUAUCCACGUUUAGAUACCCAUAUUUGUGGGAAGAUAAAUAUUUUUUUUUAAUAGAAAAGCUUAGCUUUCAUUAAAACGAACUUGAGAAUAAAUACAAAAGUUGAGUUGGACACUUCUUAGUCCACACUUUUGAUUAUGCAUUGUUUAGAGCCAGCUUGGCUAUUGAGUAGGCAGUAUCAUUACAAAGUCUUGAAAUGUGCUGAAUUGUGGUGUCGUUCAUCCUUUUAAGUCUUUCUUGAAUAUCUAAAAUAGUCCAAUCGACUUAAGCUUUACUGUAUUUUCUCCCUAACACUAGGUCUGCAGCUUAUUGGCAAUCAAAUUCAAUUAUCAAAGGCCUGCAUCCAGCAGCUUCUGCAACUUCAAAACCCAACUGAAUUGCUUUUGCUUCUGCUGCAAGAACAUCUCCAAUGACUAGAUUAUUUUGGAAGUGCUUAUCUUAUAUAUUUGCAUAUUAGAAAUGUAAAAAAUAUUGUGGAGAGUUUAUCAAAUUUUAGGCAAAUCUAUAUUGUUAAAUUUAUCACAUUAUAUAAAACUAGAUAAACUUACCCUUAAAGUUUGGGGCGGAUUGUUUCAAUUUAAGAGUUGAGUCUUAGCUCUAAGUUAUAUUCUUAAUUUAGAAACUAUACUAAAUCAAUAUAGAAUAUUCUCCUCAACACUUCCAUCACAUGCAGGAUAAUAUUUUUAGUUGGUCCUUGUCAUAUGGUAAAAUAGUGUGGGUCCAUCCAUAUUUUUCUAUUAUAAUAACAUACAAAUGUCUAUAGGUCUAACCAUACUCAAAAGCUAGCUAAAAGGUUGAGGCCCAAGUUUUUUACACUUAUCAAAGUCUUUCAUUCCUAGUCCAUGUAAGAUAAUGUCCAUAACAUGCCUAUCACGUGCAAGCCGAUCUUUUUGUCUACUCUUUUUCAUGUGGUAAGGUAAUGUGAGCUCACUUAUAUGUGAAUUUAGUUUUGAUAUAUUAAAUCCCAUGAGCUUAAUUAGACCUUAUUACGGAUUGUGGUUGAAAUACUAUAAAUAAUUUAUUUCACAAGUUUUGAUAAAAGUGGUGUUUGAUGAACUUUUAAAAGUUGUUUAUUCCAUAAGUUUCUCUAUUUUAACAGUAGUAAAGCCAGUAGAGAGCACUUUUUUUAAAAAAAUUCUUAUUAUAACUUUAAUAUUUUAGUAAAAUAACAAUCGUGUUUUACUUUCCAUAAUAAUAUAGAAAGAAAAGAUAAUUUAAACUUAUAUAUACUUUAGUCAUUAUAUAAUAAUUAAGAGAGUAUUUUCGUAAUAAAAUUUACUAAAUAUAUAUAAUGUACUUCUGAAAUUGAGUGAUGAUAUAGUCACAAACUCUUGUACAAACUUAUUUUGUAUAAAUUGAUUUAGUAUUAACUUAUUGAUUGAAUGAAAAUACAAAAUAAUAAAAACAAAUUAUGUUGACCAAAAGACAUCUAAUCCAACUAAUUAAAUCAUACCACAUCAAUUUAUGUAAAAAAAAUUAUACAAGAAUUUGUAACUAUAUUAUUACUAUUUAAAAUUCAUAAACAUUAAGCUACAUUUUGAAUUAACAGUUUAUUUUAUCCGUAUACCAAAAGCAACACACUUUAGCAACUUAUUUCUUUACACUUCAAAGAAUUAGGAAAAAGACCCGAUACGUCAUGGAAAUGUUGGUCACAAUAUCCCACAUUUCCCGCCAUUCCGCUCUUUAAUUUUAACUCUUUUAUUCUAAUCGUUAAUAUUUCUUUUUCAGGCUUCCUGUGGGAGCAAAAUUUUGGUGCUCGGCAAAUCAUUUUCAGGCAAUAAUAAAUCUCUUUAGUUUGGAAUCUUGUUUCAUUCGUGGCUUGGAACUACGAUAGCAAGAAAAUUUAAUGUCGGCAUUUCACAGGGAAUUAAUAGUAGUUUGUGAUCAAUCAAUUUGCAAGAAAAGGACCGAUAUAAUGCUGCCAAUUUUCAAUCAAUCGGAGUGACUAUAAGACAAAGAAAGCACAGCUAGCAUUAUCAAUAAUUCAGAUAAAUCUAAACCAAUCAGUGGAAAAGCUGAAUAGACAGAUAAUGAACCUAAUCUCUUAAAUAUGAGACAGAAUAGCUAUGUCUUCGUGGCAAACACUACCUUGGUACAUCCCUCACUCAUAAACAGUGAUUCAGUCACUGUUUAUGAGCGAGGGAUGUACCAUACAUUGAUUGUAAGAUAGUGAAAUCCAUGUCUUCGUGGGUCCUUUUCACGUGGAAAGCUAGACCCUAAUUCAAACAUAAAAAUCACCAUCAAUAAUAUAUCUUCCUUGGCAUCUUGCUCCAUUCGACCAUUAAAUUUAGAUAAUAAGUUAGCUAGUGACAAUGCCAAAAAAGGCUUAUCACCAUCAACAAGAGUGGCGGCAAUACGAAGAAACGCUAGGUGUAAAUAAGUGGAUUAAUGUCUACAUUUCACUUAUAAUAAAAAAUAAAUUUAAUUUUUCCAGUCAAUAAUUUUUGUUACUUUGAGUUUCAGACUUUCAGUCUGCGAAAUCUGAAAAAUGAAACCCCCAAAUAACUAAUUCGGAAGCUCAAGAUUGAAAUCAAUAAUUUAAAAAUGAUAAUUAUAUGCAUGCUUAUACCACGUAAUACAUAAUGUUUCUAAUUCAUUUAUUGAUAUUUUAAAUAAUCUCUUAGGUAAAUUUUCGAUUAUUCCGAAUUUAUUAUCUUUAAAUUAUUCCAUUACUAUUAAAAACUUUAAGUUAUUUUAAUUUUUAUUUAAAAAAUGAGAGGAGAGAGCUAAUUUAUAUUUGUUAAAUUAUUUUAAUUAUUAACAAUAUUUUAAUAUGAUUAUUCUACUAAACAAAUUAAACUGUUUAUAUUACAUUUGUAUUUAUUAAAAUUUUUGAUGUUCAAUUGUUUUUUUGAACUCUUUAGAUAAGAAACCCUCCCUAAAUUCUCUCUCUCCGUCACCAAUCAAUCUCCCGAAGUCUGUUAUUGAUCGGCUUUAUAAAGUUAAGGUUUGUAAUGCAAAACUGAAAAUCGUUUUUUCGUCCAUUCGUUGCCCUCUCUUGCUCUUUCUAAGCGUUUUAACCAGCCAUCAACUUGGUCAAAUUAGUUUACUCAAGUGCCCACGCGAGGACUUAAAUGAUGAAACUAAUGAAUUGGGCACUUGAAAACUCUGCGUUUUGCUUUGGCUUUGAUUAAUGGCCAACAUUUUCCUGGCCUCAAUCUCAUCAACACUCCUAGUUCUCAAGAUUACAACAAAUAUAAAGAUUAUCUCUUUUGCACUCACAUCGCUUGGAAGUCAAUCUUUUUUUUCUGAUUUUUAUCAUGCGGAAAGGUAAUUUACUCUCCACGUGUGUGUGAAUCAUAUCAAGUACCACUCAAAAGCCCAUAAAUCUAUCUCAUACUAAAAAUUAUAAAAUUUAUUUAACACAAAAAUUAUUUCAAUUUUUCAUAAUAAAUAUAAAUAUACUAUUAAAAUAAAUAUAAUAAUUUACAUUUUAAAAAUUAUUUUGUAUAUUAAAAAUAUUCUAAUAUCAUUAGUCUACCAGAUAAAUUAAAUUAUUUAAAUGAUAUUUAUACUUAUAAAAAAUUAAAAUAAUUACUAUCUUUUGAGGUUGUUACAAUCAACAGGGAAUUUUUAGUAUUUUAUAUAGGUUUACAUAAUUAUUUUUCUAAAUUUUUAGAGUGUAGAUGUCUUUUUUUUUUUAAUCAUGAAUUUAUCUGAAACCCUUUUUUAUUUUUAUCUAAUCCCAUUUAGUUUUUGGUCUUUAUCUUUUUUUUUCCUCUCUCCCUAAUAGUAGAAGCAAACUUCCGUGGUGGCAUAGCAACUGAAAGAUCACAGUGACCAUCUUACUUCCAUCAUACCGAUGAAAGUAAGACAAAAAGUCAGUGGAUCGAUAACCCCGAAAAUGGCUCAUCAUCACCGUCAACAAACCAAGAAAAUUCCCGGUCCCAUUUUUCCUUUUUAACACCACAGCGGGGGAAAAAAAAUUGAGGUAAAUUCUCAAUCCUUGAGAUAAAUUUUUAAAUAUGAGUUAAAUCAGCAGAUUUUUAUAUACUAUCAUAGUCGACUCACUCAUGAUACUGCACAUCAACUAGUCUCUAUGUAAUGGUGUGAGUGGACCUGCUCCACAUCGAGUGACAAUAAGUUCUAGACUGACAAAAAUAAGUUUUUGGCAAUCUCUUGAGCUAGUUUUUAGUUAUUUAUUUAUUUAUUAUUAUUAUUAGCAACUAGGCCCAUGUGCUUCUAUAAAUUGAUAUCCUAUAUAAAUAACUUCCCAUUUUAUAUUCUUGGGUGUUAAUGCUUAAAUGCACAUUUCCUGUAAAUUUAUUAUUACAUCAUAUGACGUUGUAAUUAACUGAACAGAAAUAUUAAUAGUGAAUCUACAUGAAAUCUGCAUUUAGAUAUUUGCACUUAAAAAAUUUUAUAUACACAUUUUCUCCAGUAAAGACAUUAUCAUUUUAUUAAAAUGAAGAUGCUCAUUAAAAUAUAAAAAAAAUAUAAAUAUUAAUAGAUUGAAAAUUAUAAUUUUUGUUUGUUAAUGUAUUGAAAUAUGUAUUUUUUAUUAAUCGGUAAAUCUUGAUUUUAUCAAAGUGAGGAUAUUCUUAAUAGAGAAUGAAUAUAUAUGUGUGUGUGUGAAGUUUGAAAAGGCUUAUAGAAUGAGACUUACCCUUCCAAACAUAUCACAUGGCUUUAAUUUGGCUUUUGGACAUCUUCUUGGCAAUCGUUUGCUUCUUGAUUCUUCGAUGUUGUUUCAGCAAUAACAAUGGAAUCCCAAAGAACUUCCCAGUCGUAGGUAUGCUGCCACACCUUCUUCUUAACGUUCAUCGUAUCCAUGAUUAUAGCUAGCACAGAAAUUCUAGAGAAAACGCAAUGCACAUUUUUAUUCAAAGGUCCUUGGUUCGCAAACAUGGACAUAUUGGCCACAGUUGAUCCAGCCAACGUACAUCACAUAAUGAGCUCAAACUUCUCGAAUUUCCCGAAAGGGCCAGGGUUCAAGCGAAUCUUUGAUAUUUUAGGAGAUGGGAUUUUCAACUCCGACUCAGAUUUGUGGAAAAACCAAAGAAGGUUUGCUCAAGCUUUGAUGAAUCGUCAUAGCUUCUACAAGUUUUUGGUGAAAUCCAAUCAAGCUAAACUGGAGAAAGGGCUGAUUCCAAUUCUUGAUCACAUGUCCAAACAAGGCACAACAGUUGAUCUGCAGGAUUUGUUCCAGAGGUUUACGUUUGAUUCUACGAGCUUAUUUGUUACAGGCUAUGAUCCUGGUUGUUUGUCAAUUGAAUUUCCAAAAGUUCGAUUCCUAAUGGCAUUGGAAGAUGCCGAGGAAUCAAUAUUUUAUCGGCAUGUUGUUCCGGAAAGCUUGUGGAAGCUACAAAGAUGGCUUGGAAUUGGAGAAGAAAAGAAACUGAAAAAAGCUAAGGAAACGUUAGAUAGUGUCAUAUUCGAACUCAUACAAAGGAAAAGAAGAGAGAUUAACGAAGAAAUUUUAUCGAAAGAAAUAGAUGGGGUGGAUUUGUUAGCAUCAUACAUGCACGAAAACAAAACCAUUAUGGGAGAAUUGAAAUGUGCUGACGACAAUUUCUUGAGAGAUACAGUCUUGAAUUUCAUGAUUGCGGGGAGAGACACAACUAGUUCAGCUCUCACUUGGUUCUUUUGGCUUAUUUCAAAGAACCCAAAAGCAGAAACCAAGAUUAGAGAAGAGCUUAGUUCGAUAGUACCAGCUGAGAAACUCGCAAAAUGGUGGGAUUUUGACACGCAAAAGCUAAAUCAAUUGGUUUAUUUACAUGGCACUUUGUGUGAAGCAUUAAGGCUUUACCCACCAGUUCCUUUUCAGCAUAAAGUUCCUUUAGUGCCAGACACUCUUCCAAGUGGACACCGCGCCGUUCCGAGAACAAAGAUCUUGUUUUCUCUGUAUGCAAUGGGGAGAAUGAAGUCAAUAUGGG